CUCUAUCAAGUGGUAUCAGAUUUCCAGGUUGCUCGGUGAGAUUUUACAGUUUUUCGUAGUUUAGAUCGAGUCUGUUCUUCAUACCUAUAGUCCACGAAAAAGCCAAACAAAAAAAUUAGGGUUAGUUCAUCCCAUCCGAACCAAUCUGAGCCUUGCAUAAUCUUUUCUGUAUUUGCUUUGUUGAAUUUGCGGUUGCAUCGUCGUGUUCAGUUGCUGGUCUUAGCGUCUAGUCUUUUAGAGUUUCGAGUUCUGUUCACAAGUUGUCACGCCGUCGCCGCACCAUCAUCAUCGCCCCUGCCAUCUACCACCACCGCUCCGAAUCCGUAUCCAUAUACCACCACCAAUCCGUGUCCAUAUACCACCACCGAUCCAUAUCCAUAUACUACCACCGCUGCCAUAUACCACCACCAUAUAUUCACCACCAAUCCGAGUUCCUUGCUUAUUAGGUUUGUUUUCGGGAUCAAUCUAGAUUCCGAUUGAUCAAAACUCUUCUUAGCUCAAACUGACAGGAUGGGCACGAAAUUUUUUUCGACCAAUUUUUUUUUUUUUUACUGCCCGGACCCAAAAACUGGAAACGGGUCAAAAAAAACUUCCUAUAAUGGCACCUGUCUCAAAACACUCAGAAACACCUAAAAAUAGGAUAGCCAGAAAUUUUUUCGAAAAAUGCGUUUUCGAAAAAUUUUGGGCCUAAACGGAGCGUGGCUACCCGACUCCGGCAAGGAAACACGAAUCGGAAUCUAGAUUGAUCCCGAAAACAAACCUAAUAAGCAAGGAACUCGGAUUGGUGGUGAAUAUAUGGUGGUGGUAUAUGGCAGCGGUGGUAGUAUAUGGAUAUGGAUCGGUGGUGGUAUAUGGACACGGAUUGGUGGUGGUAUAUGGAUACGGAUUCGGAGCGGUGGUGGUAGAUGGCAGGGGCGAUGAUGAUGGUGCGGCGACGGCGUGACAACUUGUGAACAGAACUCGAAACUCUAAAAGACUAGACGCUAAGACCAGCAACUGAACACGACGAUGCAACCGCAAAUUCAACAAAGCAAAUAUAGAAAAGAUUAUGCAAGGCUCAGAUUGGUUCGGAUGGGAUGAACUAACCCUAAUUUUUUUUUGGCUUUUUCGUGGACUAUAGGUAUGAAGAACAGACUCGAUCUAAACUACGAAAAACUGUAAAAUCUCACCGAGCAACCUGGAAAUCUGAUACCACUUGAUAGAGGCAAAGGUGUCCCGUCUUUCGAUGAGAUGGUGGAUUUCGCUUUGGUGGAAGUCGACUUUGACGAUCCGACUACGAACGUGCGAGGACGUCGCGCCUUAGCAAUCGCUAAACCAACUCCGAGAGGUUAUUGACCACGCCGGAGCACGAUCAACCUGACCACGAGGGUCUGUUUCCUGCGAGCAAACGAAGAACAAGCAAGAAACUGAGAUUGCAAUCUGGAUAUUGCGAAUAUAAGAUGAAAGCUUUAUUGAUCAAGGUGGGGUUCUGUGACGCCUUUGUCUGGUCGUUGAACACAAACGAAGUACGCGAAGUUGCAGCUAUGGCGAACUUUUAAUCUAAACAAAACCCAAAGUCUAAACGAUGCCCUAAGGGCUGUAUAUAUGGAGGAAGAGGGGGGAUUUUCGUGGCCCUUGGUGGAGGGAUCCGAAAUCAACCCUAUCUCUUGUUUCCCCACACAUACGGACUCUAAAAAUAGCCUAUACUUAUGUAGUUCGAAAUUACAUGGGCCUGGCCCAAUAAUAAGGUGACGCAGCACCUAAAAUAGCCUCGGGACGAAAUUUAUGAAGUGGCAUCUUGUAUAUUUCGUCCAAGGCUUCAUGCACCCAUUAUGGUGGCUUCAAAGUCCUGAAAUCAUCACUUGUAACUCCGUUCUUGUUCCCCUUGCGCAUGCCAUCAUCUCCAUGCUUGUUCUUGCUCCAAUGUUCAUCCUUCUCCAAGCUAGGCCCUUCAUUUGUAAGCAAAACAAAUGUAUCCAAUUUAGGCAGCAUCAUAUUCUCAUGAACAUUAGAAUCAUUACCAAGAAACGAAAGUACCUGGUAAUUUAGUUGGCGUGCACGAGCUCUAGUAAUUGGUCCAGUAUUUAUAGCAGCAGGGGCUGUGGGUGUAACAAUUGUAUUGAUGUCCUCAUCAUCCUCCCCUUCUUGAAAUGAAGUCGUCCUCGACGGAAGUUCAUCUUCCUCACCCAAAUAAGGCUUCAAAUCUGCAAUGUUAAAAGUGGGACUAACCCCAAAAUCUGCAGGCAGCUCAAGUUUAUAUGCAUUAUCAUUUAUUUUCUCUAACACCUUAAAGGGACCAUCAGCACGUGGCAUUAGCUUUGAUUUGCGCAAAUCAGGAAAUCUAUCCUUACGCAAAUGUAACCAAACAAGAUCUCCAGGUGCAAACACAACAUGUUUUCUACCCUUAUCUCCAACAAGUUUAUAUUUAGCAUUCAUACGCUCAAUGUUUUCCUUAGUUAACUCAUGCAUUUUUAAAAUCAAUUCAGCACGUUGUUUAGCAUCAAAAUUAACCUUCUCCGAAGAUGGAAGAGGCAACAAAUCAAUAGGUGCACGAGGUAGGAAACCAUACAUAACUUCAAAAGGGCACAUCUUGGUAGUAGAAUGCAAUGAACGAUUAUAAGCAAAUUCAAUAUGAGGCAAGCAUUCCUCCCACAUUUUCUUAUUAUUCUUCAAAACAGCCCUAAGCAUAGUAGACAACGUUCUAUUGACUACUUCAGUUUGUCCAUCAGUUUGGGGGUGACAAGUAGUACUAAAAAGCAGUUUAGUCGCCAACUUAGCCCAUAAACAUCUCCAAAAGUGGCUAAGAAAUUUAGUAUCACGAUCUGAAACAAUAGUAUUUGGCACACCAUGCAAGCGAAUAAUUUCACGAAAGAACAAAUCAGCAACAUUAACAGCAUCAUCGCUUUUAUGACAUGGUAUAAAGUGUGCCAUUUUCGAGAAUCUAUCCACGACAACAAAUAUGCUAUCCCUCCCCUUCUUUGUUCGAGGUAAACCUAAAACAAAAUCCAUAGAUAUAUCCUCCCAAGGAACACUAGGUACAGGCAAAGGCAUAUAUAAACCAUGAGGAUUGAGUCGUGACUUAGCUUUUUGACAUGUAGUGCAUCGAGCAAUAAAACGCUCAACAUCCCGUCUCAUCUUUGGCCAAAAGAAAUGUGUAGCAAGUACGUCCUCCGUCUUCUUCACGCCAAAGUGUCCCAUUAAUCCUCCUCCAUGCGCCUCCUGCAACAACAAAAGACGAACGGAGCUAGCUGGAAUGCAUAGCUUGUUAGCACGAAACACAAAUCCAUCGUUAACGAGAAACUUGUUCCACAUUCUUCCUUCUUUACAAUUCUGCAUUACAUCUUUAAAAUCAGCAUCAUGCACAUAUUGAUCUUUGAUGGUCUCCAAACCAAAUAUUUUGAAGUCAAGUUGUGAAAGCAUAGUAUAGCGGCGAGACAAUGCAUCAGCAAUAACAUUUUCUUUUCCCUUCUUGUGUUUAAUGACAUAAGGGAAAGUCUCAAUGAAUUCAACCCAUUUAGCAUGUCUACAAUUCAGUUUAGCUUGACUUUUAAUAUGUUUCAAAGAUUCAUGAUCAGAAUGUAUAACAAAUUCUUUGGGCCAUAAAUAAUGUUGCCAUGUUUCUAAAGUCCGAACAAGAGCAUAUAAUUCUUUAUCAUAAGUAGAAUAAUUCAGACUAGGCCCACUCAAUUUUUCAGAAAAGUAUGCAACAGGUUUGCCAUCUUGUAAUAACACACCUCCUAAUCCAAUUCCACUAGCAUCACAUUCAAGCUCAAAAAUCUUAUUAAAAUCAGGAAGUUGGAGUAAAGGAGCAUGUGUCAACUUAUCUUUCAAUACCGUGAAGGCUUCUUCCUGUGCGGUACCCCAAACAAAAGGCACAUCCUUCUUUGUAAGCUCGUUGAGAGGUGCAGCAAUGGUGCUGAAAUCUCUCACAAAACGCCUAUAGAAUCCAGCGAGGCCAAGAAAACUCCUCACUUGUGUGACCGUUUUGGGCUGCGGCCAACUCUCAAUAGCUUCAAUCUUGGCUUUGUCAACUUCAAUUCCCUGUGGAGUAACAACAUAGCCAAGAAAAGAUACUCGGUCGGUGCAAAAGGUGCACUUCCCAAGGUUACCAAACAAACGUGCAUCACGUAGAGCAAUAAAAACAGCACGUAAAUGUUUCAAAUGUUCUUCCAAAGAUCUGCUAUAAAUCAGUAUGUCAUCAAAGUAAACUACCACAAAUCGUCCAAUGAAAGCACGUAAAACUUCGUUCAUUAAUCUCAUGAAAGUACUAGGUGCAUUAGUUAACCCAAAAGGCAUGACUAACCACUCAUAUAAUCCAAACUUAGUUUUAAAUGCUGUUUUCCAUUCAUCUCCCAAUUUCAUACGAAUUUGAUGGUAGCCACUACGCAAAUCAACUUUGGAGAAUAUUGUAGAGCCACUCAAUUCAUCAAGCAUAUCAUCUAGCCUAGGAAUAGGAUGACGAUAACGAAUAGUAAUAUUAUUAAUGCCUCUACAAUCAACACACAUCCGUGAUGUACCAUCCUUUUUCGGCACUAGAAUAAUAGGAACAGCACAAGGACUAAGGGAUUCGCGUAUAUAACCUUUGUCGAGAAGCUCUUGUACUUGACGCAUAAUCUCCUUCGUCUCCUCUGGAUUGGUACGGUAUGGUGCACGGUUUGGCAGUGAAGCACCGGGAAUUAAGUCAAUCUGAUGCUCAAUCCCUCGAAUAGGCGGUAAUCCCGGUGGCACGUCUUGUGGAAAGACGUCAGCGAACUCCUGCAAAAUGUUAGUGACAGCAGGAGACAAAGAGGAAGGCACGUCCUCGAAUGAAAAUAAUGCCUCUUUGCACACAAAAGCAUAGCAAACAGAUUUGCUGAAAUCUAGCUCAUCAAUAUCAGAUUUGGUGGCAAAUAAACAUGCACUUUUCAAUUUAAUUUCAGAAGCAACACUAGAUGGUUUAUUAUUAGGCUUCAUUUGUUGCUCAAAUUCUUUUGCCACAAUCUGAUUUUCACUCUUAUUCGUCUCCUGUUUUGCUUUAUUAGCUCUAUUAAUAUCAUCUUUCAAAAUGGAAUCAGGAGUCAUAGGAAGCAAAGUAAUAUUUUUAUCCUUAUGAACAAGAGUAUAGUGAUUGUUUCUACCAUGGUGUACAGAAUUUUUAUCAAAUUGCCAUGGUCUACCAAGUAAUAAGGAACAUGCUUGCAUAGGUACCACAUCACAAUCAACAUAAUCAGCCUAUGUAGAUGAUAGAGGCGGGGUGUCCCGAUCUUUCGAUGAGAUGAUAACUAUCGAUUUGGUGGAGACGACUUUGACGAUCCGACUACGAACGUGCGAGGACGUCGCGCCUUAGCAAUCGCUAAACCAACUCCGAGAGGUUAUUGACCACGCCGGAGCACGAUCAACCUGACCACGAGGGUCUGUUUCCUGCGAGCAAACGAAGAACAAGCAAGAAACUGAGAUUGCAAUCUGGAUAUUGCGAAUAUAAGAUGAAAACUUUAUUGAUCAAGGUGGGGUUCUGUGACGCCUUUGUCUGGUCGUUGAACACAAACGAAGUACGCGAAGUUGCAGCUAUGGCGAACUUUUAAUCUAAACAAAACCCAAAGUCUAAACGAUGCCCUAAGGGCUGUAUAUAUGGAGGAAGAGGGGGGGAAUUUCGUGGCCCUUGGUGGAGGGAUCCGAAAUCAACCCUAUCUCUUGUUUCCCCACACAUACGGACUCUAAAAAUAGCCUAUACUUAUGUAUUUCGAAAUUACAUGGGCCUGGCCCAAUAAUAAGGUGACGCAGCACCUAAAAUAGCCUCGGGACGAAAUUUAUGAAGUGGCAUCUUGUAUAUUUCGUCCAAGGCUUCAUGCACCCAUUAUGGUGGCUUCAAAGUCCUGGAAUCAUCACUUGUAACUCCGUUCUUGUUCCCCUUGCGCAUGCCAUCAUCUCCAUGCUUGUUCUUGCUCCAAUGUUCAUCCUUCUCCAAGGUAGGCCCUUCAUUUGUAAGCAAAACAAAUGUAUCCAAUUUAGGCAGCAUCAUAUUCUCAUGAACAUUAGAAUCAUUACCAAGAAACGAAAGUACCUGGUAAUUUAGUUGGCGUGCACGAGCUCUAGUAAUUGGUCCAGUAUGUAUAGCAGCAGGGGCUGUGGGUGUAACAAUUGUAUUGAUGUCCUCAUCAACGUAGAGCAAUAAAAACAGCACGUAAAUGUUCCAAAUGUUCUUCCAAAGAUCUGCUAUAAAUCAAUAUGUCAUCAAAGUAAACUACCACAAAUCGUCCAAUGAAAGCACGUAAAACUUCGUUCAUUAAUCUCAUGAAAGUACUAGGUGCAUUAGUUAACCCAAAAGGCAUGACUAACCACUCAUAUAAUCCAAACUUAGUUUUAAAUGCUGUUUUCCAUUCAUCUCCCAAUUUCAUACGAAUUUGAUGGUAGCCACUACGCAAAUCAACUUUGGAGAAUAUUGUAGAGCCACUCAAUUCAUCAAGCAUAUCAUCUAGCCUAGGAAUAGGAUGACGAUAACGAAUAGUAAUAUUAUUAAUGCCUCUACAAUCAACACACAUACGUGAUGUACCAUCCUUUUUCGGCACUAGAAUAAUAGGAACAGCACAAGGACUAAGGGAUUCGCGUAUAUAACCUUUGUCGAGAAGCUCUUGUACUUGACGCAUAAUCUCCUUCGUCUCCUCUGGAUUGGUACGGUAUGGUGCAUGGUUUGGCAGUGCAGCACCGGGAAUUAAGUCGAUCUGAUGCUCAAUCCCUCGAAUAGGCGGUAAUCCCGGUGGCACGUCUUGUGGAAAAACGUCAGCGAACUCCUGCAAAAUGUUAGUGACAGCAGGAGGCAAAGAGGAAGGCACGUCCUCGAAUGAAAAUAAUGCCUCUUUGCACACAAAAGCAUAGCAAACAGAUUUGCUGAAAUCUAGCUCAUCAAUAUCAGAUUUGGUGGCAAAUAAACAUGCACUUUUCAAUUUAAUUUCAGAAGCAACACUAGAUGGUUUAUUAUUAGGCUUCAUUUGUUGCUCAAAUUCUUUUGCCACAAUCUGAUUUUCACUCUUAUUCUUCUCCUGUUGUGCUUUAUUAGCUCUAUUAAUAUCAUCUUUCAAAAUGGAAUCAGGGGUCAUAGGAAGCAAAGUAAUAUUUUUAUCCUUAUGAAUAAGAGUAUAUUGAUUGUUUCUACCAUGGUGUACAGAAUUUUUAUCAAAUUGCCAUGGUCUACCAAGUAAUAAGGAACAUGCUUGCAUAGGUACCACAUCACAAUCAACAUAAUCGGCAUAUGUAGAGAUACUAAAAUGCACACAAACAGUACGUGUUACCUUAACCUUGCCGCUGUUGUUGAACCAUUGGAUGUAGUAAGGAUGUGGAUGUGGUCUUGUGGUGAGAGAAAGCUUCUCCACCAUCUCCAUGCUAGCCAAGUUGUUGCAGCUCCCUCCGUCUAUGAUGACGCGCACAGAACGUUCCUUCACAACUCCCUUGGUAUGGAACAAAUUGUGCCUCUGAUUUUGCUCAGCUUGUGUGACCUGCACACUCAAAACACGUUGAGCAACUAAACAUUCAUACCUGUCAGCGUCUUCAGGAGCCAUGUAUUGCGUCUCAUGAUCAGAAUCAUCUCCACCAUGUUCUUCACGUGUAAUAAGAGCCAAAGUCUCCUCAUCAUAGUCACUAGCGGACUCAUAUCCACCAUCCGCGGUAGCAAUCAUCACACGCGGAGAUUUGCAUUCUCUCGCAUAAUGACCUCCUCCCUUACAACGACNNNNNNNNNNNNNNNNNNNNNNNNNNNNNNNNNNNNNNNNNNNNNNNNNNNNNNNNNNNNNNNNNNNNNNNNNNNNNNNNNNNNNNNNNNNNNNNNNNNNNNNNNNNNNNNNNNNNNNNNNNNNNNNNNNNNNNNNNNNNNNNNNNNNNNNNNNNNNNNNNNNNNNNNNNNNNNNNNNNNNNNNNNNNNNNNNNNNNNNNNNNNNNNNNNNNNNNNNNNNNNNNNNNNNNNNNNNNNNNNNNNNNNNNNNNNNNNNNNNNNNNNNNNNNNNNNNNNNNNNNNNNNNNNNNNNNNNNNNNNNNNNNNNNNNNNNNNNNNNNNNNNNNNNNNNNNNNNNNNNNNNNNNNNNNNNNNNNNNNNNNNNNNNNNNNNNNNNNNNNNNNNNNNNNNNNNNNNNNNNNNNNNNNNNNNNNNNNNNNNNNNNNNNNNNNNNNNNNNNNNNNNNNNNNNNNNNNNNNNNNNNNNNNNNNNNNNNNNNNNNNNNNNNNNNNNNNNNNNNNNNNNNNNNNNNNNNNNNNNNNNNNNNNNNNNNNNNNNNNNNNNNNNNNNNNNNNNNNNNNNNNNNNNNNNNNNNNNNNNNNNNNNNNNNNNNNNNNNNNNNNNNNNNNNNNNNNNNNNNNNNNNNNNNNNNNNNNNNNNNNNNNNNNNNNNNNNNNNNNNNNNNNNNNNNNNNNNNNNNNNNNNNNNNNNNNNNNNNNNNNNNNNNNNNNNNNNNNNNNNNNNNNNNNNNNNNNNNNNNNNNNNNNNNNNNNNNNNNNNNNNNNNNNNNNNNNNNNNNNNNNNNNNNNNNNNNNNNNNNNNNNNNNNNNNNNNNNNNNNNNNNNNNNNNNNNNNNNNNNNNNNNNNNNNNNNNNNNNNNNNNNNNNNNNNNNNNNNNNNNNNNNNNNNNNNNNNNNNNNNNNNNNNNNNNNNNNNNNNNNNNNNNNNNNNNNNNNNNNNNNNNNNNNNNNNNNNNNNNNNNNNNNNNNNNNNNNNNNNNNNNNNNNNNNNNNNNNNNNNNNNNNNNNNNNNNNNNNNNNNNNNNNNNNNNNNNNNNNNNNNNNNNNNNNNNNNNNNNNNNNNNNNNNNNNNNNNNNNNNNNNNNNNNNNNNNNNNNNNNNNNNNNNNNUGACUGCCCGGACCCAAAAACUGGAAACGGGUCAAAAAAAACUUCCUAUAAUGGCACCUGUCUCAAAACACUCAGAAACACCUAAAAAUAGGAUAGCCAGAAUUUUUUUCGAAAAAUGCGUUUUCGAAAAAUUUUGGGCCUAAACGGAGCGUGGCUACCCGACUCUUCUUUUUUUUUUUCCGAAACCUACUCCGGCAAGGAAACACGAAUCGGAAUCUAGAUUGAUCCCGAAAACAAACCUAAUAAGCAAGGAACUCGGAUUGGUGGUGGAUAUAUGGUGGUGGUAUAUGGCAGCGGAUUGGGGGUGGUAUAUGGAUACGGAUUCGGAGCGGUGGUGGUAGAUGGCAGGGGCGAUGAUGAUGGUGCGGCGACGGCGUGACAACUUGUGAACAAAACUCGAAACUCUAAAAGACUAGACGCUAAGACCAGCAACUGAACACGACGAUGCAACCGCAAAUUCAACAAAGCAAAUACAGAAAAGAUUAUGCAAGGCUCAGAUUGGUUCGGAUGGGAUGAACUAACCCUAAUUUUUUUUUGGCUUUUUCGUGGACUAUAGGUAUGAAGAACAGACUCGAUCUAAACUACGAAAAACUGUAAAAUCUCACCGAGCAACCUGGAAAUCUGAUACCACUUGAUAGAGGCGAGGGUGUCCCGAUCUUUCGAUGAGAUGAUAACUAUUGAUUUGGUGGAGACGACUUUGACGAUCCGACUACAAACGUGCACGACGUUGCGCCUUAGCAAUCGCUAAACCAAUCUCCUGAGGUUACUGACGAUGCCGGAAGCACGGUCAGCCUGACCACGAAGGUCUAUUCCUGCAAGCAAUCGAAGAACGAGCAAGAAUAUGAUAAAGCAAUCUGAAUAUUGCAAAUAUAUAUGAGGUAUUGAUAAUGGUGGGGAUCCGUAAGCGGUCUUGGUCUGGUCGUUGGACACAAACGAAGUACACGAAGUUGCGUUGGCUAACUUUUAACUAAACAAAUCCCAAAGUCUAAACGAUGCCCUAAGGGUUGUAUAUAUGGAGGAAGAGGGGGGGAAUUUCGUGGCCCUUGGUGGAGGGAUCCGAAAUCAACCCUAUCUCUUGUUUCCCCACACAUACGGACUCUAAAAAUAGCCUAUACUUAUGUAUUUCGAAAUUACAUGGGCCUGGCCCAAUAAUAAGGUGACGCAGCACCUAAAAUAGCCUCGGGACGAAAUUUAUGAAGUGGCAUCUUGUAUAUUUCGUCCAAGGCUUCAUGCACCCAUUAUGGUGGCUUCAAAGUCCUGAAAUCAUUACUUGUAACUCCGUUCUUGUUCCCCUUGCGCAUGCCAUCAUCUCCAUGCUUGUUCUUGCUCCAAUGUUCAUCCUUCUCCAAGCUAGGCCCUUCAUUUGUAAGCAAAACAAAUGUAUCCAAUUUAGGCAGCAUCAUAUUCUCAUGAACAUUAGAAUCAUUACCAAGAAACGAAAGUACCUGGUAAUUUAGUUGGCGUGCACGAGCUCUAGUAAUUGGUCCAGUAUGUAUAGUGAUAGAGGCAAAGGUGUCCCGUCUUUCGAUGAGAUGGUGGAUUUCGCUUUGGUGGAAGUCGACUUUGACGAUCCGACUACGAACGUGCGAGGACGUCGCGCCUUAGCAAUCGCUAAACCAACUCCGAGAGGUUAUUGACCACGCCGGAGCACGAUCAACCUGACCACGAGGGUCUGUUUCCUGCGAGCAAACGAAGAACAAGCAAGAAACUGAGAUUGCAAUCUGGAUAUUGCGAAUAUAAGAUGAAAGCUUUAUUGAUCAAGGUGGGGUUCUGUGACGCCUUUGUCUGGUCGUUGAACACAAACGAAGUACGCGAAGUUGCAGCUAUGGCGAACUUUUAAUCUAAACAAAACCCAAAGUCUAAACGAUGCCCUAAGGGCUGUAUAUAUGGAGGAAGGGGGGGGGGGAAUUUCGUGGCCCUUGGUGGAGGGGUCCGAAAUCAACCCUAUCUCUUGUUUCCCCACACAUACGGACUCUAAAAAUAGCCUAUACUUAUGUAUUUCGAAAUUACAUGGGCCUGGCCCAAUAAUAAGGUGACGCAGCACCUAAAAUAGCCUCGGGACGAAAUUUAUGAAGUGGCGUCUUGUAUAUUUCGUCCAAGGCUUCAUGCACCCAUUAUGGUGGCUUCAAAGUCCUGAAAUCAUCACUUGUAACUCCGUUCUUGUUUCCCUUGCGCAUGCCAUCAUCUCCAUGCUUGUUCUUGCUCCAAUGUUCAUCCUUCUCCAAGCUAGGCCCUUCAUUUGUAAGCAAAACAAAUGUAUCCAAUUUAGGUAGCAUCAUAUUCUCAUGAACAUUAGAAUCAUUACCAAGAAACGAAAGUACCUGGUAAUUUAGUUGGCGUGCACGAGCUCUAGUAAUUGGUCCAGUAUGUAUAGCAGCAGGGGUUGUGGGUGUAACAAUUGUAUUGAUGUCCUCAUCAUUUGGUGUUGUGAAUGAUUCCUAUGCUUACCAUAGACCUUUCAUUGAGCAAUUUGCCCAUGCUUGCUAUGAUCUUGAGGUAGAUGCUUAUUCUCUUGUUACACAUAUUUGCAUCACUACCUCACAUUUACAUGCUUGUCCCAAUGAUAUCUUUGAUUGUGCUCAAUUUAUGUGCUUGCAUACCAUGUCACAAUCCUUUGUCAAACCAUAUGCUUUGCAUGAUGACGACACUUGUUGGGUGAAUCACCACUUGAAUGCUUGGUUUUGCACUAAUGCUGAUGAGGACAUGAAUACCUUGGAUACGACCAAAAUUAUUGCAUACAUGCAUAUUUGUCAGGUGAUUUCUAAUGCAAACUAUUCAAUAAUCUAUUUAUGUUAUCCAGAACAAAAAUACUUCCCACACUUUUGUGUUUUAUCUAAUUGCAGGUGUAUGGGAUAUUUGUACAAUCCACAUAUGAAGAUACGGGAAAAGGAGAAGUUUAGGUUGUGAUAGAGGCAAAGGUGUCCCGUCUUUCGAUGAGAUGAUGGAUAUCGCUUUGGUGGAAGUCGACUUUGACGAUCCGACUACGAACGUGCGAGGACGUCGCGCCUUAGCAAUCGCUAAAAGAACUCCGAGAGGUUAUUGACCACGCCGGAGCACGAUCAACCUGACCACGAGGGUCUAUUUCCUGCGAGCAAACGAAGAACAAGCAAGAAACUAAGAUUGCAAUCUGGAUAUUGCGAAUAUAAGAUGAAAGCUUUAUUGAUCAAGGUGGGGUUCUGUGACGCCUUUGUCUGGUCGUUGAACACAAACGAAGUACGCGAAGUUGCUGCUAUGGCGAACUUUUAAUCUAAACAAAACCCAAAGUCUAAACGAUGCCCUAAGGGCUGUAUAUAUGGAGGAAGAGGGGGGAAUUUCGUGGCCCUUGGUGGAGGGGUCCGAAAUCAACCCUAUCUCUUGUUUCCCCACACAUACGGACUCUAAAAAUAGCCUAUACUUAUGUAUUUCGAAAUUACAUGGGCCUGGCCCAAUAAUAAGGUGACGCAGCACCUAAAAUAGCCUCGGGACGAAAUUUAUGAAGUGGCAUCUUGUAUAUUUCGUCCAAGGCUUCAUGCACCCAUUAUGGUGGCUUCAAAGUCCUGAAAUCAUCACUUGUAACUCCGUUCUUGUUCCCCUUGCGCAUGCCAUCAUCUCCAUGCUUGUUCUUGCUCCAAUGUUCAUCCUUCUCCAAGCUAGACCCUUCAUUUGUAAGCAAAACAAAUGUAUCCAAUUUAGGCAGCAUCAUAUUCUCAUGAACAUUAGAAUCAUUACCAAGAAACGGAAGUACCUGGUAAUUUAGUUGGCGUGCACGAGCUCUAGUAAUUGGUCCAGUAUGUAUAGCAGCAAGGGCUGUGGGUGUAACAAUUGUAUUGAUGUCCUCAUCAUCCUCCCCUUCUUGAAAUGAAGUCGUCCUCGACGGAAGUUCAUCUUCCUCACCCAAAUAAGGCUUCAAAUCUGCAAUGUUAAAAGUGGGACUAACCCCAAAAUCUGCAGGCAGCUCAAGUUUAUAUGCAUUAUCAUUUAUUUUCUCUAACACCUUAAAGGGACCAUCAGCACGUGGCAUUAGCUUUGAUUUGCGCAAAUCGGGAAAUCUAUCCUUACGCAAAUGUAACCAAACAAGAUCUCCAGGUGCAAACACAACAUGUUUUCUACCCUUAUCUCCAGCAAGUUUAUAUUUAGCAUUCAUCCGCUCAAUGUUUUCCUUAGUUAACUCAUGCAUUUUUAAAAUCAAUUCAGCACGUUGUUUAGCAUCAAAAUUAACCUUCUCCGAAGAUGGAAGAGGCAACAAAUCAAUAGGUGCAUGAGGUAGGAAACCAUACACAACUUCAAAAGGGCACAUCUUAGUAGUAGAAUGCAAUGAACGAUUAUAAGCAAAUUCAAUAUGAGGCAAGCAUUCCUCCCACAUUUUCUUAUUAUUCUUCAAAACAGCCCUAAGCAUAGUAGACAACGUUCUAUUGACUACUUCAGUUUGUUCAUCAGUUUGGGGGUGACAAGUAGUACUAAAAAGCAGUUUAGUCCCCAACUUAGCCCAUAAACAUCUCCAAAAGUGGCUAAGAAAUUUAGUAUCACGAUCUGAAACAAUAGUAUUUGGCACACCAUGCAAGCGAAUAAUUUCACGAAAGAACAAAUCAGCAACAUUAACAGCAUCAUCGCUUUUAUGACAUGGUAUAAAGUGUGCCAUUUUCGAGAAUCUAUCCACGACAACAAAUAUGCUAUCCCUCCCCUUCUUUGUUCAAGGUAAACCUAAAACAAAGUCCAUAGAUAUAUCCUCCCAAGGAACACUAGGUACAGGCAAAGGCAUAUAUAAACCAUGAGGAUUGAGUCGUGACUUAGCUUUUUGACAUGUAGUGCAUCGAGCAAUAAAACGCUCAACAUCCCGUCUCAUCUUUGGCCAAAAGAAAUGUGUAGCAAGUACGUCCUCCGUCUUCUUCACGCCAAAGUGUCCCAUUAAUCCUCCUCCAUGCGCCUCCUGCAACAACAAAAGACGAACGGAGCUAGCUGGAAUGCAUAGCUUGUUAGCACGAAACACAAAUCCAUCGUUAACGAGAAACUUGUUCCACAUUCUUCCUUCUUUACAAUUCUGCAUUACAUCUUUAAAAUCAGCAUCAUGCACAUAUUGAUCUUUGAUGGUCUCCAAACCAAAUAUUUUGAAGUAUUUACAUCUUUAAACUAGAAUUUUAUUGACAACUUUCAGUUGAUAACACUUAGACAUUUUCUCCAAAGGUUCGCAUUAAAAUAGGAGUGACCAUCUUUAUCAAGUUGUGUUGUCAAUAUGACAUCCUGGGAGUCAUCAACAAAGUAAAGCCCAAGAUUUCCUUCUACUCCUAUUCUUGCAAAGCAAGGGAUGUAUUGCUUGAAAUGAAAAUUAAGAUCAUAAAUUAGAUAUAUUGAAAUAACAAAGAAAGAUGCAAAUAUGGGAGUAACUGAUAGAACAGAUCAAUAUAUAGAUGAAAGCAAAGUACAAAAUAUAGAAUUAAAAAUAGAUAAUGUAAUAAAGAUUUGAUGCAAAUAUAUACAUAAUGUAGAACCGGACGGUAUAUGUUCACAAAUUUAGGCCAUGCUGACCGUGGUAGGUUGAGAUUGAAUAUACUGAGUGCUCCCUGAAGUCAUUCGGAAUGGUGAGACAAAACUUCGUUUCCGACUGGCCACGACCACAGUUGCCCGAUUUGUGGUCGCAUUGUGGACACAUGAAUGAACACCCACGAAUCAGCUAGAACAAAAAUGAUUCCAUGACAAUUUCUGCCAGUUGAUUAACAGCGACGAACAGAUUGCGAUAAGAGAUGAGUGAAUAUUUCGCUAAGUUGAUUACCUUCUCCGUGAGAAAAGCCCAAUCCCGCAAAAAAAACCCAGUCGAUUAGUCUAGAAUGUCGGUGCAGAUAGGCGGCAGAAAGCGGUAGGGGCGAAAUCCCGUGUCGUUUGGAGUGUGACCUAUGCCUGCCGCCAACAGCUGUCUAGCUUAGGGUGCAGAGUUGCGGAGGAGUCCGCGGCGAGUGAGUGGGGAUGAAGUGGGUGAGGGUUUUAUUUUUCCUUUUGCAUGUGUGAGUGAACACACAUGGUUCGCAGAGGAGACGGAGAUGAAUCGUGUGUGAUAGUAAAUCACUGAGAUUGGAUGGGAAUCCAAAUUUCCUUUGUCCUUCAUCCAUGAGUUUUUACUAUGAUGAACAUAAACCCUACUAAUCACUGUGUUCAAAUAUGACACUUUUUUGGGUUCAUUUACAAUAUUUAGGGGAUUAUGUGCAUUUUGUAGGCAUUAAUGCACAUAAUUCAAAUUGAAACAAUUGGUGCUUGAAAAGGUGCACAAUAACGGUCUGGAAAAACCAUACUCGUGGUAUUUAGUAAUUUCUCAAGCCUAUUACAAGGACUGGGCAGAUAUUUCAAUGGAAUGCAUGGCAAUAGUCAACCACAAACGUGUCAUUAAAUGGGUUAUCAACUAUUGAACAAUGAAGUAUGUGCUUGAAAAACCUGAUGCAUGGCAUGGUGCCAUGGUAUGGCCUCACCGUGCCCUAGAUUAAAAGCUGAGAAGGUUUGAUUUAUGUCCUCAUGCAUGCCCUUCAUAAAUCGAACCAUCACCAAGGAAUUUGAAUGUUUUUGAGAGGGAAAUCACCAAGAUUGAAGGGGAAUCCAAAUUUCCGUCCUCGUUUGUCAUUCAAUUUUUUUCCAACGAUCAACAUACCGCCUCAAAUGUAAUGUGUUCAAAUUUGACAUUUUUUCGAACUUGAUCAUUUACAUAUUUAGGGGAUUAUGUGCAUUUUCUAGGCAUUAAUUAUGCACAUAAUUCAAAUUCAAACAAUCGGUGCAUGAAAAGGUGCACAAGAACGGUCUGGAAAACCAUCCUCGUGGUAUUUAGUACAUUCUCGUGCCUUUUACAAGGAAUUGGCAGAUAUUUCAAGGAAAUGUGUGGCAAUAGUCAACCAUAAACAUGUCGUUUACUGGGUUAACAACUGUACAAAAAUGAAAUACAUGCAUGGAAAACAUGACGCCUGGUGUGAUGCCAUGGUAUGGCCUCACCGUGCCCUUGUAAAAAUGUCGCCAUGCACGCCUUUCAUAAAUCAAACCAUCACCGAGGAAGUUUCAUGGUUUCAAGGGGGAAAUCACCAAGAUUGAAGGGGGAUCCAAAUUUCCUUUGUCCUUUGUCCACAAGUUUUUUUCUAUGAUGAACAUACAACCUGCAAAUCACCAUGUUCAAAUUAGGCACUUUUCCGGGUUCAUUUGCCAUAUUUAGGGGAUUAUGUGCAUUUCCUAGGCAUUAAUGGACAUAAUUUAAGUUCAAACAAUCGGUGCAUGAAAGGGUUGUAACAUCCCAAAUUUUCAAUUUGGAAUGUUAUACAUUAGAUCAUCAUGCAUAUCAUAUUUUAUUUUGCAUUUUGGUUGAUCCUAGAAAUUCUACGCAACUCAAUGACCCACGGAGAGAGUUGGGGAUUUCGUUAUUUUCAUAUUAGAGUUUUCUCAAAUUUUGAGAAUAGGAUCAUUUGAUUUUAUUUAUUUUAUAAUCAAUUAUUUCUAUUACAAAAAUAUGAGAGAGGGAAUAAAAUGACUUUCCCAAAAUAAAGAAAUAUUGAGGAUUUGAUAAAAAAAAUCAAAUAAGAUUUUAUGUCGGAGUUUUUCGGUGUUUUAUUUGAAUUUAGGAAAAAUGUGCAUUUUCCAAAAUUGCAUUUAGGGCCCAAAUAAAUGUUCACCUUGUGCGGCUUGAUUUUAGAAGCCCGUAAAAAUUUAUUUCAGAAUUUUUGGAGUCCGUUUAGUAUUUCUUUUCAUUUUUCUUCCGAGCGGAAUAAUUAAAAAAAACGAACCGACUUCGGGCCGUACCCGAGCGGGACACCGCCCGGGGGCAGCCUUUAAAUAGCGCCGCCCCGAGCCGCCCUAGCCCAUCAGCCCCGCCUCGAUCCGCGCGCGCCGCCGGAGCCGCCGUUGCCGACGAUCCCGCCGCCCGAUGUUCGUCGCACCUUGUUUUUCGUGCCGAAAAAAAGAGAAAAAAAAUUCGGCGUUCGUCGUUUUUCUUUUUCUCGGAUUAAAUCCGCGAUUUUUCUGAUCGCAAUUCCUGAUCCAAUUUUAAUUUUAGUUUAACUUUUCUCUUGUUUAUCGGAAUUAGGCGAUUCAAGCGCCUAGAGUUUCGUCUCGAAACCCUCUAUCCGUUUAACCAACUUAAACAAGGUUUUGCUACUGUAAAAUUUGCCCUAGAUCCAGAUUAGUAGAACGAAGCUGUUUUCUUUCACCAUUUGACUUUUGUUGCUUCGUUCGAUUUGAUUCUUUUUGCAAACCGGAGUUCUUAAGUUGAACCUUCUGGUUAGAUCUCUUAUUUGAGUUUUACCUGUGCAUUAGAUGAGUACUUAUUGUAUGCUUGUUUGUUUUUCUGCGAUAGAAUACCCGGAGUGCGCCGCCUGUUACUUCGAAUCGUUAGGUUUCGGGGAUCAUCAGCAAGGCAAGUAACACUUUGAUCAUACCUUUUCUACUACCCAGUUUUAUUGCAUUAGAUCAAUCCUCACACAUUGCAUGAUUAGGAUCUAAUUAAAUUGUGGGAUGGGAAGUAGAUGAGGUAGUACCUAUUACCUGUUUAUUAUCAAACCUUUGGGAGUUACUUCUACAUUUGCUUAUUAUGCCAUGCUAUGCUAGUAGACGUGGAUUGGGUGAGUGAAAUCCAUGACAGAUGUGAGAUUGUUAAUUAAUGGUUUAUCUAAGGUGGCAACUUAAACACACAUCUAGGUGGAUUGAGGCACCUGGGUAUUCCAGGACUUGCCUGUUUUCUUUUGGACCGCCACCAAGGCUCAAAGGGAUCAUGAGACUAUUCAUACUAGAAACUUCCGUGUGCAGCCACAAGCUAUUAUGGGCUCUAGCAUAGUUGACUAAGUUGUGCGAACUCUUACAGUGGUAGACUAGUAGAUGUAGGUGGUACGGUCUACCCGAUCGUAAGGUGCUAGCGCUUCUGAAAGACUAUGUCUCGGUCAUCCGUCUUCUCAAACACCCUGUAGUGCGAGAAACCAAACGGAGGCGAUCGAGUCUUGUGGGGAAAAGUGCGCAGACCUCUACAGAGUGUAAUAAACUAAUCAUGGUUAGCCGUGUCCCCGGUUAUGGACAUCUCGAGUAUCUAGUACUUGGAUUAUCAUGUGAAUCUCAACAUGUUACUCUAAAUUAAUAUUGUUGGGUUUUAAUGUUGAUGCUUAAUUGGGAUUGAGAAUGCUGUCAACCAUUCUCAAUGUUUAACAACUACCAUGAUAGUAAUUAAAUUUUAUUCCUUUGAAGUAGGGAAAAUUGGCUUUACGCAAAAUUGUAACCAUAGAGCUUUCCACCAGCCAAAUAUGCAUAUAGUAUAGUUGUUUCAUUCCAUUACUCUCUAUGUGUUACCUUGCCAGCAUAUUCCAUGUGCUGACCCGUUUCGGGCUGCAACGUUAAUGUUGCAGACUUUUCAAAUGACGAUUGAGGAGUUUUUAGGUCGUGGUUCUAUACUCAGUGAUGCCGUUGGAGUUGAUGGACUCACUUAUCUUCCAAGCCUUCCGCUGUUAUAGUUAUUAGAUGGCCUUAAGCCAUAUUUGUUGUAAUGAGUUCUCUUAUGAGACACUCGAUGUAAUAAGUGUGUGAUUGCUACUCUGCUAUAAAUCCUCCGAGUACUGUGUGGUGUUAGCAUUACUGAUCCAGGGUGAUGAGGACAUCAAUACCAUUGUUACACCCACAACCCCUACUGUUACAUAUACUGGACCAAUUACUAGAGCUCGCGCACGCCAAUUAAAUUACCAGGUACUUUCGUUUCUUGGUAAUGAUUCUAAUGUUCAUGAGAUUAUGAUGCUGCCUAAAUUGGAUACAUUUGUUUUGCUUACAAAUGAAGGGCCUAGCUUGGAGAAGGAUGAACAUUGGAGCAAGAACACGCAUGGAGUUGAUGGCAUGCACAAGGGGAUCAAGAACGGAGUUACAAGUGAUGAUUUCAGGACUUUGAAGCCGCCAUAAGGAGUGCAUGAAGCCUUGGACGAAAUAUACAAGAUGCCACUUCAUAAUAUUCGUCCAUAGGCUAUUCUAGGUGCUGCGUCACCUUAUUAAUGGGCGAGGCCCAUGUAAUAAAUACUUAAGUAUAGGCUAUUUUUAGAGUCCGUAUGUGUGGGGAAACAAGAGUUAGGGUUGGUUUCGGACCCCACCCUCAAGGGCCACAAAAUUCCCCCUCUUCCUCCAUAUAUACAGCCCUUAGGGCGUCGUUUAGACUUUGGGUUUUGUUUAGAUUAAAAGUUCGCCAUAGCUGCAACUUCGCGUACUUCGUUUGUGUCCAACGACCAGACCAAGAUGUCAUAGAACCCCACCUUGAUCAAUAAAGCUUUCAUCUUAUAUUCGCAAUAUCCCGAUUGCAAUCUCAGUUUCUUGCUUGUUCUUUGUUUGCUCGCAGGAAAUAGACCCUCGUGGUCAGGUUGAUCGUGCUCCGGCGUGGUCAAUAACCCUCGGAAGUUGGUUUAGCGAUUGCUAAGGCGCGACGUCUCGCACGUUCGUAGUCGGAUCGUCAAGGUCGACUCCCACAGAAAACGAUAGCCACCAUCUCAUCGAAAGAUCGGGACCCUCGCCUCUAUCAAGUGGUAUCAGAUUUCCACGUUGCUUGGUGAGAUUUUUACAGUUUUUCGUAGAUUAGAUCGAGUCUGUUCUUCAUACCUACAGUCCACGAAAAAGCCACAAAAAAAUUUAGGGUUAGUUCAUCAUAUCCGAACCAAUCUGAGCCUUUGCAUAAUCUUUUUAGGGUUUUUGCUUUGUUGAAUUUGCGGUUGCAUCGUCGUGUCAAGUUGCUGGUCUUAGAGUCUAGUCUUUUAGAGUUUCGAGUUCUGGUCAUAAGUUGUCACGCCACCGCCGCACCAUCAUCAUCGCCUUGCCAUCUACCACCAUUGCUUAUCCGCCACCGCUCUGAAUCCAUAUCCAUAUACCACCACCAAUCCGUAUCCAUAUACCACCACCAAUCUGUAUCCAUAUACCACCACCGCUACCAUAUACCACCACCGCUGCCAUAUACCACAACCAUAUAUCCACCACCAAUCCGAGUUCUUCUCAUAUUAGGUUUGUUCUUGAGAUCAAUCUAAAUUCCGAUUCGUGUUUCCUUGCCUGCGUAGGUCUUGAGACCACCGGGCAGUUUUUAGGCCAAAAUUUUCACGGGCAAAUUUUUUUUCCCUAUCCUAUUUUUAGGCUUUUCUGAGUCUUUUGAGCCACGUGCCAUCAUAGUGAUUUUUUUGUCGCACUUUUUCGUCGUCACUGCCCUGAUUUCUGAAAAAAAAAUUCAUGCCCAUCCUAUCAGUUUGACGAGGGAAGAGUUUUGAGACACUCGCCAUUAUAGUGAUUUUUCGCAAAAAAAAAGAGGAGCGCAAAAAAAAGAGCGAAAAAAAGAGAGUUCCAGAGUGUGCUUUCCCCUUAUUUACGUGCAGCGCCGUGAUUUUGUUAGUGUUCUAGGCUCGCGUCUCUAGCACGGUCUAGCCUAGGACCAGCACAGUACCGUCGUUGAACGUUUAUUCAACUUUGCAUCUCUGAAUUGAUUAUUGCUGACCGUUUUUGCUACCAUACUAUAAGCCUUCCCAGAUCCACAUACAUCUACGUCGUGCGUUUGACUCUCCCUGGCAAUCGCUCUAUCCAAGCUUUUGAGAGUUUUUGACUACAACGGUUGCCGAUCACCGCCUGCUGCUGGGUAAGAACUGGUAAGAAUUUGAGAUUUGCUUGACGGAUUUGUGACACCCGCCACCACCACCACUUGUUAGUAGUCUGUAGGAUCAUAUUCUUGUGUGUUUCUAUUGCUGCUAACCAUGCCAGGAUCACAAGCCGACGAGACUGACUGGGAGAACUUGACGAACAAGGAGCUUCAUGAUACGUUUCAGCAAAUGAUGAAUGGACAGGUGCAAGAUGUGAUAAACAGAUUUGAAGAGGCCAUGGAGAAGAUAGAUGGCAUGGAGAAGACAUUUGAAACAAAGCUCGAUAACAAGUUUGCUGAAUUGCUUUCGCGUUUUCCACCACCACCACCGGCUGCUCCUGCUGCACCUCUGCAACAACAGCAACAACACCGACUACCUCCACGUCGGGGAACAACCCUCCGCCGAGCGAGCCGUGUCCCUCUUCAGUCGGGCCAAACUGCUGGUGCUGCUGUUGAUACUUCUGUGGCUCCUACUGCUGAUGUGGAGGAGGAUGCUUAUGUGGGAGAUUAUGAGGAUGAGGUUGAUCAAAAUCAGAACUACGUGCCACCAACAGCACAGCAACCACCAGGUCGUCCACAUGCAAAUAACGGCAAUGGUAGGGCUCACCCUCAGGUACGAGAUCAUGACCAUCUCCCUAAACUAAAAUUGAAUAUUCCACCAUUUGAGGGUAGAUAUGUUCCUGAUAUGUAUCUUACUUGGGAGUUAGAAACUGAACAACGAUUUACAUGUUUACAAUAUCCCGAGGAGAGACGUGUUCCUGCUGCUGUUUGUGCUUUCACUAGUUUUGCAUGUGUUUGGUGGUCUGAGCAUUGUAGAUUAUAUCCUAUUCCGGCUACUUGGGCUGCUUUGAAAACUGCUAUGCGUACUCGUUGGGUUCCACCAUAUUAUCAACGUGAAUUACUUCAAAAAUUGCAGCGCUUAAGACAGGGAAAAAAAUUUGUAGAAGAAUAUUAUCAGGAAUUACAAACUGGCAUGAUUAGAUGUGGUAUUGUUGAGGAGAAUGAAGCUAUGCUUGCACGUUUUAUGGGUGGAUUAAAUAGAGAGAUUCAAACAAUUCUAGAGUAUAAGGAGUAUACUAAUAUCACUCGUUUAUUCCAUCUUGCUUGUAAAGCUGAACGUGAAGUGCAGGAUCGACAUGCAUUGGCGCGGACUAACUUUUCUGCAGGUCGACCUUCAUCAUGGACACCACGUGCAUCAUCUACUUCCACGCAUUCUGCUACACCGGCGCCUCCGUCGGCUGCCACCUCCAACCGUGAUACAAUAAAGCAGGCACAAUCACCACUAUCUGCCAAGAGCACACCUUCUGGGCCUGCAAAGGGCUCUUCUUCAUCCAUGGCAUCAACAGGGCAAACACAUGAUAUUAUUUGUCGAUGUUGCAAGGGUGGAGGUCAUUAUGCGAGAGAAUGCCCAUCUAAGCGUGUGAUGAUUGUUGCUGAGGAUGGUGGGUAUGAGUCCGCUAGUGACUAUGAUGAGGAGACAUUGGCUCUUAUUACACGUGAAGAACAUGGUGGAGAUGAUUCUGAUCAUGAGACGCAAUACAUGGCUCCUGAAGAUGCUGACAGGUAUGAAUGUUUAGUUGCUCAACGUGUUUUGAGUGUGCAGGUCACACAAGCUGAGCAAAAUCAGAGGCACAAUUUGUUCCAUACCAAGGGAGUUGUGAAGGAACGUUCUGUGCGCGUCAUAAUAGACGGAGGGAGCUGCAACAACUUGGCUAGCAUGGAGAUGGUGGAGAAGCUUUCUCUCACCACAAGACCACAUCCACAUCCUUACUACAUCCAAUGGUUCAACAACAGCGGCAAGGUUAAGGUAACACGUACUGUUCGUGUGCAUUUUAGUAUAUCUACAUAUGCUGAUUAUGUUGAUUGUGAUGUGGUACCUAUGCAAGCAUGUUCCUUAUUACUUGGUAGACCAUGGCAAUUUGAUAAAAAUUCUGUGCACCAUGGUAGAAACAAUCAGUAUACUCUUGUUCAUAAAGAUAAAAAUAUUACUUUGCUUCCUGUGACUCCUGAUUCCAUUUUGAAAGAUGAUAUUAAUAGAGCUAAUAAAGCAAAACAGGAGACAAAUAAGAGUGAAAAUCAGAUUGUGGCAAAAGAAUUUGAGCACCAAAUGAAGCCUAAUAAUAAACCAUCUACUGUUGUUUCUGAAAUUAAAUUGAAAAGUGCAUGUUUACUUGCCACCAAAUCUGAUAUUGAUGAGCUAGAUUUCAGCAAAUCUGUUUGCUAUGCUUUUGUGUGCAAAGAGGCAUUAUUUUCAUUCGAGGACGUGCCUUCCUCUUUGCCCCCUGUUGUCACUAACAUUUUGCAGGAGUUCGCUGACGUCUUUCCACAAGACGUGCCACCGGGAUUACCACCUAUUCGAGGGAUUGAGCAUCAAAUUGACUUAAUUCCCAGUGCUUCGCUACCCAACCGUGCACCAUACCGUACCAAUCCAGAGGAGACGAAGGAGAUUAUGCGUCAAGUACAAGAACUGCUCGACAAAGGUUAUAUACGCGAAUCCCUUAGUCCUUGUGCUGUUCAUAUCAUUUUAGUGCCGAAAAAGGAUGGUACGUCGCGUAUGUGCAUUGAUAGUAGAGGCAUUAAUAAUAUUACUAUUCGUUAUCGUCAUCCUAUUCCUAGGCUAGAUGAUAUGCUUGAUGAAUUGAGUGGCUCUACAAUAUUCUCCAAAGUUGAUUUGCGUAGUGGAUACCAUCAAAUUCGUAUGAAAUUGGGUGAUGAAUGGAAAACAGCAUUUAAAACUAAGUUUGGAUUAUAUGAGUGGUUAGUCAUGCCUUUUGGGUAAACUAAUGCACCUAGUACUUUCAUGAGGUUAAUGAACGAAGUUUUACGUGCUUUCAUUGGACGAUUUGUGGUAGUUUACUUUGAUGACAUAUUGAUUUAUAGCAAAUCUUUGGAGGAACAUUUGGAACAUUUACGUGCUGUUUUUAUUGCUCUACGUGAUGCACGUUUGUUUGGAAACCUUGGGAAGUGCACCUUUUGCACCGACCGAGUAUCUUUUCUUGGCUAUGUUGUUACUCCACAGGGAAUUGAAGUUGAUAAAGCCAAGAUUGAAGCUAUUGAGAGUUGGCCGCAGCCCAAAACGGUCACACAAGUGAGGAGUUUCCUUGGCCUCGCUGGUUUCUAUAGGCGUUUUGUGAGAGAUUUCAGCACCAUUGCUGCACCUCUCAACGAGCUUACAAAGAAGGAUGUGCCUUUUGUUUGGGGUACCGCACAGGAAGAAGCCUUCACGGUAUUGAAAGAUAAGUUGACACAUGCUCCUUUACUCCAACUUCCUAAUUUCAAUAAGACUUUUGAGCUUGAAUGUGAUGCUAGUGGAAUUGGAUUAGGAGGUGUGUUAUUACAAGAUGGAAAACCCGUUGCAUACUUUCCUGAAAAAUUGAGUGGGCCUAGUCUGAACUAUUCUACUUAUGAUAAAGAAUUAUAUGCUCUUGUUCGGACCUUAGAAACAUGGCAACAUUAUUUAUGGCCCAAGGAAUUUGUUAUACAUUCUGAUCAUGAAUCUUUGAAACACAUUAAAAGUCAAGCAAAACUGAACCGUAGACAUGCUAAAUGGGUUGAAUUCAUUGAGACUUUCCCUUAUGUCAUUAAACACAAGAAGGGUAAAGAAAAUGUUAUUGCUGAUGCCUUGUCUCGUCGUUAUACUAUGCUUUCACAACUUGACUUUAAAAUAUUUGGUUUGGAGACCAUCAAAGAUCAAUAUGUUCAUGAUGCUGAAUUUAAAGAUGUAUUGCAGAAUUGUAAGGAAGGGAGAACUUGGAACAAGUUCGUUCUGAACGAUGGAUUUGUGUUUCGUGCUAACAAGCUAUGCAUUCCAGCUAGCUCCAUUCGUCUUUUGUUGUUGCAGGAGGCGCAUGGAGGAGGCUUAAUGGGACACUUUGGCGUCAAGAAGACGGAGGAUAUACUUGCUACACAUUUCUUUUGGCCGAAGAUGAGACGGGAUGUUGAGCGUUUUGUUGCUCGCUGCACUACAUGUCAAAGAGCUAAGUCACGACUCAAUCCUGAUGGUUUAUAUAAGCCUUUGCCAGUACCUAAGAACUGGUAAGAAUUUGAGAUUUGCUUGACGGAUUUGUGACACCCGCCACCACCACCACUUGUUAGUAGUCUGUAGGAUCAUAUUCUUGUGUGUUUCUAUUGCUGCUAACCAUGCCAGGAUCACAAGCCGACGAGACUGACUGGGAGAACUUGACGAACAAGGAGCUUCAUGAUACGUUUCAACAAUGAUGAAUGGACAGGUGCAAGAUGUGAUAAACAGAUUUGAAGAGGCCAUGGAGAAGAUAGAUGGCAUGGAGAAGACAUUUGAAACAAAGCUCGAUAACAAGUUUGCUGAAUUGCUUUCGCGUUUUCCACCACCACCGGCUGCUCCUGCCGCACCUCUGCAACAACAGCAACAACACCGACUACCUCCACGUCAGGAAACAGCCCUCCGCCGAGCGAGCCGUGUCCCUCUUCAGUCGGGCCAAACUGCAGGUGCUGCUGUUGAUACUUCUGUGGCUCCUACUGCUGAUGUGGAGGAGGAUGCUUAUGUGGGAGAUUAUGAGGAUGAGGUUGAUCAAAAUCAGAACUACGUGCCACCUCCAACCGUGAUACAAUAAAGCAGGCACAAUCACCACUAUCUGCCAAGAGCACACCUUCUGGGCCUGCAAAGAGCUCUUCUUCAUCCAUGGCAUCAACAGGGCAAACAGAUGAUAUUAUUUGUCGACGUUGCAAGGGUGGAGGUCAUUAUGCGAGAGAAUGCCCAUCUAAGCGUGUGAUCAUUGUUACUGAGGAUGGUGGGUAUGAGUCCGCUAGUGACUAUGAUGAGGAGACUUUGGCUCUUAUUACACGUGACGAACACGGUGGAUACGAUUCUGAGAUGAUGAGGACAUCAAUACCAUUGUUACACCCACAGCCCCUACUGUUACAUAUACUGGACCAAUUACUAGAGCUCGCGCACGCCAAUUAAAUUACCAGGUACUUUCGUUUCUUGGUAAUGAUUCUAAUGUUCAUGAGAUUAUGAUGCUGCCUAAAUUGGAUACAUUUGUUUUGCUUACAAAUGAAGGGCCUAGCUUGGAGAAGGAUGAACAUUGGAGCAAGAACACGCAUGGAGUUGAUGGCAUGCACAAGGGGAUCAAGAACGGAGUUACAAGUGAUGAUUUCAGGACUUUGAAGCCGCCAUAAGGAGUGCAUGAAGCCUUGGACGAAAUAUACAAGAUGCCACUUCAUAAUAUUCGUCCAUAGGCUAUUCUAGGUGCUGCGUCACCUUAUUAAUGGGCCAGGCCCAUGUAAUUUCGAAAUACUUAAGUAUAAGCUAUUUUUAGAGUCCGUAUGUGUGGGGAAACAAGAGUUAGGGUUGGUUUCGGACCCCACCCUCAAGGGCCACGAAAUUCCCCCUCUUCCUCCAUAUAUACAGCCCUUAGGGCGUCGUUUAGACUUUGGGUUUUGUUUAGAUUAAAAGUUCGCCAUAGCUGCAACUUUGCGUACUUCGUUUGUGUCCAACGACCAGACCAAGACGUCACAGAACCCCACCUUGAUCAGUAAAGCUUUCAUCUUAUAUUCGCAAUAUCCCGAUUGCAAUCUCAGUUUCUUGCUUGUUCUUUGUUUGCUCGCAGGAAAUAGACCCUCGUGGUCAGGUUGAUCGUGCUCCGACGUGGUCAAUAACCCUCGGAAGUUGGUUUAGCGAUUGCUAAGGCGCGACGUCUUGCACGUUCGUAGUCGGAUCGUCAAGGUCGACUCCCACAGAAAACGAUAGCCACCAGCUCAUCGAAAGAUCGGGACCCUCGCCUCUAUCAAGUGGUAUCAGAUUUCCAGGUUGCUCGGUGAGAUUUUUACAGUUUUUCGUAGAUUAGAUCGAGUCUGUUCUUCAUACCUACAGUCCACGAAAAAGCCACAAAAAAAAUUAGGGUUAGUUCAUCAUAUCCGAACCAAUCUGAGCCUUUGCAUAAUCUUUUUAGGGUUUUUGCUUUGUUGGAUUUGCGGUUGCAUCGUGAUGAGGACAUGACUACCUUGGAUAUGACCAAAAAUAUUGCAUAUAUGCAUAUUUGUCAGGUGAUUUCUAGUGCAAACUAUUCAAUAAUCUAUUUAUGUUAUCCAGAACAAAAAUACUUCACACACUUUUGUGUUUUGUCUAAUUGCAGGUGUAUGGGACAUUUGUACAAUCCACAUAUGAAGAUAAGGAAGAAAGAUAUGUUUAUUUGCUGUCCAAAAAGUUCUCUCACGUCACUUUUGGCCCAAGAGAAGAUAGAGUCCAAGUCUCUCACGUUCUGGAUUCAGAUUCGGACUGCACAGACAUACCUGACUCAAAACGCACACAAGUUUUUCAUACGGACUCCGAAUUGGGUGAUUCUUUUUUUGUUGGAAACUAGAUUUCGUGCACUUUCCAACCCAAUUGGAAUCACCUUCAAAUUCGUUCGGAGCGUUGAGUUGUGGACGAAACAAUCUGAUGCUGCAGCAGAAUCCGAGUCAAACUACAAGUCCAAAGGUGUUACAUCACCUCCACUUGGGCCCAUUGGCCUUGUACGACCUAGAUUUAGUUUUAGGCUGCCUUGGGACGUCCUCCCACCUCCUUGGCCGCCACCCCUUGCUCCUAUAUAAGUAGAUCCAUCUAGUAGCUUUUCCUUGGGAUUUGUUUAGUUAAAAGUUAGCCAUUGCAACUUCGUGUGCUUCGUUUGUGUCCAACGACCAGACCAAGACCACUUUUCGGAUCCCCACCAUUAUCAAUACCUCAUAUAUAUUUGCAAUAUUCAGAUUGCUUUAUCAUAUUCUUGCUCGUUCUUCGAUUGCUUGCAGGAAUAGACCUUCGUGGUCAGGCUGACCGUGCUUCCGGCAUCGUCAGUAACCCCAGGAGAUUGGUUUAGCGAUUGCUAAGGCGCAACGUCGUGCACGUUUGUAGUCGGAUCGUCAAAGUCGUGUCCACCAAAUCGAUAGUUAUCAUCUCAUCGAAAGAUCGGGACACCCUCGCCUCUAUCAAGUGGUAUCAGUUUUCAGGUUGCUCGGUGAGAAUUUCCAGUUUUCCUAGAUUAGAUUUAUUUUCUUACCUAUUGUCCAAGAAAAAGCCACAAAAAAGAGUUAGAUCUAUUCAUCCUUGGUCCAAGCCAGUCUGAGCCUUUGCAAUUUUCUUUUCAUUGCUUGCAUAGUUGAAUUAUCGGUUGCAUCGUCGUGUCGAGUUGCUGGUCUUAGUGUCUAGUUCGUUUAGAGUUUCGAGUUCUGUUCACAUUAGUCACGCCACCGCUGCAUCAUUAUCUCUUCCGCUGUCCACCACCCAUCCAUCAAUUUCCACCACGUGCUACCCACCAUUCAUUGUCAUAAUAAUAGUUGAGAUCGUUCACAUCUUCACUUGAUCCAAUCUGCAUCUUAUCUAGUUUGUUUUGGAAAGAGGGAGAAAAAAAAAGAGAGAAAAAAAAGGAAAAAAAAGUUCGAGAAAAAAAAAGGAGAGAAAGAAAAAAAAGUGUGAGGAAAAAAAAGAGAGAAGAAAAAAAACAAAAAAAUCGGCACAAACUUUUUCAGAGGAAAGUUGGAGACAAAGUUGUUGAUAUAUCCUGCUUGGCUGUUGUUUCACCUCAUUAUCUUCACUGCUGUUGUGAUCUUCACUUAUAUCUUGCUGUCAAGAGCUACUUAGUAUCCUUCAUUGAUGCUAGUUGUGCUACGCCGUGACCUCAUUAGUGUUCUAGGCUCGCGUCUCUAGUUCGGUCUAGCCUAGGACCAGCACAGUACCGUCGUUGAGCGUUUAUUCAACAUUGCAUCUUUGAAUUGAUUAUUGCUAAUCUUUUGCUACCAUAUAUAGCCAACCCAGCUCCACAUAUUUCUACACCGUGUAUACGUACGCUCCCCUGGCAAUCACUUUACUCAAUAUUCGGAGUUACUUGACACCGCUGGUUGCCGAUCACCGCCUGCUGCAUGGUAAGAACUUGUAAGACAUUGAUAUUUGCUUUACUGUGAGCGUUUUACCACCACAUCCUAGUAGUUAUAGGAACAUUAUUUUUGGGUUUUGUUUCUUGUUCUACUAAUCAUGACAGGAUCCAGAGUCAAUUCAUGGGCUUUGUCGAUCGCGGGAGACGUGCCACCACCUUUGCAAAUACCACAACCAUCACGAGGGGUGCACAAACAUCCAAAUGCACAUGAUCAGGUUAAUGUAUCUAUACCACCAUUUAAUGGCCGUUUUAAACCUGCUUUAUAUAUUGAAUGGGAGUUCGACAUAAAAAAUAUAUUUGCUUCCCAUAAUUUCGAUGAACAUAAAAAGGUUAAGGUUGCGGUUGGUUCUUUCACUGGUUAUGCUUUGGUUUGGUGGAGUGAAUAUUGUCGGUUACACCCUGAUUAUAUACCUACUACUUGGGAUGAUUUGAAACUUGCCAUGCGACAUACUUUCGUCCCUGCUUAUUAUACUCGUGACAUGAUUAAGAAGUUGCAACACUUAAAACAAGGUAGUGAAACUGUAACAAAAUAUUAUGAUGAUUUACAAACUACCUUGUUGCAUUCCUCUUUAGACGAAAGUGAAGAUGAUUUUAUGGAUAGAUUUUGGGGAGGAUUAAACCGUGAUAUUCAAGAGAUACUAAUUCAUGAAGAGUGUUAUCCUAUGGACCAUUUGUUUCAUCUUGCUUGCAAAGCUGAACAGGAAAUAAAACGACGUGUUGGCCACGAGGAGAACAAGCGCACGGUGCACAUUCCAAGAGUUGAUAUGAUUGUUCCUUCAACUACUAGGCAUACUAUGACAACCACAUCCGUUGUUGUCAGGACUACAUCACCUCCACCAUGUGACACAUCGGCCCCGAGAGUGGCUACAUCAUCUGAGUUGAUCAUAAGAGGUAAUGACACAGGUACUGAUCUUCCAUCUCUACAUGAGAAUGAUGAAUGCCUUGUCAAUUUGAAUGCACCAUCUGAUGAGCUACCCACUACUUUGAUCACACCACCUAUUUUAGAGGACUACAUUGAUAAUUUGACUUUGCCAUAUGAUCAAACAACUGAAAUACCAACAAUUUUAAGGGCACCCAUUGAAUUAACUAUUGAUGCAAAAGAACCAAUGUUUAAUCAUUUUGAUAUGACCUCUAAUCUUGGUGAUGACUCUGUGUUGAAUGACUUAUUGCAUGUUUGCUUAUUUAAGCAUGUUGUAGCAUGUAAAUUUGAUGCAAGUAAGGUUUAUUCACCAAUGUUGGGAUGGUUUAAUGAUGAACAUUGUCAAUCUUUUGAAAUGAAUAAGAGCUUCACUUAUAUGUGCAAACUGAGUUGCAAUAUUUUCAUGCCUUCUACUUCUUGUGCUAAUUUUUUGGCUUUAGAUUUUAUGAACUAUGCAAGUUACUCAUCUAUUCAUGUGUCAUAUAUGCAAAAAUCAAGGGAAGUAAAAAUGGAUGACAUAUACAUAUACAACAUGUACACCUUGUCUCUUUUGUUAGCCACAUUUCAGAUUAAGCAACGCCGAGGACGGCUUUAUUUUCAAGAAGGGGAGGAUGAUGAGGACAUGACUACCUUGGAUAUGACCAAAAAUAUUGCAUAUAUGUAUAUUUGUCAGGUGAUUUCUAGUGCAAACUAUUCAAUAAUCUAUUUAUGUUAUCCAGAACAAAAAUACUUCACACACUUCUGUGUUUUGUCUAAUUGCAGGUGUAUGGGACAUUUGUACAAUCCACAUAUGAAGAUAAGGAAGAAAGAGAUGUUUAUUUGCUGUCCAAAAAGUUCUUUCACGUCACUUUUGGCCCAAGAGAAGAUAGAGUCCAAGUCUCUCACGUUCUGGAUUCAGAUUCGGACUGCACAGACAUACCUGACUCAAAACGCACACAAGUUUUUCAUACGGACUCCGAAUUGGGUGAUUCUUUUUUUGUUGGAAACUAGAUUUCGUGCACUUUCCAACCCAAUUGGAAUCACCUUCAAAUUCGUCCGGAGCGUUGAGUUGUGGACGAAACAAUCUGAUGCUGCAGCAGAAUCCGAGUCAAACUACAAGUCCAAAGGUGUUACAUCACCUCCACUUGGGCCCAUUGGCCUUGUACGACCUAGAUUUAGUUUUAGGCUGCCUUGGGACGUCCUCCCACCUCCUUGGCCGGCACCCCUUGCUCCUAUAUAAGUAGAUCCAUCUAGUAGCUUUUCCUUGGGAUUUGUUUAGUUAAAAGUUAGCCAUUGCAACUUCGUGUACUUCGUUUGUGUCCAACGACCAGACCAAGACCGCUUCCGGAUCCCCACCUUUAUCAAUACUUCAUAUAUACUCGCAAUAUUCAGAUUGCUUUUAUCAUAUUCUUGCUUGUUCUUCGAUUGCUUGCAGGAAUAGACCUUCGUGGUCAGGUUGAUUGUGCUCCAGCGUGGUCAAUAACCUUUCGGAGUUGGUUUAGCGAUUGCUAAGGCGCAACGUCGUGCACGUUUGUAGUCGGAUCAUCAAAGUCAUCUUCACCAAAUCGAUAGUUAUCAUCUCAUCGAAAGAUCGGGACACCCUCGCCUCUAUCAAGUGGUAUCAGUUUUCAGGUUGCUCGGUGAGAAUUUCCAGUUUUCCUAGAUUAGAUUUAUUUUCUUACCUAUUGUCCAAGAAAAAGCCACAAAAAAAGAGUUAGAUCUAUUCAUCCUUGGUCCAAGCCAGUCUGAGCCUUUGCAAUUUUCUUUUCAUUGCUUGCAUAGUUGAAUUAUCGGUUGCAUCGUCGUGUCGAGUUGCUGGUCUUAGUGUCUAGUUCCUUUAGAGUUUCGAGUUCUGUUCACAUUAGUCACGCAGCCGCUGCAUCAUUAUCCCAUCCGCUGUCCACCAUCCAAUCCACCAAUUUCCACCACGUGCUACGCACUGUUUAUUGUCAUAAUCAUAGUUGAGGUCACUCACAUCUUCGCCUGAUCGAAUCUGCAUCUUAUCUAGUUUGUCUUGGAAAGAGGGAGAAAAAGAAGAUAAAGAAAAAAAAAGAGAAAAAAGGAAAGAAAAAAAAAAGAAAAAGAGGGAGAAGAAAAAGGAAAAAAAAAGCGUGAGAAAAAAAAGAGAGAAGAAAAAAAAAUUGGAUCUAUCUAGAAUCAAUCUCGUACCUGAAUUCGGAUUGGAAUCUGUUUUGUGCACUGUUCAGUAAAACAACUUGGCUAUUGUUUCACAUCAUUAUCUUUACUGCCGUUGUGAUCUUCACUUAUAUCUUGCUGUCCAGAGCUACUUUGUAUCCUUCAUUGAUGCUGGUUGUGCUACGACGUGACCUCAUUAGUGUUCUAGGCUUGCGUCUCUAGUUCGGUCUAGCCUAGGACCAGCACAGUACCGUCGUUGAGCGUUUAUUCAACAUUGUAUCUUUGAAUUGAUUAUUGCUAAUCUUUUGCUACCAUAUAUAGCCAACCCAGCUCCACAUAUUUCUACACCGUGUAUACGUACGCUCCCCUGGCAAUUGCUUUACUCAAUAUUCGGAGUUACUUGACACCGCUGGUUGCCGAUCACCGCCUGCUGCAUGGUAAGAACGUGUAAGACAUUGAUAUUUGCUUUACUGUGAGCGUUUUACCACCACAUCCUAGUAGUUAUAGGAACAUUAUUUUUGGGUUUUGUUUCUUGUUCUACUAAUCAUGACAGGAUCCAGAGUCAAUUCAUGGGCUUCGUCGAUCGCGGGAGACGUGCCACCACCUUUGCAAAUACCACAACCGUCACGAGAGGUGCACAAACAUCCAAAUGCACAUGAUCAGGUUAAUGUAUCUAUACCACCAUUUAAUGGCCGUUUUAAACCUGCUUUAUAUAUUGAAUGGGAGUUUGACAUAAAAAAUAUAUUUGCUUCCCAUAAUUUCGAUGAACAUAAAAAGGUUAAGGUUGCGGUUGGUUCUUUCACUGGUUAUGCUUUGGUUUGGUGGAGUGAAUAUUGUCGGUUACACCCUUAUUAUAUACCUACUACUUGGGAUGAUUUGAAACUUGCCAUGCGACAUACUUUCGUCCCUGCUUAUUAUACUCGUGACAUGAUUAAGAAGUUGCAACACUUAAAACAAGGUAGUGAAACUGUAACAAAAUAUUAUGAUGAUUUACAAACUACCUUGUUGCAUUCCUCUUUAGAAGAAAGUGAAGAUGAUUUUAUGGAUAGAUUUUGGGGAGGAUUAAACCGUGAUAUUCAAGAGAUACUAAUUCAUGAAGAGUGUUAUCCUAUGGACCAUUUGUUUCAUCUUGCUUGCAAAGCUGAACAGGAAAUAAAACGACGUGUUGGCCACGAGGAGAACAAGCGCACAGUGCACAUUCCAAGAGUUGAUAUGAUUGUUCCUUCAACUACUAGGCAUACUAUGACAACCACAUCCGUUGUUGUCAGGACUACAUCACCUCCACCAUGUGACACAUUGCCCCCGAGAGUGGCUACAUCAUCUGAGUUGAUCAUAAGAGGUAAUGACAAAGGUACUGAUCUUCCAUCUCUACAUGAGAAUGAUGAAUGCCUUGUCAAUUUGAAUGCACCAUCUGAUGAGCUACCCACUACUUUGAUCACACCACCUAUUUUAGAGGACUACGUUGAUAAUUUGACUUUGCCAUGUGAUCAAACAACUGAAAUACCAACAAUUUUGAGUGCACACAUUGAAUUAACUAUUGAUGCAAAAGAACCAAUGUUUAAUCAUUUUGAUAUGACCUCUAAUCUUGGUGAUGAUUCUGUGUUGAAUGACUUAUUGCAUGUUUGCUUAUUUAAGCAUGUUGUAGCAUGUAAAUUUGAUGCAAGUAAGGUUUAUUCACCAAUGUUGGGAUGGUUUAAUGAUGAACAUUGUCAAUCUUUUGAAAUGAAUAAGAGCUUCACUUAUAUGUGCAAACUGAGUUGCAAUAUUUUCAUGCCUUCUACUUCUUGUGCUAAUUUUUUGGCUUUAGAUUUUAUGAACUAUGCAAGUUACUCAUCUAUUCGUGUGUCAUAUAUGCAAAAAUCAAGGGAAGUAAAAAUGGAUGACAUAUACAUAUACAACAUGUACACCUUGUCUCUUUUGUUAGCCACAUUUCAGAUUAAGCAACGCCGAGGACGGCUUUAUUUUCAAGAAGGGGAGGAUGAUGAGGACAUGACUACCUUGGAUAUGACCAAAAAUAUUGCAUAUAUGCAUAUUUGUCAGGUGAUUUCUAGUGCAAACUAUUCAAUAAUCUAUUUAUGUUAUCCAGAACAAAAAUACUUCACACACUUUUGUGUUUUGUCUAAUUGCAGGUGUAUGGGACAUUUGUACAAUCCACAUAUGAAGAUAAGGAAGAAAAAGAUGUUUAUUUGCUGUCCAAAAAGUUCUCUCACGUCACUUUUGGCCCAAGAGAAGAUAGAGUCCAAGUCUCUCACGUUCUGGAUUCAGAUUCGGACUGCACAGACAUACCUGACUCAAAACACACACAAGUUUUUCAUACGGACUCCGAAUUGGGUGAUUCUUUUUUUGUUGGAAACUAGAUUUCGUGCACUUUCCAACCCAAUUGGAGUCACCUUCAAAUUCGUCCGGAGCGUCGAGUUGUGGACGAAACAAUCUGAUGCUGCAGCAGAAUCCGAGUCAAACUACAAGUCCAAAGGUGUUACAUCACCUCCACUUGGGCCCAUUGGCCUUGUACGACCUAGAUUUAGUUUUAGGCUGCCUUGGGACGUCCUCCCACCUCCUUGGCCGCCACCCCUUACUUCUAUAUAAGUAGAUCCAUCUAGUAGCUUUUUCCUUGGGAUUUGUUUAGUUAAAAGUUAGCCAUUGCAACUUCGUGUACUUCGUUUGUGUCCAACGACCAGACCAAGACCGCUUCCGGAUCCCCACCAUUAUCAAUACUUCAUAUAUAUUUGCAAUAUUCAGAUUGCUUUAUCAUAUUCUUGCUCGUUCUUCGAUUGCUUGCAGGAAUAGACCUUCGUGGUUAGGCUGACCGUGCUUCCAGCAUCGUCAGUAACCUCAGGAGAUUGGUUUAGCGAUUGCUAAGGCGCAACGUCGUGCACGUUUGUAGUCGGAUCGUGAAAGUCGUCUCCACCAAAUCGAUAGUUCUCAUCUCAUCGAAAGAUCGGGACCCUCGUCUCUAUCAAGUGGUAUCAGUUUUCAGGUUGCUCGGUGAGAAUUUCCAGUUUUCCUAGAUUAGAUUUACUUUCUUACCUAUUGUCCAAGAAAAAGCCACAAAAAAGAGUUAGAUCUAUUCAUCCUUGGUCCAAGCCAGUCUGAGCCUUUGCAAUUUUCUUUUCAUUGAUUGCAUAGUUGAAUUAUCGAUUGCAUCGUCGUGUCGAGUUGCUGGUCUUAGUGUCUAGUUCGUUUAGAGUUUCGAGUUCUGUUCACAUUAGUCACGCCACCGCUGCAUCAUUAUCUCUUCCGCUGUCCACCACCCAUCCAUCAAUUUCCACCACGUGCUACCCACCAUUCAUUGUCAUAAUAAUAGUUGAGAUCGUUCACAUCUUCACUUGAUCCAAUCUGCAUCUUAUCUAGUUUGUUUUGGAAAGAGGGAGAAAAAAAAGAGAGAAAAAAAGAGAGAGAAAAAAGGAAAAAAAGUCAGAGAAAAAAAAAGGAGAGAAAGAAAAAAAAGUGUGAGGAAAAAAAAGAGAGAAGAAAAAAAAACAAAAAAAUUGGCACAAACUUUUUCAGAGGAAAGUUGGAGACAAAGUUGUUGAUAUAUCCUGCUUGGCUGUUGUUUCACCUCAUUAUCUUCACUGCUGUUGUGAUCUUCACUUAUAUCUUGCUGUCAAGAGCUACUUAGUAUCCUUCAUUGAUGCUAGUUGUGCUACGCCGUGACCUCAUUAGUGUUCUAGGCUCGCGUCUCUAGUCCGGUCUAGCCUAGGACCAGCACAGUACCGUUGUUGAGCGUUUAUUCAACAUUGCAUCUUUGAAUUGAUUAUUGCUAAUCUUUUGCUACCAUAUAUAGCCAACCCAGCUCCACAUAUUUCUACACCGUGUAUACGUACGCUCCCCUGGCAAUCGCUUUACUCAAUAUUCAGAGUUACUUGACACCGCUGGUUGCCGAUCACCGCCUGCUGCAUGGUAAGAACUUGUAAGACAUUGAUAUUUGCUUUACUGUGAGCGUUUUACCACCACAUCCUAGUAGUUAUAGGAACAUUAUUUUUGGGUUUUAUUUCUUGUUCUACUAAUCAUGACAGGAUCCAGAGUCAAUUCAUGGGCUUUGUCGAUCGCGGGAGACGUGCCACCACCUUUGCAAAUACCACAACCGUCACGAGAGGUGCACAAACAUCCAAAUGCACAUGAUCAGGUUAAUGUAUCUAUACCACCAUUUAAUGGCCGUUUUAAACCUGCUUUAUAUAUUGAAUGGGAGUUCGACAUAAAAAAUAUAUUUGCUUUCCAUAAUUUCGAUGAACAUAAAAAGGUUAAGGUUGCGGUUGGUUCUUUCACUGGUUAUGCUUUGGUUUGGUGGAGUGAAUAUUGUCGGUUACACCCUGAUUAUAUACCUACUACUUGGGAUGAUUUGAAACUUGCCAUGCGACAUACUUUCGUCCCUGCUUAUUAUACUCGUGACAUGAUUAAGAAGUUGCAACACUUAAAACAAGGUAGUGAAACUGUAACAAAAUAUUAUGAUGAUUUACAAACUACCUUGUUGCAUUCCUCUUUAGACGAAAGUGAAGAUGAUUUUAUGGAUAGAUUUUGGGGAGGAUUAAACCGUGAUAUUCAAGAGAUACUAAUUCAUGAAGAGUGUUAUCCUAUGGACCAUUUGUUUCAUCUUGCUUGCAAAGCUGAACAGGAAAUAAAACGACGUGUUGGCCACGAGGAGAACAAGCGCACGGUGCACAUUCCAAGAGUUGAUAUGAUUGUUCCUUCAACUACUAGGCAUACUAUGACAACCACAUCCGUUGUUGUCAGGACUACAUCACCUCCACCAUGUGACACAUCGGCCCCGAGAGUGGCUACAUCAUCUGAGUUGAUCAUAAGAGGUAAUGACACAGGUACUGAUCUUCCAUCUCUACAUGAGAAUGAUGAAUGCCUUGUCAAUUUGAAUGCACCAUCUGAUGAGCUACCCACUACUUUGAUCACACCACCUAUUUUAGAGGACUACAUUGAUAAUUUGACUUUGCCAUAUGAUCAAACAACUGAAAUACCAACAAUUUUAAGGGCACCCAUUGAAUUAACUAUUGAUGCAAAAGAACCAAUGUUUAAUCAUUUUGAUAUGACCUCUAAUCUUGGUGAUGACUCUGUGUUGAAUGACUUAUUGCAUGUUUGCUUAUUUAAGCAUGUUGUAGCAUGUAAAUUUGAUGCAAGUAAGGUUUAUUCACCAAUGUUGGGAUGGUUUAAUGAUGAACAUUGUCAAUCUUUUGAAAUGAAUAAGAGCUUCACUUAUAUGUGCAAACUGAGUUGCAAUAUUUUCAUGCCUUCUACUUCUUGUGCUAAUUUUUUGGCUUUAGAUUUUAUGAACUAUGCAAGUUACUCAUCUAUUCAUGUGUCAUAUAUGCAAAAAUCAAGGGAAGUAAAAAUGGAUGACAUAUACAUAUACAACAUGUACACCUUGUCUCUUUUGUUAGCCACAUUUCAGAUUAAGCAACGCCGAGGACGGCUUUAUUUUCAAGAAGGGGAGGAUGAUGAGGACAUGACUACCUUGGAUAUGACCAAAAAUAUUGCAUAUAUGUAUAUUUGUCAGGUGAUUUCUAGUGCAAACUAUUCAAUAAUCUAUUUAUGUUAUCCAGAACAAAAAUACUUCACACACUUCUGUGUUUUGUCUAAUUGCAGGUGUAUGGGACAUUUGUACAAUCCACAUAUGAAGAUAAGGAAGAAAGAGAUGUUUAUUUGCUGUCCAAAAAGUUCUUUCACGUCACUUUUGGCCCAAGAGAAGAUAGAGUCCAAGUCUCUCACGUUCUGGAUUCAGAUUCGGACUGCACAGACAUACCUGACUCAAAACGCACACAAGUUUUUCAUACGGACUCCGAAUUGGGUGAUUCUUUUUUUGUUGGAAACUAGAUUUCGUGCACUUUCCAACCCAAUUGGAAUCACCUUCAAAUUCGUCCGGAGCGUUGAGUUGUGGACGAAACAAUCUGAUGCUGCAGCAGAAUCCGAGUCAAACUACAAGUCCAAAGGUGUUACAUCACCUCCACUUGGGCCCAUUGGCCUUGUACGACCUAGAUUUAGUUUUAGGCUGCCUUGGGACGUCCUCCCACCUCCUUGGCCGGCACCCCUUGCUCCUAUAUAAGUAGAUCCAUCUAGUAGCUUUUCCUUGGGAUUUGUUUAGUUAAAAGUUAGCCAUUGCAACUUCGUGUACUUCGUUUGUGUCCAACGACCAGACCAAGACCGCUUCCGGAUCCCCACCUUUAUCAAUACUUCAUAUAUACUCGCAAUAUUCAGAUUGCUUUUAUCAUAUUCUUGCUUGUUCUUCGAUUGCUUGCAGGAAUAGACCUUCGUGGUCAGGUUGAUUGUGCUCCAGCGUGGUCAAUAACCUUUCGGAGUUGGUUUAGCGAUUGCUAAGGCGCAACGUCGUGCACGUUUGUAGUCGGAUCAUCAAAGUCAUCUUCACCAAAUCGAUAGUUAUCAUCUCAUCGAAAGAUCGGGACACCCCCGCCUCUAUCACAUCGUCGUGUCAAGUUGCUGGUCUUAGAGUCGAGUCUUUUAGAGUUUCGAGUUCUGGUCAUAAGUUGUCACGCCGCUGCCGCACCAUCAUCAUCGCCUUGCCAUCUACCACCAUUGCUUCUCCGCCACCGCUCUGAAUCCGUAUCCAUAUACCACAACCAAUCUGUAUCCAUAUACCACCACCAAUCUGUAUCCAUAUACCACCACCGCUACCAUAUACCACCACCGCUGCCAUAUACCACAACCAUAUAUCCACCACCAAUCCGAGUUCUUCUCAUAUUAGGUUUGUUCUUGAGAUCAAUCUAAAUUCCGAUUCGUGUUUCCUUGCCUGCGUAGGUCUUGAGACCCCCGGGCAGUUUUUAGGCCAAAAUUUUCACGGGCAAUUUUUUUUCCCUAUCCUAUUUUUAGGCUUUUCUGAGUCUUUUGAGCCACAUGCCAUCAUAGUGAUUUUUUGUCGCACUUUUUCGUCGUCGCUGCCCUGAUUUCCGAAAAAAAAAGUGAAAAAAAAAUUUCGUGCCCAUCCUAUCAGUUUGACGAGGGAAGAGUUUUGAGACACUCGCCAUUAUAGUGAUUUUUCUCAAAAAAAAAAGAGGAGCGCAAAAAAAAGGAGCGCAAAAAAAGAGCGAAAAAAAAGAGAGUUCCAGAGUGUGCUUUUCCCUUAUUUACGUCCAGCGCCGUGAUUUUGUUAGUGUUCUAGGCUCGCAUCUCUAGCACGGUCUAGCCUAGGACCAGCACAGUACCGUCGUUGAACGUUUAUUCAACUUUGCAUCUCUGUAUUGAUUAUUGCUGACCCUUUUUGCUACCAUACUAUAAGCCUUCCCAGCUCCACAUACAUCUACGUCGUGCGUUUGACUCUCCCUGGCAAUCGCUCUAUCCAAGCUUUUGAGAGUUUUUGACUACAACGGUUGCCGAUCACCGCCUGCUGCUGGGUAAGAACUGGUAAGAAUUUGAGAUUUGCUUGACGGAUUUGUGACACCCGCCACCACCACCACUUGUUAGUAGUCUAUAGGAUCAUAUUCUUGUGUGUUUCUAUUGCUGCUAACCAUGCCAAGAUCACAAGCCGACGAGACUGACUGGGAGAACUUGACGAACAAGGAGCUUCAUGAUACGUUUCAGCAAAUGAUGAAUGGACAGGUGCAAGAUGUGAUAAACAAAUUUGAAGAGGCCAUGGAGAAGAUAGAUGGCAUGGAGAAGACGUUUGAAACAAAGCUCGAUAACAAGUUCGCUGAAUUGCUUUCGCGUUUUCCACCACCACCACCGGCUGCUCCUGCCGCACCUCUGCAACAACAGCAACAACACCGACUACCUCCACGUCGGGAAACAGCCCUCCGCCGAGCGAGCCGUGUCCCUCUUCAGUCGGGCCAAACUGCUAGUGCUGCUGUUGAUACUUCUGUGGCUCCUACUGCUGAUGUGGAGGAGGAUGCUUAUGUGGGAGAUUAUGAGGAUGAGGUUGAUCAAAAUCAGAACUACGUGCCACCAACAGCACAGCAACCACCAGGUCGUCCACAUGCAAAUAAUGCCUUUUACAAGGAAUGGGCAGAUAUUUCGAUGAAAUGUGUGGCAAUAGUCAUCCACAAAUGUUUGUUUGUUUGGUUUUCAACUAUAGAAAAAAAUGAAAUAAAUGCUUGAAAAACAUGACGCCUGGCAUGGUGCCAUGGUAUGACCUCACCAUGUCCUGGUAAAAAUUUGAGAAGGUUUGGCUUAUGUCGUCAUUCACGCCCUUCAUAAAUUGAAACAUCACCGAGGAAGUUCCAUGCUUUCGAGAGGGAAAUCCCCAAGAUUGAAGCGGAAUCCAAAUUUCCGUCCUAGUUUGUCAUUCAAUUUUUUUCCAAUGAUCAACGUACCACCUCAAUUGCAACGUGUUCAAAUUUGACAUUUUCCGGGCUCAUUUACCAUAUUUAUGGGAUUAUGUGCAUUUUCUAGGCAUUAAUUGAUAUAAUUCAAAUUUAAACAAUCGGUGCAUGAUAAGGUGCACAAGAACGGUCUGGAAAACCAUGCUCGUGUUAUUUAGUACAUGCUCAUGCAUUUUACAAGGAAUGGGCAGAUAUUUCAAGGAAAUGUGUGGCAAUAGUCAACCAUAAACGCGUUGUUUACUGGGAUAACAACUAUAAAAAAUGAAACACAUGGUUGGAAAACAUGACACCUGGCGUGGUGCCAUGGUAUGGCCUCACCAUGCCCUGGUAAAAGUUGGAGAAUGUUUUCCUUAUGUCAUGAUGCAUGCCUUUCAUAAAUCGAACCAUCACUGAGGAAGUUUCAUGGUUUCGAGGGAGAAAUCACCAAGAUUGAAGGGGGGGUCCAAAUUUCCUUUGUCCUUUGUCCAUGAGUUUUUUCUAUGAUAAACAUACAACCUCCAAAUCAUUGUGUUCAAAUUUGGCACUUUUCCGGGUUCAUUGGCCAUAUUUAGGGGAUUAUGUGCAUUUCCUAGGCAUUAAUGCACAUAAUUCAAGUUCAAACAAUCGGUGCAUGAAAGGGUGCACAAGAACGGCCUGGAAAACCAUGCUCGUACCAAUUAGUAAAUUCUCAUGCCUUUUACAAGGAAGGGACAAAUAUUUUGAUGAAAUAUGUGGCAAUAGUUAACCACAAAAAUUUGUUUACUGGGUUUUCAACUAUAGAAAAAAUGAAAUAAAUGCUUGAAAAACAUGACGCCUGGCAUGGUGUGCCAUGGUAUGACCUCACCAUGCCCUGGUUAACAUUUGAGAAGGUUUGGCUUAUGUCGUCAUGCAUGCCAUUCAUAAAUCAAUCCAUCACGAAAGAAGUUCCAUGCUUUCGAGAGGGAAAUCACCAAGAUUGAAGGGGAAUCGAAAUUUUCUUUGUUCUUUGCCCUGGAGUUUUUUUCUACGACGAACCCUUGCAAAUAACCGUGUUCAAAUUUGGCAUUUUCCCGGGAUCAUUUACCAUAUUUAGGGGAUUAUGUGCAUUUUCUAGGCAUUUAGCGCAUAUAAAUCCAAUCUAGCUACAUGUGCACGGGUGUGAUGUGAAGGACAUGGAUUGCUGUUCGAUCACGGCACAUCCUACGGUGCACACGCGCGAUCUGCGUGGCUGGGGUUCCGGCCUAGAGUAGCACAACACACAACAGGCUCAGCGCACACUGUUUCCGGAAGCGACGGAGAUGAACCCUGUGCGAUAAUGAACGAGCAAAAUUGUAAGGGAAGCCAACUUUCUGUUGUCGUUUGUCGUUGAGCUCUUGAAUACCACCGCACUAUAUGGUUUCCCGGCCCCUCCGUCCCAGAGCUCUCUCCAAGCGUCGACCAUGGCACCGCGGCGCACAGUAACUUGUAAAGAAGCGAUGGCAUCACGCCGCACCGCAUUCCUCGCCGCCCGCAACCGCGCACAUGGUAAGGAAGCGAUGGCAUCUCGCUGCCCGAGUUCAUCGCCGCCGGUGGCCAGACAGUUACAUGGGCGGACUUUGAAGCUGUCAUGGCCGAAUGGGUGGUGGAUGUAGAGGUGGCCAAAGCCGCAUAGAAGGAGCGGAAAAGUUAGAAAGCAGUCAAGAAAAGAGAGUCCCACCGUCGCUAGAAAAAAGAGGCUGCAUGCCGUGGUGAGGAGAGCCUGGCGGAGAUCGAAGCACGGUGUGCUGCCGCCUACAAGGCCGGGAAGGAGAACACUGACGUCUAGCCAGCAUGCCCGAUGGCAGCAUGUGAGAAGUAGUUUAAGUUGUAGUAUUGGAGCAAAUUACCAUUAGUACUUUAAGUUUGUAGUAUUAACAUACACGGUAAGAGCAUCCUUUAAGGGCUUUGAGCGUUGAUUAGCAUGUGUGCCCAUGUGCGUUUUUUUGCGUUAAUCAUUAGAAGAUCAUAAAACACACAGUUUCUAUGUCGUACCCGUUUGCGUUUUUUGCGUUAAUGAUCCAUAAGUCAGUUAGCGGUGCGAUAUUUCCUAAUAAACCAAGCGUACCAUUGAAAAAAAAUCAACUACACGUGUACAUUUUUUUGGAGACGGGAUCUGCCAAGUUUCAUUUUUCUCGCACACGAGUAUUUUACGCACAUCGUUUGCGUUGUGUGUUUCCCCCGUCCAAUUUUCAAGUUUCGCAGCGAAAUUUUCAUUAGGCCUUGUCGGCGUCCUGGGAACGGGGGUCCGCAGACUUGCCUGCCUGCGGCCCACGGUGUGGCUUCACCAACGGCCCUGUACGGCCCGUCUUCAUCAGCGAAUGCUCAAGACCCUCGCCAGGGGCCAAGCCUCGCGAGGCGGACGACGCAAGACCUCCUCGGGGGCUGCCUCACCUGGCUGGCUCGCGAAGGGGGGGAGAUCAAGGCGAGGGGCCUCUCGCGAGGUUCCUGUGACGCAAGCCAUGAUGAACAAGGCCAGGCGGGCACUAGGCAGGUGCCAGCGCGCGCAGUGUACUCGUUUCCUCUUUGGUGCUAAGGAGGCAGGCGCAGGAGAGGAGUCCCGAGGCAUCAGGCAAAGGUUUCCAUAUCGGUGCAACAAGACCAAGACUAGUAGGAUGGCAGGACGGAGGUCACCGUGGAGCCCAGGACGGCGUUACCACCAGAGCCUUUGGCAGGCAAGACCACCUUUAGUCAUGAUAACUUGUACUGGUUGUCUCCCUUCAAAUUUGGCCGUUGUUGCAUCCCUUCCCACCUACAUUUGGGAAGAGGACCAGGGCCUCUAUAAAUAGGACUUGCCACCACCGAAGAGUGGGGGAUGAUCUUGGAUUGGGUCCAUUCCACCAAGGCCACCAUACAAGCUCACCGAGCUCAAGAACACCUCUCCUCGGGAGGCUAUUCAUCCCCUGUACUAGCUCAUCCUUAGCCCAAGAGGCAAUCGACCACACCACACUAGAGUAGUGUAUUACACCACAUCGGUGGCCCAAACCAGUAUAAACCAUGUGUCCUUUGUUCUGCGAGUUCGAAGAACUUAGCUUUGAGAUUGUGGUGAGAGCGUGAGCUAGGGGGAGGAGAGAUCUUCGUGCGCACCCCAGAGUUCGAAACUCAAGGGUUUUGCCGGAACCCGAAAUCCGACAUUUGGCGCGCCAGGUAGGGUUGUGCCGAAGCUUUCUUUCCCUCAAUCCACGCUCCGCCACUUUCGCGCCAUGUCCCCAUGGCCAGUGUUGCUUCCUCGGUUGGGAUGACGGACGCCCACGACAGCGCCAGGGGGCUCAGGGCCUUUGUCCCCACCUUGCGACAGGUACAAUGGCCGCCCAAGUUCAUGCCGGAGAUGUCGCCGCGCUAUGACGGCACAUCGGACCCGUCAGCCUUCCUGCUGGCAUAUGAAGAGGCCGUCCUGGAGGCUGGGUGGCGUCGACAAGGUCAUGGCCAACUAGCUUCCCCUGGCCCUCGCUGGUGUGCGGUGCGCCUGGUUGCUCGCCCUCCCAGGAUCCUCAGUGGCAUCUUGGGAUGAGCUGUGCGGCCUCUUCGUCGCGCGCUUCACGGCACCGACGCCCCUCACCGUCGCGGCCCUCCUCGGCGGCUCACAAGCACCGCCCUCGGACCGUCACACCAAGUCGUUAUUUCGCCAGGUUGGCGCUGCUUCCGUGCGGCAAGGAGCUCCCUUGGGUUGGGCGGCGCCCAAGGCCGACCUCACCUUUGACUCGAUGGAUCACCCCGUCACCACCAUCGGCUCGGGCGUGCUCCCAAUGCUUUACACGCCCACCAUCUGCAGCGUAGCUGUCACCAAGACCCUCAUCAACGACAGCGCUGGUCUCAACGUGCUCUAUGUGGAGGCUUUUAGCCAUCUUCAUGUACCACUCGAACGGCUCCGCCCCAGUAAGCACUUCUCCGGGGUUGGUGACACCCCCCAGCCCCUUGGGGCAGAUCUGCCUUGCUGUGACCUUCGGCACUCGCGACAACUACCGCACCAAGCUGAUCGACUUCAACAUCGCCCGCAUCAGCCUCCCAUACAACACCAUCCUUGGAUACCCGGCCCCGGCUUAGUUUAUGGCGGCGACCCAUCCCGCCUACAACCUCAUGAAGAUGCCCGGGAGCAAGGACGUCCUCACCGUAGUUGGAGACACCAAGGAGGCUCUAGCGGCGCUCAAGUGUGCUAUCAAAACCGCCGCGGCAGCGCGACCGGCCAAGGAGGCCACCCUAGGGGUUAAGGGGGCCGUGCCAGCAAAGAAGAAGCAAUUGUUCACUCAAGAUCGGGCUGAAACCAAGCAGGUGCCAGUCGAGGAAGAUGGGUCCUCAGGAGCCACCUUCACCAUAGGCGCCAACCUCGACCCAGAUUAAGAGGAGGCAUUGGUGAGGUUCCUGCGUGCAAACAAGAAUGUAUUCGCUUGGGAACCCAAGCAGCUUGUAGGGGUCCCCAGAGGGGUGAUCGAGCAUCACUUGAGGGUGUGCCCCAAUGCGCACCCAGUGAAGCAGAAGGCGCGGCGACAGUCCAUAGAGAAGUAGUCCUUCAUCAUCCAAGAAACCCACAAGCUGGAGGCAGCAUGUGUCAUUUGCGAGGUUCGGUACCCUAAGUGGCUGGCGAACCCCAUCGUCGUACCGAACAAAGGCGGGAAGGAGCGCAUGUGUGUCGACUUAACCAACCUCAACAAGGCCUAUCUCCAAGACCCGUUUCAGCUCCCGCGCAUCGACCAGAUUGUUGACUCCACCACCGAGUGCGACCUGCUGUGCUUCCUCGAUGCGUUUUUAGGCUAUCACCAGAUCAAGAUCGUGGUGGAGGAUGUGGAGAAGAUGGCCUUCCUGACCCCUUGUGGAGUGUACUGCUACACUUGCAUCCCAUUUGGACUGCACAAUGCAGGCGCGACCUUUCAGCGGCUGAUGCAGAUCGCCCUGGAUCAGCAGCUCGGGAGGAACGCUUAGGCCUACGUCGACGACAUUGUGGUAGAAUCUCUGGAGGCAAGAACUUUGAUUCAAGAUCUGGAGGAGACCUUCGCAAUCUUGCGUGAGGUAGACCUGCGGCUUAACCCAGAGACCUGCGGCUCAACCUUCACAAGCUGCUGGGCUUCCUCGUGUCCCACAGGGGGAUCGAGGCUAACCCGAAGAAGGUCAAGGCGAUAGAAGACAUGAGCCCACCACAAACUCUCAGGGAGAUGCAGAAGCUUGUGGGCUGCAUGACCUCACUGGGGCGCUUCAUCUCCAAGCUAGGAGAGCGGGCCCUGCCAUUCUUCAAGCUGAUGAAGAAGAAGUGCCCAUUCGAGUGGACCCGGAGGCUGACGAAGCAUUUCAAGACCUCAAGAGAUACCUGACCAGCCCUGCGGUGAUGGUGGCGCCUCGCCCUCUCGAGCCCCUGGUGCUUUACCUUGUCGCCACUCCCUACUCCGCUAGCGCAAAUCUAGUGGAGGUUCGGGAAGAGCGCUAGGACAAGGGUCUGCCGUGCCAUGCCGUGCCCCCAGCUGGGGCGAUACAGGACCCAGAGGGCACCGGAAAGGCUGCGGCAAUGCCAACGAGUGAAUAGGCCCAACAAGGCGGCGUUCGUGGGCCAGCAGAGGCCCUAGUGGGCGACCAGGUUCUUGGGGCCCCGUCACCUCAGGAGACGCCCCAACUUCCGGCAGGCGCAAGCUCCGUCGAUGCACCCACCCUCAUCAAGCACCUUGUGUACUUCGUCGGCACGGUAUUGCAGGAUGCGAGGGCACGGUACCCCAUGCCUCAGAAGCUCUUGCUGCGCUCUUGGUGCCCUCAUGUAAACUACGGCACUACUUCCAAGGUCACCCAAUCAAGGUCGUCUCGGCCUACCCGCUGGAGAGGGUACUCAAGAUCCCCAACGAUGUUGGAAGAGUCACCGAAUGGAACAUCGAGCUACAAGCAUUCCAGCUGGAGUUCAGCACAACUAGGGUCAUCAAGGGAGCCGCACUCGCCGACUUCGUGGCAGAAUGGACUGAUGCCCCGGGGUUUGAAGCAGGCAAGGACCUAUCUGUUUCACCAGGAAGUGAAGCACUAGAUGGCUGGGUCAUGUAUUUCGAUGGCGCAUUCACACGCCAGGGCGCGGGAGCUGGAGUAGUGCUCAUCUCGCCCGCUCAGGACAAGCUCUACUACGUCGUGCAGCUCUGCUUCCAACAAGGCAAGAAGGUCUCCAACAACAUCACGGAGUACGAAGGCCUCGUAGCUGGCCUUAAGGCCGUGGUGGCCCUGGGGUGAAGUGCCUCACCAUUAGGGGCGACUCACAACUCCUCGUCAACUUCUUCAACAAGGUAUACGAGCCGAGGGACGAGCACAUGGAGGCAUACCUCAUGGAGGUAUGCAAAAUGGAAAAGCAUUUCCUGGGCCUAGAGUUGCAGCACGUGACCCGUGGCACCAACAAGGAGGCCGGCGACAUUGCUAAAAGGGCGUCCAAGCAACAACCCCAAGAGCCUGGCGCCUUUGAGGAACGACUCUUCAAGCCGUCGGCAGCACCUCUGCUUUCGGGGCCGGCGCCGCCUUGGGAGGGGUGCUGGACUGAUAGAGGCGAGGGUCCCGAUCUUUCGAUGAGAUGAUAACUAUCGAUUUGGUGGAGACGACUUUGACAAUCCGACUACAAACGUGCACGACGUUGCGCCUUAGCAAUCGCUAAACCAAUCUCCUGAGGUUACUGACGAUGCCGGAAGCACGGUCAGCCUGACCACGAAGGUCUAUUCCUGCAAGCAAUCGAAGAACGAGCAAGAAUAUGAUAAAGCAAUCUGAAUAUUGCAAAUAUAUAUGAGGUAUUGAUAAUGGUGGGGAUCCGUAAGCGGUCUUGGUCUGAUCGUUGGACACAAACGAAGUACACGAAGUUGCAAUGGCUAACUUUUAACUAAACAAAUCCCAAAGUCUAAACGAUGCCCUAAGGGCUGUAUAUAUGGAGGAAGAGGGGGGAAUUUCGUGGCCCUUGGGGGAGGGGUCCGAAAUCAACCCUAUCUCUUGUUUCCCCACACAUACGGACUCUAAAAAUAGCCUAUACUUAUGUAUUUCGAAAUUACAUGGGCCUGGCCCAAUAAUAAGGUGACGCAGCACCUAAAAUAGCCUCGGGACGAAAUUUAUGAAGUGGCAUCUUGUAUAUUUCGUCCAAGGCUUCAUGCACCCAUUAUGGUGGCUUCAAAGUCCUGAAAUCAUCACUUGUAACUCCGUUCUUGUUCCCCUUGCGCAUGCCAUCAUCUCCAUGCUUGUUCUUGCUACAAUGUUCAUCCUUCUCCAAGCUAGGCCCUUCAUUUGUAAGCAAAACAAAUGUAUCCAAUUUAGGCAGCAUCAUAUUCUCAUGAACAUUAGAAUCAUUACCAAGAAACGAAAGUACCUGGUAAUUUAGUUGGCGUGCACGAGCUCUAGUAAUUGGUCCAGUAUGUAUAGCAGCAGGGGCUGUGGGUGUAACAAUUGUAUUGAUGUCCUCAUCAUCCUCCCCUUCUUGAAAAAUGAAAUCGUCCUCGACGGAAGUUCAUCUUCCUCACCCAAAUAAGGCUUCAAAUCUGCAAUGUUAAAAGUGGGACUAACCCCAAAAUCUGCAGGCAGCUCAAGUUUAUAUGCAUUAUCAUUUAUUUUCUCUAACACCUUAAAGGGACCAUCAGCACGUGGCAUUAACUUUGAUUUGCGCAAAUCAGGAAAUCUAUCCUUACGCAAAUGUAACCAAACAAGAUCUCCAGGAGCAAACACAACAUGUUUUCUACCCUUAUCUCCAGCAAGUUUAUAUUUAGCAUUCAUACGCUCAAUGUUUUCCUUAGUUAACUCAUGCAUUUUUAAAAUCAAUUCAGCACGUUGUUUAGCAUCAAAAUUAACCUUCUCCGAAGAUGGAAGAGGCAACAAAUCAAUAGGUGCACGAGGUAGGAAACCAUACACAACUUCAAAAGGGCACAUCUUAGUAGUAGAAUGCAAUGAAUGAUUAUAAGCAAAUUCAAUAUGAGGCAAGCAUUCCUCCCACAUUUUCUUAUUACUCUUCAAAACAGCCCUAAGCAUAGUAGACAAUGUUCUAUUGACUACUUCAGUUUGGCCAUCAGUUUGGGGGUGACAAGUAGUACUAAAAAGCAGUUUAGUCCCCAACUUAGCCCAUAAACAUCUCCAAAAGUGGCUAAGAAAUUUAGUGUCACGAUCUGAAACAAUAGUAUUUGGCACACCAUGCAAGCGAAUAAUUUCACGAAAGAACAAAUCAGCAACAUGAACAGCAUCAUCGCUUUUAUGACAUGGUAUAAAGUGUGCCAUUUUCGAGAAUCUAUCCACAACAACAAAUAUGCUAUCCCUCCCCAUCUUUGUUCGAGGUAAACCUAAAACAAAGUCCAUAGAUAUAUCCUCCCAAGGAACACUAGGUACAGGCAAAGGCAUAUAUAAACCAUGAGGAUUGAGUCGUGACUUAGCUUUUUGACAUGUAGUGCAGCGAGCAAUAAAACGCUCAACAUCCCGUCUCAUCUUUGGCCAAAAGAAAUGUGUAGCAAGUACGUCCUCUGUCUUCUUCACGCCAAAGUGUCCCAUUAAUCCUCCUCCAUGCGCCUCCUGCAACAACAAAAGACGAACGGAGCUAGCUGGAAUGCAUAGCUUGUUAGCACGAAACACAAAUCCAUCGUUAACGACAAACUUGUUCCACAUUCUUCCUUCUUUGCAAUUCUGCAUUACAUCUUUAAAAUCAGCAUCAUGCACAUAUAGAUCUUUGAUGGUCUCCAAACCAAAUAUUUUGAAGUCAAGUUGUGAAAGCAUAGUAUAGCGACGAGACAAUGCAUCAGCAAUAACAUUUUCUUUUCCCUUCUUGUGUUUAAUGACAUAAGGGAAAGUCUCAAUGAAUUCAACCCAUUUAGCAUGUCUACGAUUCAGUUUAGCUUGACUUUUAAUAUGUUUCAAAGAUUCAUGAUCAGAAUGUAUAACAAAUUCUUUGGGCCAUAAAUAAUGUUGCCAUGUUUCUAAAGUCCGAACAAGAGCAUAUAAUUCUUUAUCAUAAGUAGAAUAAUUCAGACUAGGCCCACUCAAUUUUUCAGAAAAGUAUGCAACAGGUUUGCCAUCUUGUAAUAACACACCUCCUAAUCCAAUUCCACUAGCAUCACAUUCAAGCUCAAAAGUCUUAUUAAAAUCAGGAAGUUGGAGUAAAGGAGCAUGUGUCAACUUAUCUUUCAAUACCGUGAAGGCUUCUUCUUGUGCGGUACCCCAAAGAAAAGGCACAUCUUUCUUUGUAAGCUCAUUGAGAGGUGCAGCAAUGGUGCUGAAAUCUCUCACAAAACGCCUAUAGAAUCCAACGAGGCCAAGAAAACUCCUCACUUGUGUGACCGUUUUGGGUUGCGGCCAACUCUCAAUAGCUUCAAUCUUGGCUUUAUCAACUUCAAUUCCCUGUGGAGUAACAACAUAGCCAAGAAAAGAUACUCGGUCGGUGCAAAAGGUGCACUUCCCAAGGUUACCAAACAAACGUGCAUCACGUAGAGCAAUAAAAACAGCACGUAAAUGUUCCAAAUGUUCUUCCAAAGAUCUGCUAUAAAUCAAUAUGUCAUCAAAGUAAACUACCACAAAUCGUCCAAUGAAAGCACGUAAAACUUCGUUCAUUAAUCUCAUGAAAGUACUAGGUGCAUUAGUUAACCCAAAAGGCAUGACUAACCACUCAUAUAAUCCAAACUUAGUUUUUAAUGCUGUUUUCCAUUCAUCUCCCAAUUUCAUACGAAUUUGAUGGUAUCCACUACGUAAAUCAACUUUGGAGAAUAUUGUAGAGCCACUCAAUUCAUCAAGCAUAUCAUCUAGCCUAGGAAUAGGAUGACGAUAACGAAUAGUAAUAUUAUUAAUGCCUCUACAAUCAACACACAUACGUGAUGUACCAUCCUUUUUCGGCACUAGAAUAAUAGGAACAGCACAAGGACUAAGGGAUUCGUGUAUAUAACCUUUGUCGAGAAGCUCUUGUACUUGACGCAUAAUCUCCUUCGUCUCCUCUGGAUUGGUACGGUAUGGUGCACGGUUUGGCAGUGAAGCACCGGGAAUUAAGUCAAUCUGAUGCUCAAUCCCUCGAAUAGGCGGUAAUCCCGGUGGCACGUCUUGUGGAAAGACGUCAGCGAACUCCUGCAAAAUGUUAGUGACAGCAGGAGGCAAAGAGGAAGGCACGUCCUCGAAUGAAAAUAAUGCCUCUUUGCACACAAAAGCAUAGCAAAGAGAUUUGCUGAAAUCUAGCUCAUCAAUAUCAGAUUUGGUGGCAAAUAAACAUGCACUUUUCAAUUUAAUUUCAGAAGCAACACUAGAUGGUUUAUGAUUAGGCUUCAUUUGUUGCUCAAAUUCUUUUGCCACAAUCUGAUUUUCACUCUUAUUCGUCUCCUGUUUUGCUUUAUUAGCUCUAUUAAUAUCAUCUUUCAAAAUGGAAUCAGGAGUCAUAGGAAGCAAAGUAAUAUUUUUAUCCUUAUGAACAAGAGUAUAGUGAUUGUUUCUACCAUGGUGCACAGAAUUUUUAUCAAAUUGCCAUGGUCUACCAAGUAAUAAGGAACAUGCUUGCAUAGGUACCACAUCACAAUCAACAUAAUCAGCAUAUGUAGAUAUACUAAAAUGCACACGAACAGUACGUGUUACCUUAACCUUGCCGCUGUUGUUGAACCAUUGGAUGUAGUAAGGAUGUGGAUGUGGUCUUGUGGUGAGAGAAAGCUUCUCCACCAUCUCCAUGCUAGCCAAGUUGUUGCAGCUCCCUCCGUCUAUUAUGACGCGCACAGAACGUUCCUUCACAACUCCCUUGGUAUGGAACAAAUUGUGCCUCUGAUUUUGCUCAGCUUGUGUGACCUGCACACUCAAAACACGUUGAGCAACUAAACAUUCAUACCUGUCAGCAUCUUCAGGAGCCAUGUAUUGCGUCUCAUGAUCAGAAUCAUCUCCACCAUGUUCUUCACGUGUAAUAAGAGCCAAUGUCUCCUCAUCAUAGUCACUAGCGGACUCAUAUCCACCAUCCGCGGUAGCAAUCAUCACACGCGGAGAUUUGCAUUCCCUCGCAUAAUGACCUCCUCCCUUACAACGACGACAAAUAAUAUCACUUGUGUGCCCUGUUGAUGCCAUGGAAGAAGAAGAACGCUGUGCAGGCCCCGCAGGUGCGCUCUUGGCAGAUAAUGGUGGUUGUGCCUGUUUUUUUGUAUCACGGCUGGAGGUGGCACCGGAUGGAGGUGCUGGUGCAGUUGAAGUAGAAGAUGCACGUGGUGUCCAUGAUGAAGGUCGGCCUGCAGAAAAGUUAGUUCGCCCCAAUGCUUGUCGAUCCUGCACUUCACGUUCAGCUUUACAAGCAAGAUGGAAUAAACGAGUGAUAUUAUGAUAGAGGCAAAGGUGUCCCGUCUUUCGAUGAGAUGGUGGAUUUCGCUUUGGUGGAAGUCGACUUUGACGAUCCGACUACGAACGUGCGAGGACGUCGCGCCUUAGCAAUCGCUAAACCAACUCCGAGAGGUUAUUGACCACGCCGGAGCACGAUCAACCUGACCACGAGGGUCUGUUUCCUGCGAGCAAACGAAGAAGAAGCAAGAAACUAAGAUUGCAAUCUGGAUAUUGCGAAUAUAAGAUGAAAGCUUUAUUGAUCAAGGUGGGGUUCUGUGACGCCUUUGUCUGGUCGUUGAACACAAACGAAGUACGCGAAGUUGCAGCUAUGGCGAACUUUUAAUCUAAACAAAACCCAAAGUCUAAACGAUGCCCUAAGGGCUGUAUAUAUGGAGGAAGAGGGGGGGAAUUUCGUGGCCCUUGGUGGAGGGGUCCGAAAUCAACCCUUAUCUCUUGUUUCCCCACACAUACGGACUCUAAAAAUAGCCUAUACUUAUGUAUUUCGAAAUUACAUGGGCCUGGCCCAAUAAUAAGGUGACGCAGCACCUAAAAUAGCCUCGGGACGAAAUUUAUGAAGUGGCAUCUUGUAUAUUUCGUCCAAGGCUUCAUGCACCCAUUAUGGUGGCUUCAAAGUCCUGAAAUCAUCACUUGUAACUCCGUUCUUGUUCCCCUUGCGCAUGCCAUCAUCUCCAUGCUUGUUCUUGCUCCAAUGUUCAUCCUUCUCCAAGCUAGGCCCUUCAUUUGUAAGCAAAACAAAUGUAUCCAAUUUAGGCAGCAUCAUAUUCUCAUGAACAUUAGAAUCAUUACCAAGAAACGAAAGUACCUGGUAAUUUAGUUGGCGUGCACGAGCUCUAGUAAUUGGUCCAGUAUGUAUAGCAGCAGGGGCUGUGGGUGUAACAAUUGUAUUGAUGUCCUCAUCACACUAGAUGGUUUAUUAUUAGGUUUCAUUUGUUGCUCAAAUUCUUUUGCCACAAUCUUAUUUUCACUCUUAUUCGUCUCCUGUUUUGCUUUAUUAGCUCUAUUAAUAUCAUCUUUCAAAAUGGAAUCAGGAGUCAUAGGAAGCAAAGUAAUAUUUUUAUCCUUAUGAACAAGAGUAUAGUGAUUGUUUCUACCAUGGUGUACAGAAUUUUUAUCAAAUUGCCAUGGUCUACCAAGUAAUAAGGAACAUGCUUGCAUAGGUACCACAUCACAAUCAACAUAAUCAGCAUAUGUAGAGAUACUAAAAUGCACACGAACAGUACGUGUUACCUUAACCUUGCCGCUGUUGUUGAACCAUUGGAUGUAGUAAGGAUGUGGAUGUGGUCUUGUUGUGAGAGAAAGCUUCUCCACCAUCUCCAUGCUAGCCAAGUUGUUGCAGCUCCCUCCGUCUAUUAUGACGCGCACAGAACGUUCCUUCACAACUCCCUUGGUAUGGAACAAAUUGUGCCUCUGAUUUUGCUCAGCUUGUGUGACCUGCACACUCAAAACACGUUGAGCAACUAAACAUUCAUACCUGUCAGCGUCUUCAGGAGCCAUGUAUUGCGUCUCAUGAUCAGAAUCAUCUCCACCAUGUUCUUCACGUGUAAUAAGAGCCAAUGUCUCCUCAUCAUAGUCACUAGCGGACUCAUAUCCACCAUCCGCGGUAGCAAUCAUCACACGUGGAGAUUUGCAUUCCCUCGCAUAAUGACCUCCUCCCUUACAACGACGACAAAUAAUAUCACUUGUGUGCCCUGUUGAUGCCAUGGAAGAAGAAGAACGUUGUGCAGGCCCCGCAGGUGCGCUCUUGGCAGAUAAUGGUGGUUGUGCCUGUUUUCUUGUAUCACGGCUGGAGGUGGCACCGGAUGGAGGUGCUGGUGCAGUUGAAGUAGAAGAUGCACGUGGUGUCCAUGAUGAAGGUCGGCCUACAGAAAAGUUAGUUCGCCCCAAUGCUUGUCGAUCCUGCACUUCACGUUCAGCUUUACAAGCAAGAUGGAAUAAACGAGUGAUAUUAGUAUACUCCUUAUAGUCUAGAAUGGUCUGAAUCUCUCUAUUUAAUCCACCCAGAAAACGUGCAAGCAUAGCUUCAUUCUCCUCGACAAUACCACAUCUAAUCAUGCCAGUUUGUAAUUCCUGAUAAUAUUCUUCUACAGAAUUUUUCCCUUGUCUUAAACGCUGCAAUUUUUGAAGCAAUUCACGUUGAUAAUAUGGUGGAACCCAACGCGUACGCAUAGCAGUUUUCAAAGCAGCCCAAGUAGUUGGAAUAGGAUAUAAUCUACAAUGUUCAGACCACCAUACACAUGCAAAACUACUGAAAGCACAAACGGCAGCAGCAACUCGUCUCUCCUCAGGAUAUUGUAAACAUGUAAAUCGUUGUUCAGUUUCUAACUCCCAAGUAAGAUAUAUAUCAGGAACAUAUCUACCCUCAAAUGGUGGAAUAUUCAAUUUCAGUUUAGGAAUAUGGACAUCAUCUCGUACCUGAGGUGGUGGCGCAGGCCUACCAUUACGAAUAUAUACCUGAGGUCGACCUGCUGGUGGUGGUACAGGUGGCUGCAUGUAGUGUUGAUUUUGAUCAACCUCAUCCUCAUAAUCUCCCACAUAAUCAUCCUCCUCCGCAUCAGCAGCAGGAGCCACAGAAGUAUCAACAGCAGCACCAACAGUUUGGCCAAACGCAAGAGGAACACGGCUUGCUCGGCGGAGGUCUGCUUCGCGACGUGGAGGUAGUCGUUGUUGUUGUUGUUGGAGAGGUGCGUUAGGUGCAGCGGGUGGUGGUGGUGGAAGACGCGCGAGCAAUUCAUUAAACUUGUUAUCGAGCUUUGUUUCGAACGUCUUCUCAAGGCCAGUGAUCUUCUCCAUGGCCUCUUCAAAAUUGUUCAGCACAUCUUGCACCUGUUCAGUCAUCAUUUGCUGAAACUUAUCAUGAAGCUCCUUGUUCGAUAAAUUCUCCCAGUCAAUCUCGUCGGCUUGUGAUUCUGGCAUGGUUAGCAGCAAUAGAAACACACAAGAAUAUGAUCCCACAGACUACGAACAAGUGGUGGUAGUGGGUGUCACAAAUCCGUCAAGCAAAUCUCAAAUUCUUACCAGUUCUUACCCAGCAGCAGGCGGUGAUCGGCAACCGUUGUAGUCAAAAACUCUCAAAGCUUGGAUAGAGCGAUUACCAGGGAGAGUCAAACGCACGACGUAGAUGUAUGUGGAUCUGGGAAGGCUUAUAAUAUGGUAGCAAAAAAGGGUCAGCAAUAAUCAAUUCAGUGAUGCAAAGUUGAAUAAACGCUCAACGACGGUACUGUGCUGGUCCUAGGCUAGACUGUGCUAGAGACGCGAGCCUAGAACACUAACAAAAUCACGGCGAGGCACGUAAACAAGGGAAAAGCACACUCUGAAUUUUUUUUUUCGCUCUUUUUUUUGCGCUGUUUUUUUUUGCGAAAAAUCACUAUAAUGGCGAGUGUCUCAAAACUCUUCCUAGCUCAAACUGACAGGAUGGGCACAAAAUUUUUCGACCAAAUUUUUUUUUUUCGACUGCCCGGACCCAAAAACUGGAAACGGGUCAAAAAAAACUUCCUAUAAUGGCACCUGUCUCAAAACACUCAGAAACACCUAAAAAUAGGAUAGCCAGAAAAUUUUUCGAAAAAUGCGUUUUCGAAAAUUUUUGGGCCUAAACGGAGCGUGGCUACCCGACUCUUUUUUUUUCCGAAACCUACUCCGGCAAGGAAACACGAAUCGGAAUCUGGAUGGAUCCCGAAAACAAACCUAAUAAGCAAAGAACUCGGAUUGGUGGUGGAUAUAUGGUGGUGGUAUAUGGCAGCGGUGGUGGUAGCGGUGGUAGUAUAUGGAUAUGGAUCGGUGGUGGUAUAUGGGCACGGAUUGGUGGUGGUAUAUGGAUACGGAUUCGGAGCGGUGGUGGUAGAUGGCAAGGGCGAUGAUGAUGGUGCGGCGGCGGCGUGACAACUUAUGACCAGAACUCGAAACUCUAAAAGACUAGACGCUAAGACCAGCAACUAGAGCGACGAUGCAACCGCAAAUUCAACAAAGCAAAACCCUAAAAAGAUUAUGCAAAGGCUCAGAUUGGUUCGGAUAUGAUGAACUAACCCUAAUUUUUUUUGUGUGGCUUUUUCGUGGACUGUAGGUAUGAAGAACAGACUCGAUCUAAACUACGAAAAACUGUAAAAUCUCACCGAGCAACCUGGAAAUCUGAUACCACUUGAUAGAGGCGAGGGUCCCGAUCUUUCGAUGAGAUGAUAACUAUCGAUUUGGUGGAGACGACUUUGACAAUCCGACUACAAACGUGCACGACGUUGCGCCUUAGCAAUCGCUAAACCAAUCUCCUGAGGUUACUGACGAUGCCGGAAGCACGGUCAGCCUGACCACGAAGGUCUAUUCCUGCAAGCAAUCGAAGAACGAGCAAGAAUAUGAUAAAGCAAUCUGAAUAUUGCAAAUAUAUAUGAGGUAUUGAUAAUGGUGGGGAUCCGUAAGCGGUCUUGGUCUGAUCGUUGGACACAAACGAAGUACACGAAGUUGCAAUGGCUAACUUUUAACUAAACAAAUCCCAAAGUCUAAACGAUGCCCUAAGGGCUGUAUAUAUGGAGGAAGAGGGGGGAAUUUCGUGGCCCUUGGGGGAGGGGUCCGAAAUCAACCCUAUCUCUUGUUUCCCCACACAUACGGACUCUAAAAAUAGCCUAUACUUAUGUAUUUCGAAAUUACAUGGGCCUGGCCCAAUAAUAAGGUGACGCAGCACCUAAAAUAGCCUCGGGACGAAAUUUAUGAAGUGGCAUCUUGUAUAUUUCGUCCAAGGCUUCAUGCACCCAUUAUGGUGGCUUCAAAGUCCUGAAAUCAUCACUUGUAACUCCGUUCUUGUUCCCCUUGCGCAUGCCAUCAUCUCCAUGCUUGUUCUUGCUCCAAUGUUCAUCCUUCUCCAAGCUAGGCCCUUCAUUUGUAAGCAAAACAAAUGUAUCCAAUUUAGGCAGCAUCAUAUUCUCAUGAACAUUAGAAUCAUUACCAAGAAACGAAAGUACCUGGUAAUUUAGUUGGCGUGCACGAGCUCUAGUAAUUGGUCCAGUAUGUAUAGCAGCAGGGGCUGUGGGUGUAACAAUUGUAUUGAUGUCCUCAUCAUGGACCAAGGAGUUUAAGGAAUACCUGACGCAAGGGACGCUGCCAGAGAAAGAGGAGGACGCGGAGCGCGUGGCGCGACAAGCUAUGGCAUACUGCAUCCAGGACGGUGAGUUAUACAGGAAGCGGCCAAAUGAUGUUUCCUUGCGAUGCAUCUCCAGGGAGUAGGGGAACGAGUUGCUAGAUGACAUACACGGUGGAGACUGCGGGUUCUACUGGCCUACGGCGCUCAACAAUGCGCCCGAGCUUGUGAAGUCCUGCGAGCCUGCCAAUUCCAUGCCAAGAAGAUCCAUCAGCCAGCUCAGGGCCUCCAGACCAUACCACUCUCGUGGUCGUUCGCAGUUUGGGGGCUGGAUAUCUUAGGCCCGUUCCCUCGAGCGCCCGGGGGCUACCACUACGUCUACGUCGCCAUCGACAAGUUCACCAAAUGGGUGGAGGUAGAAGUUGUCUGCACCAUCCCGGCAGGAUCUACGGUCAAGUUCAUCAAGGGCCCCGUGAGCCGGUUUGGGGUCCCUAAUCGCAUCAUCACCGACAACGGCUAGCAGUUCACGAGCAAUCUCUUCAAGACAUAUUGUGCUAACCUUGGAACACAGAUCUGCUACGCUUCGGUGGCACACGCUAGGAGCAACGACCAAGCCGAAUGCGCCAACGUGGAGGUCCUGAGAGGCCUCAAGACCAGGACCAUAAAGAAGAAGCUCAAGGCCUACGGCAAGGGCUGGAACGAUGAGCUCCAGUCUGUGUUGUGGUCCAUCCAUACCACCUCCACAAAGCCAACAGGCGAGACCCCGUUCUUCCUCGUCUACGGAGCAGAAGCGGUUCUCCCUCACGAGGUCAAGCAUCGCUCCACGAGGGUCCUGGCGUUUGAUGAGACGCAGCAGGACGCCAUGCGGGGGAUGGGCCUUUGCUGGGGGAGGAACGCCGCCGCGAAGCCACGCUUCGAGCGGCAAGAUACCAGUAAGUGCUGCGCCGGUAUCACUGCCACAGCGUCUGCUCCAGGACGCUUGAGGUGGGUUACCUCGUCCUUAGGCGGGUGCUCUCCAGGGAAGGGCUGCAUAAGCUCUCACCCAUGUGGGAGGGCCCGAUUAGGGUCGCCCACGUCUCCAGGCCUGGCGUCGUGCGUCUGGAGACGCAGGACGGGGUCCCCAUCCAGAACGCCUGGAACAUCCAGCACCUUCAGAAGUUCUACCCAUGAAGCAAGGCCCAGCGCCUGUGAAGCAAGGCCCCGUGCCUGUGAAGGUCUCCGCCCGUGACACUCUCACAUAAUAAUGAGUGGGGCUGUACAUGCCCCGGAGUCUCAGGAAUGCCGCCCUCGGGCCUCGGGGGCUCCCUCCCACGUCCUAGUGGUAGCACUUAGCUCCACGCUGGUGAGAAGAAUAGACUAGGUGCCGGACGUAGCUUUUCAUUUGCUUUCCGUAGUUUGCUUGCCCCUCUGGAAGUUCGCAUUCUGGUGUUUCUUGUCAUCGUGCUUCGAUCGCCAUUUUCCUCUGUUCUUCCCUCGGUUCUUUGAUUUGGCCCGUACUCUCCCUCACAUGCCUCGCGAGGGGGCUGGACGAGUGCACUCGCGAGCGUUCAUUUUUCUUGUUCUUCGCGAGGCACCCUCGAUUGAGCUUGCAAGAGGUCACACCUCCCUCUUUUAAGUCCAUGCCCCUCGGGUACCGUUACACGGAGUGCUGGGUCAUGGCCAGCCACGCUUAGGGCCCUGAGCUUGAAAGAACAAUAGUUCCUUGACAAAUUUUUGCAGUUCCUCGACGCCUCCCAAAGCCUACGGCAAGGAGAUCUCACCAGGUACUGGGAGAUGCGCACCUCACGAGGCGGAAACUACUUCAGACAUGUCAAUCUAAGUCAUCUCUACACGCCUACGUAAAACACUAGUGCUGCAACACAAUGCAGGAACAAUAAACAUAACAUAGCAGCCUGGAAAUCAUGGUUUGUUGCACGCCCUUGCAGGGCCCCAUACUGGUUUCUUUUUCAAAUGCAGGAAGGAAGGAACAAAACAAAAGCGGCGUGCACCCCCGCGGCGGUUCGUGAGGGUAGGCCCUCGGAGCCCCCCUGGACUCAACCAGACCCCUCCUCGCGCUUCACUGGGGCGCGGCGACGAGGCAAUCCGCUACCGCCUUCCAAGCAGGCGCAGCGGCAUCGCGGCUAGUCAUAGCCGCCGCUGCUAGAGCUGUCGCCAGAGGAAGAGCCGCUGUAGCUGGACGAGCCGCGGCCUGCGCCGAGGUCGAGUCCACCUUCAUCCUCUUCAUGACCGUCGCCAAGGCCGAGCACCUCGCCGCCGUCGUUGUCCUCGGGGCAGCAUCCAACACGGCGACCAUCUUCCCCGAAUACCCACACGUAGAGGGUCGCGUCGCCAUCGUACUUGAAUUGGAGGGUACACCGCCCGCCCAGACCGCGCGCGCGGGCGAACAUCUGCCGACCACGGGCCAGGGUUGCGUUGCCUAUGACGGAGACUUCCACCGCGACCCACGAAGCCUUGCUGCAGCCAGAGACCGCCUAGACAUGUGGCCGUCAGUUCGCCGGUGAAGAACCACGGGAGCUGAAGCCAUGUGUCGACCGGGUUCUCCGACCACAUGACGAACUCUGGAAGCACCUCCGCCGACUGGAAGCGUGGCCGGGGAGGCCGCGUGACCAUGGCGCGUCUCACGUCAUCGACGGGACUGCCACAACCUGGGCGGCCCCCACCGCGUGGGGAGGCGCCGCUGCGGUCGCGAGGGGCACAAUGGGGGUCGCGGCGUGCUUACAUGGGCGACCACACCCGCUCUUGGGAGGCGGUGAACCGGGCCCUCCUGGCAGGCCUUCCCCUUCUCUACGGCCGAGAACCUCUUCACAAGUGCCAUGGGUGCCGCUACAAGCAAUGAAGCAAGAGAGAAGAAGUGUGUGGAGCAGGAAGAUAUGGGGCGACGGGGGCUCCGCCCCCUCCUCAUUUAUAGCAAGAGAAGACCAACCGGCGCCCCCACGAUCACAGGUAAUGAUGGUUUUCUCUGCAUUUAGCAGGGACUCGUCAAGUCGGGCAUUUGCCGAGGCAGCAUGGGGAAGCGGAGACGCCCAUGUCCCAUCAAUCGCCACACGUCAACUGAGCCCGCAGGCUGUUGGGGCCCGUGGCGCUCCGCAUUUGCCCCUUGGCUUCGCCUCGAAGCCAAGUCUGAGCGCACCUUGGGCCCAGGAGCUAUUGUCAGCGUCCUGGGAAUGGGGGUCCCCAGACAUGCCUGCCUGCAGCCCACGGCGUGGCUCCCGCAGCGGCCCUGUAUGGCCCAUCUUCAUCAGUGAACGCUCAAGACCCUCGCCAGGGGCCAAGCCUCGCGAGGCGGACGACGCAAGACCUCCUCGGGAGAGGCCUCACCAGGCUAGCUCGCGGAGGGCGGAGAGAUUAAGGCGAGGGGCCCCUCGCGAGGUUCCUGUGACGCAAGCCAUGACGACCAAGGCCAGGCGGGCACCAGGCGGGCGCCAGCGCGCGUAGUGUACUCGUUUCCUAUUUGGUGCUAAGGAGGCAGGCAGAGGCGAGGAGUCCCGAGGCAUUAGGCAAAGGUUUCCAUGUCGGUGAAACAAGACCAAGACUAGCAGGACAGCAGGAUGGAGGUUACCGUGGAGCCCAGGACGGUGUCACCACCAGAGCCUUUGGCAGGCGAAGACCACCUUUAGUCAGGAUAACUUGUACGUGUUGUCACCCUUCAAAUUAGGUCAUUGUUGGAUCCCUUCCUACCUACAUUUGGGAAGAGGACCAUGGCCUCUAUAAAUAGGACUAGCCACCACCGAAGAGUGGGGGGAUGAUCUUGGACUAGGUCCAUUCCACCAAGGCCACCAUACAAGCUCACCGAGUUCAAGGACACCUCUACUCGGGAGGCUAUUCAUCCCUUGUACUCGUUCAUCCUCAGCCCAAGAGGUAAUCCACCACACCACACUGGAGUAGGGUAUUACACCACAUCGGUGGCUCGAACCAGUAUAAAACCUUUGUCCUUUGUUCUGCGAGUUCUACGAACCGAGCUUUGAGAUUGCGGUGAGAGCGUGAGCUAGCGGGAGGAGAGAUCUUCGUGCGCACCCCAGAGUUCAAACCUCAAGGGUUUUGCCGGAACUCAAAAUCCGAUAGGCGCGCGGUUUUAGAAUAUAUUCCUCCAACCACAUCCCCACCCUCAAUAACCCCCCCCCCACGCCUCCCCCUACCGGUAUCUCAAACCGUCGCCGCCUCAACCACAGCUUCAACCACAUCUAUGUUCUGCUCGGAUCCAGUGAGGUAACCCACCGAUCUCUAUCACGGCCCCGUCCUGAUUGCUUAAAUGGCGUCUACGAAACAUCCUCAUCCUCCAAAUCCCCACCGCCAGGAGCUGAUGGCGGUCCAUGGCGUGAUCGCCGCUGUGCAUGUUGACCCGGAGGAACACCUCGCCUCCGCCGCCACCACGACAUGGUGCAGGCUCUAUCCUAGAUGAAGUGGCCCAGUGGCUACCCCCAGGACUUAACAGGUGAUGAGGACAUCAAUACCAUUGUUACACCCACAUCACCUGCUGCUAUACAUACUGGACCAAUUACUAGAGCUCGCGCACGCCAAUUGAAUUAGCGGGUACUUUUGUUUCUUUGUAACGAUUCUAAUGUUCAUGAGAAUAUGAUGCUGCCUAAAUUGGAUACAUUUGUUUUGCUUACAAAUGAAGGGCCUAGCUUGGACAAGAAAGAUGAACCUUGGAGCAAGUUCAAUCAUGGAGAUGAUGGCAUGCGCAAGGGGAUCAAGAACGGAGUUACAAGUGAUGAUUUCAGGACUUUGAAACCACCAUAAGGAGUGCAUGAAGCCUUGGACGAAAUAUACAAGAUGCCACUUCAUAAAUUUCAUCCAGAGGCUGUUCUAGGUGCUGCGUCACAUUAUUAUUGGGCCAGGCCAAUGUAUUUUCGAAAUACUUAAGUAUAGGUUGUUUUUAGAGUCCGUAUGUGUGGGGAAACAAGAGUUAGGGUUGGUUUCGGACCCCUCCUCCAAGGGCCACGAAAUUCCCCCUCUCUCCUCCAUAUAUACAACCCUUAGGGCAUUGUUUAGACUUUGGGUUUUGUUUAGAUUAAAGUUCACCAUAGCUGCAACUUCGUGUACUUCGUCUGUGUUCAACGACCAGACAAAGGCGUCACAGAACCCCACCUUGAUCAAUAAAGCUUUGCUCUUAUAUUCGCAAUAUCCAGAUUGCAAUCUCAGUUUCUUGCUUGUUCUUCAUUUGCCUGGAGGAAACAGACCUUCGUGGUCAGGUUGAUCGUGCUCCGGCAUGGUCAAUAACCUCUCGGAGUUGGUUUAGCGAUUGCUAAGGCGCGAUGUCCUUGCACGUUCAUAGUCGGAUCGUCAAAGUCGACUUCCUCCAAAACGAUAGCCACCAUCUCAUCGAAAGACGGGACAACUUUGCCUCUAUCAAGUGGUAUCAGAGUUCCAGGUUGCUCGGUGAGAUUUUACAGUUUUUCAUAGUUUAGAGCAAGUCUGUUCUUCAUACCUACAGUCCACGAAAAAGCCAAAAAAAUUAGGGUUAGGUCAUCAUAUCCGAACCAAUCUGAGCCUUUGAAUAAUAUUUUUUAGGGUUUUGCAUUGUUGAAUUUGCGGUUGCAUCGUCGUGUCUAGAUGCUGGUCUUAGCGUCUAGUUUCCUUUAGAGUUUCGAGUUCUGUUCACAUGUUGUCACGCCGCCGGCGCACCAUCGUCAUCGUUCCUACCACAUACCACCACCACCAACAUAUUCCUUACUUCUGCCAUAUACAUCCUCCUGUCCACCACCAAUCCGAGUCCACAUAUACAUCCGCCUAUCCACCACCAAUCUGAGUCCACAUAUACAUCUGUCUGUCCACCACCAAUACGAGUCCACAUAUACAUCUGCCUGUCCACCACCAAUCCGAGUUCUUUUCAUAUUAGGUUUGUUUUCGAGAUCCAUCUAGUUUUUGUUUUGUGUUUCCUUGCCUGAGUAGGUCUCGAAAAAAAAGUCUGGAGACCCCCGGGCAGUUUUUAGGCCAAAUUUUUGGUGACUACAAAUAUUUUUUCCCUAUCCUAUUUUUAGGCUUUUCUGAGUCUUUUGAGCCACGUGCCAUCAUAGUGAUUUUUUGUCACAGUUUUUCGUCGUCGCUGCCCUGAUUUCCGAAAAAAGUCAAAAAACAAUUCGUGCCCAUCCUGUCAGUUUGACGAGGGAAGAGUUUUCAGACACUCGCCAUUAUAGUGAUUUUUUGCAAAAAAAGAGGAGCGCAAAAAAAAGGAGCGCCAAAAAAAAGAAGAAAAACAGAGCAAAAAAAAGUUCCAGAGUGUGCUUUUCCCUUGUUUACGUGCACCGCCGUGAUUUUGUUAGCGUUCUAGGCUCGCGUCUCUAGCAGGGUCUAGCCUAGGACCAGCACAUACCGUCGUUGAACGUUUAUUCAACUUUGCAUCUCUGAAUUGAUUAUUGCUGACUCUUUUUGCUACCAUAUUAUAAGCCUUCCCAGCUCCACAUACAUCUACGUCAUGCGUAUGAUUUUCCCUGGUAAUUGCUCUAUCCAAGCUUUGAGAGUUUUGACUACGACAGUUGCCGAUCACCGCCUGCUGCUGGGUAAGAAUUGGUAAGAAUUUGAGAUUUGCUUGACGGAUUUGUGACACCCACCACCACCUCUUUGUUAAUAGUCUGUAGGAUCAUAUUCUUGUGUGUUUCUAUUGCUGCUAACCAAGGCAGGAUCACAAGCCGACGAGACUGACUGGGAGAACAUGAUGAAUAAGGAGUUGCAUGAUAAAUUUCAGCAAAUGAUGAGUGGACAGGUGCAAGAUUUGCUAAACAGAUUUGAAGAGGCCAUGGAGAAGAUCGAUGGCAUGGACAAGACGUUCGAAACAAAGCUCGAUAACAAGUUUAAUGAAUUGCUUGCGCGUCUUCCACCACCACCACCAGCUGCCCCUAACGCACCUCUACAACAAUAACAACAACAACAACAACAACAACGUCGCUUUCCAAAUCAAGUGGGAUGAGCACAGCGCGUUCCCAUUGACCCUGGGCAAAAUUCUGGUGCCGCUGUUGAUGCUUCUGUCACUCCUGCUGCUACUGCAGAGGUGGAGGACCAUUACGAGGACUAGGUUGAUCAAAAUCAGAACUACGUGCAACCACCAACACCACCACCACUAGGUCGUCCUCAGGUAUAUCAUCGCAACAGUAGGCCUGCACCACCAUAUGAGGUACGAGAUCAUGACCAUCUUCCUAAACUGAAAUUGAAUAUUCCACCACUUGAGGGUAGAUAUCUUCCUGAUAUAUAUAUAUCUUACUUGGGAGUAAGAAACUGAACAAUGUUUUACAUGUUUACAAUACCCUGAGGAGAGACGUGUUCCCGUUGCUGUUUGUGCUUUCACUAGCUUCGCAUGUGUUUGGUGGUCUGAACAUUGUAGAUUAUAUCCUAUUCCAACUACUUGGGCUGCUUUCAAAACUGCUAUGCGUACUCGUUGGGUCCCACCAUAUUAUCAACGUGAAUUACUUCAAAAAUUGCAGCGUUUAAGAAAAGGAAAAAAUUCUGUAGAAGAAUAUUAUCAGGAAUUACAAACUGGCAUGAUUAGAUGUGGUAUUUUUGAGGAGAAUGAAUCUAUGCUUGCAUGUUUUAUGGGUGGAUUAAAUAGAGAGAUUCAGACCAUUCUAGAGUAUAAGGAUUAUACUAAUAUCACUCGUUUAUUCCAUCUUGCUUGUAAAGCUGAACAUGAAGUGCAGGAUCGACAGGCAUGGGCAUGAACUAACUUCUCUGCAGGUCGAUCUUCAUCAUGGACACCACGUGCAUCCUCUAGUUCCACUCCACCAGCACCUCCAUCAGGUGCCACCUCCAGUCGUGAUACAAGAAAGCAGGCACAACCACCACUGUCUGCCAAGAGCACACCUGUCGGGCCUGCGCAGAGCUCUUCUUUUUCCAUGGCAUCAACAGGGCACACAAGUGAUAUUAUUUGUCGUCGUUGUAAGGGAAGAGGACAUUUUGCGAGAGAAUGCAAAUCUCAGCGUGUGAUGAUUGCUACUGAGGAUGGUGGGUAUGAGUCCGCUAGUGACUAUGAUGAGGAGACUUUGGCUCCUAUUACACAUGAAGAACACGGUGGAGAUCAUUCUGAUCAUGAGACGCAAUACAUGGCUGCUGAAGAUGCUGACAGGUUUGAAUGUUUAGUUGCUCAACGUGUUUUGAGUGUAGGUUACACAAGCUGAGCAAAAUCAGACGCAUAAUUUGUUCCAUACAAAGGGAGUUGUGAAGGAACGUUUUGUUCGCAUCAUCAUAGAUGGAGGGAGCUGCAAUAACUUGGCUAGCAUGGAGAUGGUGGAGAAGCUAUCUCUCACCACAAGACCACAUCCACAUCCUUACUACAUCCAAUAGUUCAACAACAGUGGCAAGGUUAAGGUAACAUGUAUUGUUCGUGUGCAUUUUAGUAUCUCUACAUAUGCUGAUCAUGUUGAUUGUGAUGUGGUACCUAUGCAAGCAUGUUCCUUAUUACUUGGUAGACCAUGUCAAUUUGAUAAAAAUUCUGUACACCAUGGUAGAAACAAUCAGUAUACUCUUGUUCAUAAGAAUAAAAAUAUUACUUUGCUUCCUAUGACUCCUGAUUCCAUUUUGAAAAAUGAUAUUAAUAGAGCUAGUAAAGCAAAACAGGAGAAAAAUAAGACUGAAAAUCAGAUUGUGGCAAAAGAAUUUGAGCAACAAAUGAAGCCUAAUAAUAAACCAUCUAGUGUUGCUUCUGAAAUUAAAUUGAAAAGUGCACGUUUACUUGCCACCAAAUCUGAUAUUGAUGAUCUAGAUUUUAUCAAAUUUGUUCGCUAUGCUUUUGUGAGCAAAGAGGCAUUAUUUUCAUUCGAGGACAUUCCUUCCUCUUUGCCUCCUGUUGUCACUAACAUUUUGCAGGACUUCGCUAACGUCUUUCCACAAGACGUGCCACCGGGAUUACCACCUAUUCGAGGGAUUGAGCAUCAAAUUGAUUUAAUUCCCGGUGCAUCAUUACCCCGCCGUGCACCAUACCGUACCAAUCCAGAGGAGACAAAGGAAAUUAUGCGUCAAGUACAAGAACUGCUCGACAAAGGUUAUAUACGCGAAUCCCUUAGUCCUUGUGUUGUUCCUAUCAUUUUAGUGCCGAAAAAGGAUGCUACGUCGCGUACGUGUGUUGAUUGUAGAGGCGUUAAUAAUAUUACUAUUCGUUAUGGUCAUCCUAUUCCUAGGCUAGAUGAUAUGCUUGAUGAAUUGAGUGGCUCUACAAUAUUCUCCAAAGUUGAUUUGCGUAGUGGAUACCAUCAAAUUCGUAUGAAAUUGGGAGAUGAAUGGAAACCAGCAUUAAAAACUAAGUUUGGAUUAUAUGAGUGGUUAGUCAUGCCUUUUGGGUUAACUAAUGCACCUAGUACUUUCAUGAGAUUAAUGAACGAAGUUUUACGUGCUUCCAUUGGAUGAUUUGUGGUAGUUUACUUUGAUGAUAUAUUGAUUUAUAUCAAAUCUUUGGAGGAACAUUUGGAACAUUUACGUGCUAUUUUUUUUUGCUCUACGUGAUGCACGUUUCUUUGGUAACCUUGGGAAGUGCAGCUUUUGCACCGAGCGAGUAUCUUUUCUUGGCUAUGUUGUUACUCCACAGAGAAUUGAAGUUGAUAAAGCCAAGAUUGAAGCUAUUGAGAGUUGGCCGCAGCCCAAAAUGGUCACACAAGUGAGGAGUUUCCUUGGCCUCGCUGGUUUCUAUAGGCAUUUUGUGAGAGAUUUCAGCACCAUUGCUGCACCUCUCAACGAGCUUACAAAGAAGGAUGUGCCUUUUGUUUGGGGUACCGCACAGGAAGAAGCCUUCACGGUAUUGAAAGAUAAGUUGACACAUGUUCCUUUACUCCAACUUCCUGAUUUUAAUAAGAGUUUUGAGCUUUAAUGUGAUGCUAGUGGAAUUGGAUUAGGAGGUGUGUUAUUACAAGAUGGCAAACCUGUUGCAUACUUUUCUGAAAAAUUGAGUGGGCCUAGUCUGAACUAUUCUACUUAUGAUAAAGAAUUAUAUGCUCUUGUUCGGACCUUAGAAACAUGUCAACAUUAUUUAUGGCCCAAGGAAUUUGUUAUACAUUCUGAUCAUGAAUCUUUGAAACACAUUAAAAGUCAAGCAAAACUGAACCGUAGACAUGCUAAAUGGGUUGAAUUCAUUGAGACUUUCCCUUAUGUCAUUAAACACAAGAAGGGUAAAGAAAAUGUUAUUGCUGAUGCAUUGUCUCGUCAUUAUACUAUGCUUUCACAACUUGAUUUUAAAAUAUUUGGUUUGGAAACCACCAAAUGUCAAUAUGUGCACGAUGCUGAAUUCAAAGAUGUAUUGCAGAAUUGUAAGGAAGGGAGAACUUGGAACAAGUUCGUUCUUAACGAUGGAUUUGUGUUUCGUGCUAACAAGCUAUGCAUUCCAGCUAGCUCCGUUCAUCUUUUGUUGUUGUAGGAGGCGCAUGGAGGAGGAUUAAUGGGACACUUUGGCAUGAAGAAGACGGAGGACAUACUUGCUACACAUUUUUGUUGGCCAAAGAUGAGAUGGGAUGUUGAGCGUUUUGUUGCUCGCUGCACUAAAUGUCAAAAAGCUGAGUCACAACUCAAUCCUCAUGGUUUAUAUAUGCCUUUGCUUGUACCUAGUGUUCCUUGGGAGGAUAUAUCUAUGGACUUUGUUUUAGGUUUACCUCGAACAAAGAAGGGGAGGGAUAGCAUAUUUUUUUAUCAUGGAUAGGUUCUCGAAAAUGGCACACUUUAUACCAUGUCAUAAAAGCGAUGAUGUUGUUAAUGUUGCUGAUUUUUUCUUUCGUGAAAUUAUUCGCUUGCAUGGUGUAAGUUGGGGACUAAACUGCUUUUAAGUACUACUUGUCACCCCCAAACUGAUGGACAAACUGAUGUAGUCAAUAGGACAUUGUCUACUAUGCUUAGGGCUAUUUUGAAGAAUAAUAAGAAAAUGUGGGAAGAAUGCUUGCCUCAUAUUGAAUUUGCUUAUAAUCGUUCAUUGCAUUCUACUACUAAGAUGUGCCCUUUUGAAAUUGUGUAUGUUUCCCUACCUCGUGCACCUAUUGAUUUCUUGCCUCUUCCAUCUUCGGAGAAGGUUAAUUUUGAUGCUAAAGAACGUGCUAAAUUGAUUUUAAAAAUGCAUGACUUAACUAAGGAAAACAUUGAGCGUAUGAAUGCUAAAUAUAAACUUGCUGGAGAUAAGGGUAGAAAACAUGUUGUGUUUGCACCUGGAGAUCUUGUUUGGUUACAUUUGCGUAAGGAUAGAUUUCCUAAUUUGUGCAAAUCAAAGCUAAUGCCACGUGCUGAUGGUCCUUUUAAGGUGUUAGAGAAAAUAAAUGAAAAUGCAUAUAAACUUGAGCUGCCUGCAGAUUUUGGGGUUAGUCCCACUUUUAACAUUGCGGAUUUGAAGCCUUAUUUGGGUGAGGAAGAUGAGCUUUCGUCGAGGACGACUUCAUUGCAAGAAGGGGAGGAUGAUGAGGACAUCAAUACCAUUGUUACACCCACAUCACCUGCUGCUAUACAUACUGGACCAAUUACUAGAGCUCGCGCAUGCCAAUUGAAUUAUCAGGUACUUUCAUUUCUUGGUAACGAUUCUAAUGUUCAUGAGAAAAUGAUGCUGCCUAAAUUGGAUUCAUUUUUCUGCUUACAAAUGAAGGGCCUAGCUUGGACAAGAAAGAUGAACCUUGGAGCAAGUUCAAGCAUGGAGAUGAUGGCAUGCACAAGGGGAUCAAGAACGGAGUUACAAGUGAUGAUUUCAGGACUUUGAAACCACCAUAAGGAGUGCAUGAAGCCUUGGACGAAAUAUACAAGAUGCCACUUCAUAAAUUUCGUCCAGAGGCUAUUCUAGGUGCUGCUUCACCUUAUUAUUGGGACAGGCCCAUGUAUUUUCGAAAUACUUAAGUAUAGUCUGUUUUUUGAGUCCGUAUGUGUGGGGAAACAAGAGUUAGGGUUGGUUUCGGACCCCUCCUCCAGGGGCCACGAAAUUCCCCCUCUUUCCUCCAUAUAUACAGCCCUUAGGGCAUCGUUUAGACUUUGGGUUUUGUUUAGUUUAAAGUUCUCCAUAGCUACAACUUCAUGUACUUCGUUUGUGUUCAACAACCACACAAAGGCGUCACAGAACCCCACCUUGAUCAAUAAAGCUUUGCUCUUAUAUUCGCAAUAUCCAGAUUGCAAUCUCAGUUUCUUGCUUGUUCUUUGUUUGCCUGCAGGAAACAGACCUUCGUGGUCAGGUUGAUCGUGCUCCGACGUGGUCAAUAACCUCUCGGAGUUGGUUUAGCAAUUUCUAAGGCACGACGUCCUCGCACGUUCGUAGUCGGAUCGUCAAAGUCGACUUCCUCCAAAACGAUAGCCACCAUCUCAUUGAAAGACGGGACACCUUUGCCUCUAUCAACAGGUAAAAUCUGACCAACUAAAUCUUACCAAUACCACUUGCAAUGGCUAUGAUUUGUAUGGUUCAUGUAUUAAGCAUGUUCGUGCCUUGUUUAUUUCGGUACUGCACACUGUGUGAUGUUCAAAUAUUACCGUGUCCAGCUCAAUUUUCAACAAUACCAGCAACAAACUUACAAUACAUGACUCAGGAUAUCACUAGAGAUGCUGCCCAUUUGCUAUUUUUAGUGGAUGCUAACCCUGUUGUACUUAACAUGCCUAUCCAUGUACUUACGCAGGGUCAUAACAGCCGAUGUUGUUGUUUGCCGUCGAUGUUAGCUGCAUCCCAUGUCUUACAGUAUUUCACAUCAUUUGUGAAUUGUAGUUUAACUUCUACCAUUUAGUGGUUGCCUACAGGUACACAUGUCAGUGGCACUGAUGCAUGCUUCGACCCGGAGGAACAGCUCGCCUCCGCUGUCGCUGACUUUGGGCGAGCUCUGGCCAAGAUGAAGUGCCCGAGCAACUACCUCUCAGGACUUACCAAGUAUGUACUCACCAGUUCAAUCUUACUAGUACCGGUUACAAUUAAUGGCUAUGUUCUGUACGGUCGAUGUAUUAAGCAUGUUCUAGUAAGCAUGCCUAACACGUUUUAGCUACUUUCCCUACCUUUUUAUAGACAUCUGGGCCAUUCUCUGCUCUGGCAGCACCCGCCUUGUGAUGUUUAACUAUGUGAAUUGCAUUUUUAUCAUUACCGGUUUCAAUGUCUAUGAAGCCUGUUGUAAUUAAUAGUUGAAUCCAUUUUUAAACAGUUGUUUUUCAAUGGCUACAAACUUACAAAACAUGACUUAGGAUGUUGUUAAGCUUGUUGCAAUUAACAGUUGUAUACAUUUUUUAAUCUGUCCAUUUGCUACCAUGCUACUCUCCACAAUGAAGAUAUACUAGAGAUGCUGCCCAUUUGUUAUUUUUGGUGGAUGCUAACCCUGUUGUAGUUAACAUGCAUGUCCAUGUACUUACGCAGGGUUAUAAUGGCUGAUGCUGUUGUUUGCCAUCGAGGUUAGCUGCAUCCAAUGUCUUACAGUAUUUCAUAUCAUUUGUGCAAUUGCAGUUUAAAUUCUACCAUUUACUGGUUGCAUGUAGAUACACAUGUCAGUGGCACUGAUCCACACUUCGACCCGGAGGAACAGCUCGCCUCCACCGCCGCUGACUUGGGCGGACUCUGGCCAAGAUGAAGUGCCCGAGCAACUACCUCUCAGGACUUACCAAGUAUGUACUCACGAGUUCAAUAUUACCGAUACUAGUUGCAAUUAAUGGCUAUGUUCUGUACGGUCGAUGUAUUAAGCAUGUUCUAGUAAACAUGCCUAACAUGUUUUAGCUAUUUUCCCUACCUUUUUAUAGACAACUAGGCGAUUAUCUGCUCUCGCGGCACCUGCCUUGUGAUGUUUAACUCUGCCAAUUGCAUUUUUAUCAGUACCGGUUUCGAUGGCCAUUAAGCCUGUUGAAAUUAACAGUUUUAUCCAUUUUUAAAGAGUUAUAUUUCGAUGGCUAUAAACUUACAAAACAUGAUUUAGGAUGUUGUUAAGCCCGUUGAAAUUAACAGUUGUAUCCAUUUUUUAAUGCGUCCCUUUGCUACCGUGCUGCACUUUCGCAAUGAAGAUAUCACUAUGGAUGUUAACGUUUUAUUACCAUUUGCUAUUUUUGGUGGAUGUUAACCCUGUUGUAGUUAACAUUGGCUUUCCGUGUACUUACAUAGGGCUACAAUGGGCGAUGCUAUUGUUUGUCGUCGAGGCUAGCUGCAUCCCAUGUCUUAUACACCAUUUAUUCCUAAAUAUAAGUAUUUUUAGAGAUUCCAAUAUAGACUACAUAAGGAGCAAAAUGAGUAAAUCUAAAUUCUAAUCUAAACUAUCUCUAUAAUUCUAUAUACAUCAGUAUGUAGUUCAUAUUGAAAUCUCAAAAAAAAUACUUGUACUUAGGAACAUAGGUAGUUGUAUUUUACAUCAUUUGUGCAAUUUCAGUUUAACUUCUAACAUUUACUGGUUGCUUUUAGGUACAUAUAUGAGCGGUACUAAUCCACGCUUCGAUCCCUUUUGCGUAUGGGGCAAUGAGAUAUUCAUGAACAAGCUUCAACUGAGGAAACUAAGAAAGAUUGUUAGGCGAAAGAAACAGGUGAUUGGAAUUAAGCUCUUUAUUUACACUUUGUCCAAGACAAUAGUGAACUUUAGGAUGGUAAGUAAUGUGUUGCCUUUUCCCCCUACCCACAACAAGUUGCUCUAUUAGACAUGAGUAUCUGAUAUUUUUCUCUUUUCAGUGGUUUCUGAAGCUAUUUACUGAUGAUUACCUUGCAAACUACAUGGCCGGAGUGGAGGCAACUAAGGUUAAAGUAUAUAAUUCAUGCUACCAUGAUAAUUCUCUAGAAGUUUUCCUGAAGGCGGUGAAGGAUGGGCAGGCAAUCGUCACAAGGGGUUGGACAAAAGUGGUUCGUUCCUAUGGCAUGCAGGAAGGCACAUUAUGGGCAUUCCGCUUCUUCAAUACCGUCGGCAGUCAAAAUGAUUUACACUUGUCUCUUCACCUUUACCGCCUUUAAAUAUUGUGGUUCAUCAUAGUUAAUUGCUGCCUAAUCAUGUAAUUACUGAACAUAUUGUACUGGUAAUUUUAUUUAUGGAUUCGUUGUUGAACCAUUGUGCUAAGAAUUUUAAUUGCACGUUUCAUAUUUCAAAAUUUCCAAUUCAAAUGAUAAAUUACAGGCAAAAAUAAAAAUAUACAGGAGCUAAUAAAAUAAUGUGCACACGGUUAGAAAGAAAACAGCGUGUGCGAUGUAAAAAGAGAACAGACGGUCAUGGAACUUUUGAAACGGUUCUGGCAGUAAAAGCGCUUGUGAUGGAUAGCCCAAUGCCACACAGUUUUCUACAUCAAAUCGUGUGUGAUGUAGUUCAUAAAAGCAAAUAGUUAACCAAGGCAGAGCAUGUGUGAUAGUUACACCUUUCACACACAAGUGUAUACAUAAAACUGUGUGGGAUGUACAUACGAACGAAAACGUUUUCCUUGGAUUGACUGUGUGGGAUGUACAUAAGAACGAAAACGUAUUCCUUGGAUUGAUUGUGUGUGAUAUACAUACGAACGGAAAUGUUUUUUCUGGGAUUCAUUGCGUGAGAUGUACAUACGAACGGAAAUGAUUGGGUUUCGAUGCCUCGCCCGAUCGCACACGAGCUCAUUUGGCCCCAACAUGUGUCCUAUCCCUGACGAUUUCUGGGUUGUGUGGGAAGGACCCCCCCCCUAUCACCCACACUCACUUGGCUACGGUUCCAAAUGCCAUCACGGAAAGGGGUUAAAAACCAUUUGUAUAGCACCAACACGUACCAGUGAUUGUAUUGUUGCCAUCAAGGAUAACAAGAAGGGGUUUUCAUCAUAUUGUUUGAGUUAAUUCCGCUACAUCAUAUCAUCUUACUUAAUGCGUUACUCUAUUCUUAUGAACUUGUACUCUAGAUGCAGGCAGGAGUCGGUCGACGUGUGGAGUAAUAGUAGUAGAUGCAAAAUCGUUUCGGUCUACUUGACACAGAUGUGAUGCCUAUAUUCAUGAUCAUUGCCUUAGAUAUUGUCAUAACUUUGUGCUUUUCUAUCAACUUCUCGGCAGAAAUUUGUUCACCCACCGUAUUAUUUUCUAUCUUGAGAGAAGCCUCUAGUGAAACCUAUGCCCCCCGGGUCUAUUUUCCAUCAUAUAAGUUUCUGAUCUAUAAUUUUAGUUUCCGAUUUACUUUCUUUGCAAUCUUUUACUCUCCAUUCCAUAAACCAAAAAUGAUGAGGACAUCAAUACCAUUGUUACACCCACAGCCCCUGCUGCUAUACAUACUGGACCAAUUACUAGAGCUUGCACACGCCAAUUAAAUUAUCAGGUACUUUCGUUUCUUGGUAAUGAUUCCAAUGUUCAUGAGAAUAUGAUGCUGCCUAAAUUGGAUACAUUUGUUGUUCUUACAAAUGAAGGGCCUGGCAUGGAUAAGAGGGAUGAACAUUGGAGCAAGACCAAGCAUGGAGAUGAUGGCAUGCGCAAGGGGAUCAAGAACGGAGUUACAAGUGAUGAUUUUAGGAUUUUGGAACCACCAUAAGAAGUACAUGAAGCCUUGGAUGAAAUAUACAACAUGCCACUUCAUAAAUUUCGUCCAGAGGCUAUACUAGGUGUUGCGUCACCUUAUUAUUGGGCCAGGCCCAUGUAUUUUUGAAGUACUUAAGUAUAGGCUGUUUUUAGAGUCUGUAUGUGUGGGGAAACAAGAGUUAGGGUUGGUUUCGGACCCCUCCUCCAAGGGCCAUGAAAUUGCCCCCUCUUCCUCCAUAUAUACAGCCCUUAGGGCAUCAUUUAGACUUUGGGUUUUGUUUAGACUAAAAGUCUGCCAUAGCUGCAACUUCACGUACUUUGUUUGUGUCCAACGACCAGACCAAGAUGUCACAGAACCCCACCUUCAUUAAUAAAGCUUUCCUCUUUUAUUCGCAAUAUCUAGAUUGCAAUCUCAAUUUCUUGCUUGUUCUUCGUUUGCUCGCAGGAAAUAGGCCCUCGUGGUUAGGUUGAUCGUGCUCCGGUGUGGUCAAUAACCCUCGGAAGUUGGUUUAGCGAUUGCUAAGGCGUGACGUCUUCGCACGUUCAUAGUCGGAUCGUCAAAGUCGACUCCCACAAAAAAUGAUAUCUAUCUCAUCGAAACAUUGGGACACCUUCGCCUCUAUCAAAAAAUACCAAAAAUAUUACUUUGCCAUUUAUCCAUCUAUAUCAGAUCUCACUUUGCAAAGAAACAUGAAGGGAUUGACAACCCCUUUGUCGCAUUUUGUGCAAGUUGGUGUUUGUUUGUACAAGUAUUCGGUGGCUUGUUGCGUUGCCUCCUAUUGGAUUGAUACCUUGAUUCUCAAAAGCUGAGGGAAAUACUUACUCUACUUUGCUGCAUCACUCUUUCCUCUUCAAGGGAAAAACCAAUGCAAGCUCAAGAGGUAGCAUUGGCGUCGUGGACAAGUCAAGGGGGCCCGCGAGGUGAUGACAAGGCAAGGCGCGCGCCCUAGGGGGGGCACCCUUGUGGUUACCUUGGGAAUCCUCUUUGAUAUCUUUUCGUUCCAGUAUUUUUUAUAUUUUCCAAAAGUAUUCUCCGUAAAUUUUCAGCACCAUGGUAGUUCUGCUGAAAACAAUGUCAGACUGGGUUAGUUCUAAUCAAAUCAUACCUAAAUAAUAUAGAAUUGUUGUAAACAUGGCAUGAAUACUUCAUAAAUUAUAGAUACUUUGGAGACGUAUUAGUUGGGGAGGUGCUGUCGCAAAAGACCCCUCCUCUUCCGAUAAAGAGCUUGACCUUGUCAACAAACGGCUUGACGAGGCGCAAGGUAAGCCCUUUGAUAAGAUGUGUAUUUGCUUGAUGCCGGAUAUUGACGAUCCAUACUGAAUGCUAAUCUUUUAUCAUGAUGAUCUUGCAGGUGCCGCCGCUAAGGUCGAGGGCUUGAGAGAGGCCAUGAAGAAAGCUGAGGCAGAGGCGGCCACAAAGGAAGCGGCCAUUGACGAGGGGUGGCCGAGCUCGAGAAGGCCAAGCUCGCUGGUGAGAUGCUCGAGGAUUGAAUAGUCGAGGUGCAAGUGGAGCUCCAGGAUGCCGCCAAGAAGCUGGAGCUUCUUGAGAAGAAGCAGGAGAAAGAAUCUUCCCAGCUAUCCAAGGCGGAGACGGAGGGAAGGAUCAAAGCGCGAGGUGUCCGAGAAGAGCUCCACCAAGACAGGAAAAUUGCAAAUGGUAAUAAAUACUUACUGGAGUGUGUGUUCGGAGGCAACAGAUUUGCCUUGCCGACGCAGGGCUGGCGCUCUGCAGGUGUCUUCGCUGAACUUAUGUGGAAUGUGGCGGCCGCCAUGGAGCAUUAUGCUGCUCACGAGGAGGAUUCCGAGCAGGGGCUGUUCUGGUCGCAGUUUUCAGCCUCCGAGCAUCCUCCCCUCCUCAGCAACUAGAUGAAGCAACUGAUGGAUCUCCAUCGAAUGUCUAAACUGGCGCUGAAGGAUCUGUGUGUCAAUCUGUUGUCGGCUAAGCCGAUUCCGGGGAGCUACUUCGGCCUUAUGCAAAGGCUGCGGGAGGUGCCACUCCGUGUUGAUGCCAUGAGGCGGACAACAUGCCUCGAGGGAGCUAGGCUGGCGUUUGCGAAGAUCAUGGUACAUAGGUGGAAUAUUAAUCCAAUGGACAUGGCCACUGGUCCCCCACCGAAGGGAAAAGAACAUCGCCGCCCGGAGCUGUACUUUGCACAGGUUAUGAAUGGUGCACGGGCGAUAGAGGGCCAGUGUUCUAAAGAUGAAAUAAUUUAGUGACCGCAUCAAAAAAUUUAUCAUGUGGAUCUUGCACUUCAUAAUGUGGCUUUUUAUAUUUUGUCAUGGUUUAAUUUUGAUUCCUGUUUGGCCGUAAGUUUAUUCUGAAAGUUACCAGUCAUCAGCUUCAGUUGCCGAGUGAAUAUCGCAAGGGGUGUUUCGUCGCCACACUAUUACCCUUAGCUAACGUCUUGCUAGCCGGAGGCAGUAGUGCGGGAGUGAGACUAGGCACUCAGACUAUUCGAUUUUAUUGCUUGUGAUGUACUUUGUAGCCGAGGCCUUCCCCUUCCAAUCACGUAGUUAGUGCUAAGACCAACCCUUCAUGUGACACGGUGAAAUCACCAAUGAUUUUUGGAGUCGAAACCCUGUCAUCGGAUCGCUGACUUGUUUGCGCUUACUAUGAUGGUCAGUUUUCGGCUUUUUCCUCUUGAUGUGCUUUACUAGGCUAGCCAGAAGCACGAUCGUAGGGGUUCUCCCAUUACCCUCUUAGCCAAACAUGCGGAACAUAAGGUGUAAACACAAGAGCCGGACAACCCAACUAUUGACCCAAGACAUAGUUCAGGACUGAUACAUAUAGAGCAAUAUCUGAGAUGUCGAACACUCCGCGGGAAGCGGUGUCGGACUUGGUAUGAGCAGUUGAUGAGGAAUCAAGCUCUUAGAGGGUGAAUUACAUCACCAUGCUGGGCUGUUUGAAGAGCGAGAGGGAGAUUGAGAAGGAAGGAGACAAUCACCAGAUGAGGAUAUCCGAAUACCAUAAAGGGUGUUUAUUAUUUUUCAUAGGCUCAAGACGUCUAAUCAUACAAUUCGAACUGCCAAGACAUUUAUUGAAAAAGAAAGAAAAGUUUUAUAGUAAAGGUUUACGUAGGGCCUUGAUGCGUGAGUCGAAACCUCAACUGUGCCCUGCUGCACGUCUGUGCCUUUGCUUCUGAGAGGUGGGGGUUGGGACCUUCAAUCAAACCUUGAGGGGCGAGGAUCCUGCCGAUGAAGCUUUGUGCUUGGAGGGGGGGUUCUGGAAUUGGCCCCCAAGUCGUCCGAAGACAAGGUAACUCCGAAGUUUGAGUUAGCCGAACACAUGCUUCGUUUGUUGAUAUAUGCCUCACGGUUGCCCAUGGUAUUUUCAGUGCAAAAUUGUGCUAUCGAGGCAUGCAGAGUGUGAAGAAGGUAGGCAUGCCGUGGGGUGCACAUCCCUAUUUGCGGUGAAUGCAUGUGGGUUCCCAUGACGGGGAGCAGGUUCGAGCCCGUUUACUGUUGUCGCUGGCCUUUACGACAGGCCGGUAAUGGGACCCGUAUGGGCCGGUUUGGUCUUCGGCCGCUAGGGCCGCAGUGUGCUCUUUGGUUCGAAGUGAGUGUUUGUCAGGACCCCGACUCAAUGUCACAUCGAUCUAGCCUAUAACACCUCAUAUCACUUUGCGGCCUCACGCACGGUAUCCCCACGGGUGUCGCCUUACCUUUCCCCGGGACCGUUUGCGCCUUUUGGCUCACGUAUAUGAUAGUGUCGCUAGCAUCCAUAUGAUAAGGAGCCCGGGCUGACAUGACUAGUCGUAAACCCAAAGUGGCACAGACUUACAGGGACAGGCAUCCAUGACCCAGCAUCGAACAUGUCGGUCAUCAGCAAGUGGGUCCGGGCUGUAGCACUGGGCUAGCAGGACUCCGGUAAACCGGGCUGUAGCAUGCUGACAGGCCUCCGGUACUCAAUGCGUGACAUUUCCCCGAAGGGACAGACACAGGAACGAAGAAGGACACAUGCCGGUCAGCCUAAGUGUUCCGAAGCAGUAGCAAGCUACCAUGGCUCAGUGGAGACACUAGGAGACAUUUCCCGGUAAGAGAGGCUACUAAGAGUAAACAACUAGAUAGUCAGAUCCCACACAUACCAAGCAUUUCAAUCAUACACACAAUAUGCUCGAUAUGUGCAAAUACAACAAGGCAUCACAACAUGACUCUACGACACAAGUACUUUAUUUAAGGCUCAGAGAGCCAUACAUAACAUACACAUAAGUACGGGUCACAUGACCCAGCAUUCAAGUCAUACAGUCAUACAAACCAGCAGCGGAAGUAACUUGUCUGAGUAUAGACAACUAGUAAAAUAAAAGAGGCUUGGAAAGCCUAGCUAUACUACGUGGUCCUUCACAAGCUCAGGAUCACCACCUGGGCCUUAGCCUACUCAUUGAUGUCAACGUCUACGAAGAACCCAUCAGAAGGGGUUGCAGCGUCUUCUGUAAAAAUGUAAAUUAUAGCAACAUGAGUACAAAGGUACUCAGCAAGACUUACAUCAGAUCCUACAUACAUGCACAUUAUCAAGAAGGGUUGGAGGAGUUAUUGCAGCAAGCCAGCUUUGACUCUUGGCUAGGCUAUCCUACGAGACUCCAACUUGAAAUGGUUUUGCGCACACGAGUCCACUACUCACCACUUCAAUGCACUACCGAGGAUCCACCUCCGUCUUCCUACGAAAGAGCCAUCCUCGGCACUCACACUUAUCUUGAGGCUUUUAGUAGUUUCCAUUUACUUGUCUAUGAACUGUAUAGGCAACCAAGUAGUCCUUUACCGCGGACGCGGCUAUUCGAAUAGAUCAUGAUAACCCUGCAGGGGUGUACUUCUUCAUACACGCUCUCACCACUUACCGUCGUUUACACGACAUGUACUCGGCAACCUUCAAGCGGAAGCCCAACGUGGGUGUCAGCCACGACCUACCUAAUCACCUAAGUCUCUAAUCCAGGUUUAUCGCCUAUCCAGGUUCCAUCCGCAGGGAGUCCGGCCGAGGUUUCCCAUACGGCCCCGAACGAUGUGUACAGGGUUCCCGAGAUACCUAACGGGUAUUCGGUACACCGUGCCACAUACCUACCGCAUCACAGCCCACCCCUACGGUCAGCGCUGUCCACGGCCUCCAGUAGGCUACAAACACCAGAAACUACUUGCAACUCCUGGACAGAGAACUAGGGUGAAUAAGAAGCCGAGAGGGUCCAUUGGUUUCGGGCCUAAUGUAUGGUAGUAGCUGAUUCUUAAAUCACACAUACAGAUCUCAGUGCUUAAGGUCGGCUUCAAUGAAACAACCCACCAUGUACUCCUACAUGGCCUCUCAUCGAUACCUUUACCAAAUCGUGUUCACCACAUCACUCUCAUUACCGACAUGAUCAUUUCACUCUAGCCCAUCACCCAGAUGAACCAGACCUGACACGACUCUAAGCAUAGCAGGCAUAGCAAGGUAGGAACAACACAUACAUAUGGCUCAAUCAAUUCCUACACAUGCUAGUGGGUUUCAUCUAGUUACUGUGGCAAUGACAGGUCAUGCAGAGGAAAUGGGUUCAACUACCGCAGCACAUAGUAGUUUGAAACGCGUUGUCUUAAUGCAGUAAAAGAGAGCAAGAGCGAGAACAUGGGAUUGUAUCGAUAUGAUCAAAUGGUUGGUUGCUUGCCUGAUGGUUCGAUGCACUGAUAUGGUUCUUCGCUAGGGUAAUCACGGUACUCCUCGGAGGCAGAACCUGCCGCAAAGAACACCGAUACACAGCCAUCACGAAACAAUGUGCGACAAUAUGAUGCAUGCAUGAAACAUGGCAAUAUGAGUGUGUUGGGCUAAUGCAACUAAGACCAGAAGGGUUUGAACCAAUUUGAACCAAAGAUUCAAAUUUCAAACUCAUACAUGGCCCUUUAAAGUGUUUUAUCUUGUUCUGCAUUAAACAUCAAGUUAGCUUGCUUAAACAUGCAUGAAACUAGUACAGAUGGAUAGAUUGGAUUUUUUUGAUCAUUUUUCAUAUAUAACUUGUUUGAUUUGGAGUUACAGAUUAAAAGUUAUGAAUUUUUGAAGUUUAAACUAUAUUCUGGAAUUUCCUAUAUUAGAAUAAAUCCAGAAAUUAAUUUAUUGCGUCAGCCAUGCGUCAGAAUGACGUCAGGGUCAACGGAGACGUCCAGGUCAAACCUGACUGUGGGUCCAGGGCUGGGCCCCACCUGUCAUUGACUCAUCGGAGUCAACCAGGGCCCACCGUGGUCGAAGUCAACGUCGGCUGCACCGGCGUCUAGCCGCCGGCGAGCCCGACGCAGCGGCGGAAGUGGUUUUGGCCGUUUCGGCAACCAAACGAGCCGCGGAGGGUGGCUAUGGGUAGCUGGGAACAUGCCGCAGCUUCUGGUGGAGUCGGUUGGGGUCGGGGCGGCCGGAAUCGGCGCCGGCGACGACUUUGGCGGCCACCGGAGUUCGGCCGAAGGCGAACUUGAGGUUAGAGGGGUCGGUGAGGUGCGGGGAGUAGUUGGUUAGGUGCUACGUGACGUGGUGAGCACGAUGGACACCAAGUGGUGGCCGGAGGGUGACAGGGAGCACGUCGGCGACGAGCUCCGCGGCGGUGCGUGCGGUUGAGCUCCGGGAGGUCACUACAUAGCUCGGGGCAAGAAAAGAAGGGAGGGGAAGAUGGUUAAGCUCACAGGGAGUUCGACGAAACACUUGGUGCGGCCGGGGACGGGCCGGAGCGACGACGGUGUUGAAGGGGAUCUCCGGCGACGGCGGUUCGGUCGAGGUCGAUGCGGUGGACUCGGGCCUUGCGAGCGCUCGGGGCUCAGCUUGCUCGAAGGAGAGGAGGGUGGCGGAGCUCCUGGACACGGCGACACGGCGUGGGGUUGGCGGAGGGCGUGGCUACGGCGAGGGGGUGGCGGCGAUGGCGUCGGCCAUGGCGUGGGAGAGCGAGGGAGAGGAGUUGGGGGAGAAUGGAGGUGUCCUGGGGGUUCACGGCUCGACGUGGAGUUCAUCCAGCCAGCAACGAGGCAAGGAGGUGAAGCAGGGCGAUGGCCAGCUGCGUGGCGCAUGCUGCGGCCGCCGUCGGGCACCUGCCUGCCUGCCUGGCCAGCAAGCAGCUCGCUGGCGCGGCGCUGGGCUGGGCCGGCAGGUGGGCCGGGUGCUGGGCGCCAGGUAAGUUUUCUGUUAUUCCCUGUUUUCUGUUUUUUAAUUCCUCUGCAACUUUGUUGAAUUAUUAAAAAUACUUAGGCAACUCCUAAAAUCACCAAACUACUCCCGGUCCAUAGUUGGAUUAUUUCCAACAUGAAACAUUUUAGUUUGGAGAUAUUUGAGCAUUUGAAAUAUUUUAUAUAAUUUUAAAUGCCCAAAUUCAAAUAUCUAUGAUUUAAUUCAAAGACCCUAAGAUGACCUAGGAAAAUGUGCAUCACUUCUGGCAGAGGUUUUGAACCAAGACAAAAAUGAUGGGCAUUUUAGAAGGGCAUUUCAGGUUCAUUGAAAAAGUUUUUAGUAAACCCUAGUUGAUUUCAGAGGGGGCUGGGGGUUCUGUCAUCCCCAUUUCAGGUUUCUGAUGAAAGAAUAGACAUGAUGCAACACUCUAAUGCAUGAACUAGCUAGGGUGUGACAACUCACCCCCACUCAAAAGAAUCUCAUCCCGAGAUUUGGGUUCCUCUGGAAAGAAGGCGGGAUACUCGAGUCGAAGACGAUCCUCCCUUUCCCAAGUUGCUUCAUCCUCAGAAUGGUGCGACCAUUGAACUUUGAGAAACUUGAUAUUAUGACGUCGAGUGGUACGCUCGGCCUGAUCGAGGAUACGAAUGGGGUACUCUCGAUACGUGAGAUUAUCUUGGAGAUCAAGCGUUUCGUGGUCCACUCCACGGAUAGGAUCCGAGAAGCAACGCCUGAGUUGAGAAACGUGGAAGACAUCGUGGACUCUGGAGAGAUGCGGAGGUAGUUCCAACUGGUAGGCAACUUCUCCUCGUUUAGCGAGAAUACGAAAAGGUCCAAUGUAACGGGGAGCCAAUUUGCCUUUGAUACCGAAACGCUGGGUUCCCUUCAGAGGAGUAACCCGAAGGUAAGCCUUCUCGUCAACCUCAAAAGUCAUAGCCUUAUGUUUUCGGUCAUAUUGACUCUUUUGACGAGAUUGGGCUGUUUUCAACUUUUCACGAAUGAUGCGAACUUGCUCUUCUGCUUCCUGGAUCAUAUCCGGGCCAAAGAAUUGUCGUUCCCCGGUUUCUGACCAAUUAAGGGGUGUUCGACACCGUCGUCCAUAGAGAACUUCAAAAGGGGCUUUACCCAAGCUAGAUUGAUAGCUGUUGUUGUAAGCAAAUUCGGCAAAUGGAAGGCAUUUCUCCCACUCCAUUCCGAAUGAGAUAACAGAAGCUCGAAGCAUGUCUUCUAGAAUCUGGUUGACACAUUCUACUUGACCACUUGAUUGAGGGUGAAAAGCGGUGCUAAAGGAAAGGCGGGUUCCCAUAGCAUUUUGGAAACUUUCCCAAAAUCGACAGUGAAAAGACUUCCUCGAUCCGAGUUAAUUUCCAAUAGAACACCAUGGAGAGACACUAUUCGGGAGAUGUAUAAGUCUGCCAAUUGACUAGCGGUUAUACUCUCACGAACAGGUAAGAAAUGGGCUACCUUGGAAAGACGAUCGACAACGACGAAGAUAGCAUUAUUCCCUCUCUUGGUCCUGGGAAAACCGGUGAUGAAGUCCAUACCAAUUUUAUCCCAUUUCCAUUCAGGAAUAGCUAGGGGUUGAAGGGUGCCAGUAGGCCGUUGAUGCUCUGCUUUUACACGACGGCAGACGUCGCAGUUAGCAAUAUACUGAGCAAUUUCUCUCUUCAUCCUAGUCCACCAGAACCUCUGGCGUAGGUCCUGAUACAUCUUAGUGCUACCGGGAUGAAUAGUGAGAGGAGAUUCAUGAGCUUCCUUAAGGAUCAAUCGCCUCAGGUUUCGCACCUUGGGAACCACUAGCCGAUUCCCGAAGUAUAUGACCCCUUGAUCAUCAAUGGAGAAACAAUUCGCAACUCCUUUCUUGAUGUUUCUCUUGAUGCGGGAAAUUCCCGGAUCUACCUUCUGUGCUUUGAUGAUUUGAUCCAUAAGGGUAGGUUUCGCCACCAUGGUGGAAAGGAAUCCUUGAGGAACAAUGUGAAGGUUAAGCUUCCGAAAUUCCUCAUGGAGAAGCGGUUGACUUUGUUGUAACAUCAGGUUGUUACAAUAAGAUUUACGACUUAGCGCAUCAGCCAUGACGUUGGCUUUCCCUGGGGUGUAAGUUAUUCCUGAGUCGAAAUCUAUGAUCAACUCAACCCAACGUCUUUGCCUGAGAUUCAAAUCCGGUUGGGUGAAGAUGUACUUCAGACUUUGAUGAUCAGUGAAUAUCUCGCAACGAUUACCGAGGAGGUAAUGUCGCCAGGUUUUAAGUGCAUAGACUACAGCUUCAAGCUCUAGAUCAUGAGUAGGAUAAUUCUCCUCAUGUGGGUGCAAUUGCCGUGAAGCGUAAGCAAUUACGUGUCGAUCUUGCAUGAGAAUACAGCCUAGUCCUUGUCGCGAGGCGUCGCAGUAGAUAACAAAGUCCUUAGAGAAAUCUGGCGGUACCAAUACGGGAGCAGAUGUCAGGCGUCUUUUCAGUUCCUGAAAGCUGUGCUCACAUUGUGGAGUCCAUUCGAACUUUUUAUCUUUCUUGAGGAGUUCGGUUAGAGGUUUUGCAACUUUGGAGAAAUUUUCGACAAAGCGACGGCAAUAGCUCGCUAAGCCCAGAAAACUCUGAACUUGCUUGACCGAUUCAGGUGGUCCAAUUAAGGACGGCUUGAACUCGCUCAGGGUUAACAGCAAUACCUUUACCAGAUAUUACAUGACCCAGAUAGGUCACUUCUGACAACCAAAAUUCACAUUUAGAAAAUUUGGCAUAAAGACGAUGCUCUCGAAGUUUCUUCAACACUAGCCUUAAAUGUUCGGCAUGUUCUUCCUCGUUCUUGGAGUAGAUGAGUAUAUCAUCGAGGUAAACCACGACGAAUUUAUCCAAAUACUCCAUGAAGAUUGAGUUCAUUAACCGAGAAAAGGUGGCCGGAGCGUUGGUUAAACCGAAGGACAUGACGGUGUACUCGUAUUGGCCAUAACGAGUAACAAAGGCCGUUUUAGGAAUGUCCCCAUUCCUGAUUUUGAUUUGAUGGUAGCCCAACCUCAAAUCCAUUUUGGAGAAGACUGAGGAUCCAGCGAGCUGAUCAUAUAGGUCGUUGAUCCUGGGGAGCGGAUAUUUGUUCUUGAUUGUGACCAAAUUGACAGGUCGAUAAUCUACAACCAUCCGGUCCGUACCAUCCUUCUUCUUGACGAAGAGUACGGGGCAAGCCCACGGAGAUGAACUAGGUCGGAUGAAACCCUUUUUCAAGGAUUCAUCGAGUUGUUUCUUAAGCUCGGCUAGUUCUAGUGGUGCCAUCUUAUAGGGUCUUCUAGCAAUCGGGACGGUUCCUGGAAUGAGAUCUAUUACGAACUCAACAUCCCUGUCAGGUGGAACACCUGGCAAUUCCUAUGGGAAGACAUCCGGGAAGUCACGGACUACCGGAACGUCCUCAAGGUCUGGCAAAGGGCUGGCGUUAAGAGAAUAUAACUAUCGCUUGGCUAUUCGGGUCAAGACAUUGACUAUCUUCCCCGAAGGAUGGGUGAGUUGAACAGUCCUAGAGAAGCAAUCAAUUUUGGCAUGAUGGGCUGACAUCCAGUCCAUACCCAAGAUGAUAUUAAUAUCCGAAGAUUUGAGGGCUAUCAAAGAUGCGAGAAAAACAAGUCUAUCGACUUGAAUUUCAUUUCCAUGGCUUACUCUAGAAGUUUGCCAUUUGGAUCCCGGAGUUUGAAUUACCAUAGAGGUGGGCAUCUCACAGAAUGUGGUGUUAUGCAGACGAGCAUAGCUUCGGAUAUAAAUGAAUGAGAUGCUCCUGUAUCGAAAAGAACAGAUGCCGGGUGGUAAUUAACAAGGAGCGUACCGAGAACGACGUUGGGAUCCUCUUGAGCUUCUUCGGCAGAGAUACAGUUGACAUGGCCACGUGCAGCGUUGGCCGGCUUGGCGUAGAACACUUUCCCUGUCGGCUUGCCACGGCCAACAGCUUUAGCAGAUUGGUUGGGAUUGGUUUGGGGGCACUCGCGCAUAUAGUGGCCCGAUUCCCCACACUUGAAACAAGUCACGGAACUGGUGCGUGGAGGAGCAUUGUUGGUUGGACCACCAUAGGGCUUGGCUGGUGCAAACUGUUGAAUGGGGCGAGGCGCCUGGAAGGAUGGCCUCGAUGUGAACCUGGGUGGCAGGGCAGUGUUAGGCACCCACACGCGGCGCUUCUGAGGACCAGCACCGGAUGAGGAACCCAUGUCACAGCCAUGCUUGCGUGUUGCGUCGAAAUCAGUCUGACCAGUCUCAGCACUGAUGGCCUUGUUAACAAGCUUCUGAAAAGAUGUGCACUCAUGCAGACGGAGGUCGCGGCGAAGCUCAGGACUAAGUCCCUUACGGAACCUUGCUUGCUUCUUGGCAUCAGUAGAAACUUCCUCAGUUGCAUACCGUGCGAGGUUACCGAACUCCCUGCUGUAAGCAUCCACAGAGAGUCGGCCUUGAGUGAAACUGCAAAAUUCCUCACGUUUACGGUCCAUGAGACCCUCCGGAAUGUGAUGUUCACGGAAAGCCUCGCUGAAUUCAGCCCAAGUAGUGACAUGGUCCGCUGGGCGCAUAGCUCCAUAAUUCUCCCACCAGAGACUGGCGGGGCCUUCAAGAUGAUAUGCAGCAAAGGUGACCUUGUCAGCCUCAGCUACUAGCGCAGAACGCAGUUUGUGAGAAAUACUGCGAAGCCAGUCAUCAGCGUCGAGAGGCUCGACAGAGUGGUGGAACGUGGGUGGAUGUAACUUGAUGAAAUCACUGAGUGACACCAAGUUAGUCCUCUGAUGGUGUGCUGUGUUCUGUUCAAUACGCUCCAACAAACGGUUGGUCUCCCGCUUGUUUCUCUCGGCUUCCAGCAUAACUUCGGCUAGGGAAGGAGGGUGAGGCAGGUUUGCAUUCCCGACUUCACUGCCUUCGGCCUGCUCUUGGGAAGCAGGGUUAUUGCGCGUGUUGACCAUCCUAGGUAAACAAGACAAUGAUUUAGUCAGAAUGAUAAGAUUCCGACAUAGAAUACAGAAUGUAAGGAAUAACUCGGAAUGCAAGAUGAUCAUCCGUAUGACAUGGUAGAUACAGAAACUGCUUCUUUUAUUCCAUCGUCAUACACACCAUACAAGGUUUAGUACAAGACCAAACAAGGUACUAUUACGGUGAAAAGAGGAUUACAUCUCAUCGGAGGCAUCCCAAGCUCCUAUACAUUACUUUUCUACACCUCCGGAAGGCGGUACAAACUAGGUCAUAUCCCACGAGUCACGUAGGACGAUAGACGACACAGCUAGUACAAACUAGUGAUACUACCACUAACUCAGACCGAUCCGUAGUAGUCCUUGUAGAAGUCACCACCAUAGCCUGGAAGCUCAACAUGAUCAUCCGGAAACAGACGAUCUCGCGGAGCUUGUGGACCAUAGGGGCUAGAAUGAGGUCUUGGACCAACAAACGGUGGCCUGCGGGGACCACGAGGUGGGGUGAUGCCUCCUACAUCACGCCAACCCAUCACGUCUGGCAGAGCAGAUCUCACAGGAUAGAGGUCGCGCAUAUCCGAAUAUCCAGCUUGCACAGCCGGUGCAAACCGAGUCAAAGUGGCCCAAUGGUCAGCACGGGUAUUGAAAAGCUCUAGCCUCAAGGCCCGAUUUUCACGGUCCUUAUCCUCGAGCAUCUCAGCAGUGGUGCGAGUCCGUGAAUCCUCCUGAGUGGGGUCAGCAUAGAUAGCCUGGAGAUACCCUUGUGCUCCCGGAAGUGAUGCUGGCAUAUACCGGAAAUCAGAGUCCCGAAAUAGGCCAGUCCUGACUCGCAUGAUGGUCAUCAUAGAGUAGGCGGCAUCCUGCACAGCCAUCUCAAUAGUAACCCCGAGUCCAUAGGAGCAGUGAAGGGGCUCGAUGGAUCCACGAUAAGAUGGAAAUAUCCUGACAGUGCAAAGAUACUGGCUUUGAUUAAAGUCUCGAAAUUGCUCUUCGACCGUGUACUCAGGAUACCAACGGUAUCCAGCCUCAGUCAUUACCCUGACCAACAUGGCAGUAUGGCCGGGUACAUCUAGGCAUCGAGUCAGGCGAACCACUUGAUUGAGGUCGCGAGUGGCCAUCUGAAAGCACAACCAUAAUGCAAAGGCAUUAGAAUUUCUAGCAAAAUUUCGACGGCAUAACGGCUGUAAAUGCUCAAAAGGAUUUUGAGACAUUUGACAAAGGAUUUCAUACACACUCAACAACAUCAUAUCAAAGUUCUGGGUCCAUCCUAGCAACAUAAUGUGGUAGUAGAACUGAACUAGGCUUGUAUCCAUCAAACCUAUAAGGUACUACUGAUUAGUAACACGUGAACCUGAUAGAGAGAAAAGAUCCUAAUUCCUUAACCCCCGAUGGAAGAAUAGACUGACUCAGAUCAGAAUGUCAUAAGAUAAAGGAGUAAAAAGAGCCUUACGUUCCAACCCACAAACAAUUCCCCUACAUAUAACUAAAGAAUUUCUAGACUCAACAUCGACCAGUUUGGCUUGGAGAACCUACAGGCAGUCCGGCUCUGAUGCCAACGCUGUCAGGACCCCGACUCAAUGUCACAUCGAUCUAGCCUGUAACACCUCAUAUCACUUUGCGGCCUCACGCACGGUAUCCCCACGGGUGUCGCCUUACCUUUAGCCGGGACUGUUUGCGCCUUUUGGCUCACGUAUAUGAUAGUGUCACUAGCAUCCAUAUGAUAAGGAGCCCGGGCUGACAUGACUAGUCGUAAACCCAAAGUGGCACAGACUUACAGGGACAGGCAUCCAUGACCCAGCAUCGAACGUGUCGGUCAUCAGCAAGUGGGUCCGGGCUGUAGCACUGGGCUAGCAGGACUCCGGUAAACUGGGCUGUAGCGGGCUGACAGGCCUCCGGUACUCAAUGCGUGACAUUUCCCUGAAGGGACAGACACAGGAACGAAGAAGGACACAUGCCGGUCAGCCUAAGUGUUCCGGAGCAGUAGCAAGCUACCAUGGCUCAGUGGAGACACUAGGAGACAUUUCCCGGUAAGAGAGGCUACUAAGAGUAAACAACUAGAUAGUCAGAUCCCACACAUACCAAGCAUUUCAAUCAUACACACAAUAUGCUCGAUAUGUGCAAAUACAACAAGGCAUCACAACAUGACUCUACGACACAAGUACUUUAUUUAAGGCUCAGAGAGCCAUACAUAACAUACACAUAAGUACGGGUCACACGACCCAGCAUUCAAGUCAUACAGUCAUACAAACCAGCAGCGGAAGUAACUUGUCUGAGUACAGACAACUAGUAAAAUAAAAGAGGCUUGGAAAGCCUAGCUAUACUACGUGGUCCUUCACAAGCUCAGGAUCACCACCUGGGCCUUAGCCUACUCAUUGAUGUCAACGUCUACGAAGAACCCAUCAGAAGGGGUUGCAGCGUCUUCUGUAAAAAUGUAAAUUAUAGCAACAUGAGUACAAAGGUACUCAGCAAGACUUACAUCAGAUCCUACAUACAUGCACAUUAUCAAGAAGGGUUGGAGGAGUUAUUGCAGCAAGCCAGCUUUGACUCUUGGCUAGGCUAUCCUACGAGACUCCAACUUGAAAUGGUUUUGCGCACACGAGUCCACUACUCACCACUUCAAUACACUACCGAGGAUCCACCUCCGUCUUCCUACGGAAGAGCCAUCCUCGGCACUCACACUUAUCUUGAGGCUUUUCAUAGUUUCCAUUUACUUGUCUAUGAACUGUAUAGGCAACCAAUUAGUCCUUUACCGCGGACGCGGCUAUUCGAAUAGAUCAUGAUAACCCUGCAGGGGUGUACUUCUUCAUACACGCUCUCACCACUUACCGUCGUUUACACGACAUGUACUCGGCAACCUUCAAGCGGAAGCCCAACGUGGGUGUCGGCCACGACCUACCUAAUCACCUAAGUAUCUAAUCCAGGUUUAUCGCCUAUCCAGGUUCCAUCCGCAGGGAGUCCGGCCGAGGUUUCCCAUACGGCCCCGAACGAUGUGUACAGGGUUCCCGAGAUACCUAACGGGUAUUCGGUACACCGUGCCACGUACCUACCGCAUCACAGCCCACCCCUACGGUCAGCGCUGUCCACGGCCUCCAGUAGGCUACAAACACCAGAAACUACUUGCAACUCCUGGACAGAGAACUAGGGUGAAUAAGAAGCCGAGAGGGUCCAUUGGUUUCACGCCCAAUGUAUGGUAGUAGCUGAUUCUUAAAUCACACAUACAGAUCUCAGUGCUUAAGGUCGGCUUCAAUGAAACAACCCACCAUGUACUCCUACAUGGCCUCUCAUCGAUACCUUUACCAAAUCGUGUUCACCACAUCACUCUCAUUACCGACAUGAUCAUUUCACUCUAGCCCAUCACCCAGAUGAACCAGACCUGACACGACUCUAAGCAUAGCAGGCAUAGCAAGGUAGGAACAACACAUACAUAUGGCUCAAUCAAUUCCUACACAUGCUAGUGGUUUUCAUCUAGUUACUGUGGCAAUGACAGGUCAUGCAGAGGAAAUGGGUUCAACUACCGCAGCACACAGCAGUUUGAAACGCAUUGUCUUAAUGCAGUAAAAGAGAGCAACAGCGAGAACAUGGGAUUGUAUCGAUAUGAUCAAAUGGUUGGUUGCUUGCCUGAUGGUUCGAUGCACUGAUAUGGUUCUUCGCUAGGGUAAUCACGGUACUCCUCGGAGGCAGAACCUGCCGCAAAGAACACCGAUACACAGCCAUCACCAAACAAUGUGCGACAAUAUGAUGCAUGCAUGAAACAUGGCAAUAUGAGUGUGUUGGGCUAAUGCAACUAAGACCAGAAGGGUUUGAACCAAUUUGAACCAAAGAUUCAAAUUUCAAACUCAUACAUGGCCCUUUAAAGUGUUUUAUCUUGUUCUGCAUUAAACAUCAAGUUAGCUUGCUUAAACAUGCAUGAAACUAGUACAGAUGGAUAGAUUGGAUUUUUCUGAUCAUUUUUCAUAUAUAACUUGUUUGAUUUGGAGUUACAGAUUAAAAGUUAUGAAUUUUUGAAGUUUAAACUAUAUUCUGGAAUUUCCUAUAUUAGAAUAAAUCCAGAAAUUAAUUUAUUGCGUCAGCCAUGCGUCAGAAUGACGUCAGGGUCAACGGAGACGUCCAGGUCAAACCUGACUGUGGGUCCAGGGUGUUAGGGUAAUUAGUUUAGUUAAAGUUUAAUUAAAACUAAACCUAUUUAGUUAACAGGGCUGGGCCCCACCUGUCAUUGACUCAUCGGAGUCAACCAGGGCCCACCGUGGUCGAAGUCAACAUCGGCUGCACCGGCGUCUAGCCGCCGGCGAGCCCGACGCGGCGGCGGAAGUGGUUUUGGCCGUUUUGGCAACCAAACGAGCCGCGGAGGGUGGCUAUGGGUAGCUGGGAACAUGCCGCAGCUUCUGGUGGAGUCGGUUGGGGUCGGGGCGGCCAGAAUCGGCGCCGGCGACGACUUUGGCGGCCACCGGAGUUCGGCCGAAGGCGAACUUGAGGCUAGAGGGGUCGGUGAGGUGCGGGGAGUAGUUGGUUAGGUGCUACGUGACGUGGUGAGCACGAUGGACACCAAGUGGUGGCCGGAGGGUGACCGGGAGCACGUCGGCGACGAGCUCCGCGGCGGUGGGUGUGGUUGAGCUCCGGGAGGUCACUACAUAGCUCGGGGGCAAGAAAAGAAGGGAGGGGAAGAUGGUUAAGCUCACAGGGAGUUCGACGAAACACUUGGUGCGGCCGGGGAUGGGCCGGAGCGACGACGGCGUUGAAGGGGAUCUCCGGCGAUGGCGGUUUGGUCGAGGUCGAUGCGGUGGACUCGGGCCUUGCGAGCGCUCGGGGCUCGGCUUGCUCGAAGGAGAGGAGGGUGGCGGAGCUCCUGGACACGGCGGCACGGCGUGGGGUUGGCGGAGGGCGUGGCUACGGCAAGGGGGUGGCGGCGAUGGCGUCGGCCAUGGCGUGGGAGAGCGAGGGAGAGGAGUUGGGGGAGAAUGGAGGUGUCCUGGGGGUUCACGACUCGACGUGGAGUUCAUCCAGCCAGCAACGAGGCGAGGAGGUGAAGCAGGGCGACGGCCAGCUGCGUGGCGCAUGCUGCGGCCGCCGUCGGGCACCUGCCUGCCUGCCUGGCCGGCAAGCAGCUCGCUGGCGCGGCGCUGGGCUGGGCCGGCAGGUGGGCCGGGUGCUGGGCGCCAGGUAAGUUUUCUGUUAUUCCCUGUUUUCUGUUUUUUAAUUCCUCUGCAACUUUGUUGAAUUAUUAAAAAUACUUAGGCAACUUCUAAAAUCACCAAACUACUCCUGGUCCAUAGUUGGAUUAUUUCCAACAUGAAACAUUUUAGUUUGGAGAUAUUUGAGCAUUUGAAAUAUUUUAUAUAAUUUUAAAUGCCCAAAUUCAAAUAUCUAUGAUUUAAUUCAAAGACCCUAAGAUGACCUAGGAAAAUGUGCAUCACUUCUGGCAGAGGUUUUGAACCAAGACAAAAAUGAUGGGCAUUUUAGAAGGGCAUUUCAGGUUCAUUGAAAAAGUUUUUAGUAAAGCCUAGUUGGUUUCAGAGGGGGCUGGGGGUUCUGUCAUCCCCAUUUCAGGUUUCUGAUGAAAGAAUAGACAUGAUGCAACACUCUAAUGCAUGAACUAGCUAGGGUGUGACAGUGUUAUAUAUUGUCAUUGAUAGUUAUGACACCCGAAGGACCGGGCAUCUUCAACUUGAGGUACGUGUAAUGCGGGACGACGUUGAAUUUAGCGAACGCCAUUAGGCCGAGGAGGGCGUGAUAGCCCCUGCAAAAUGGUGCAAUGUCAAAGAUCAAGUCCUCACUAUAGAAAUUGUCCGGAGAGCCGAACACUACUUCAAGUGUCACAGUGCCUGUGCAGCGGGCCUCCACUCCCGGAAUAACCCCUUUAAGGUGGCGUUACGUGGUUUGAUCCUUGACGGGUCGAUCCCCAUCUUCCUCAUAGUGUGUUCAUAUAGCAGAUUGAGGCUACUGCCUCUGUCCAUUAGGACUCUAGUGAGGUGGAAUCCAUCGAUUAUGGGUCGAGUACUAAGGUUGUGGAUCCUCCGUGUCGUAUGCUGGUUGGGUGAUCCCUACGAUCGAAAUUGAUCGAGCAGGCUAACCACGGGUUGAACUUCGGCGCUAUGGGCACGACGGAAUAUACGUCUCGCAGCCCUCGCUUCCUCUCCUUCUUUGCUAUGUGGGUUGUGUAGAUCAUGUUUACCGUCUUGACCUCGGAAGGGAAGGGUUCCUGGCCUCCACAAUUCGGCAUGCAGGGCUCUUCAUCGUCCCUCCUUCAUGGGCUUUUGCCCGAGUCUUCGGCUGUGAGCUUGCCAGCCUGCUUUAUCACCCAAAAAUUACGGUUGGAGUGGUUAGCGGGCUUUUCUGGCGUGUCGUGGAUAUGGCAGGUCCUGUCCAGAAUUGCGUCUAGUCUAGAUGGGCCAUUGCCGUUGCCUUUAGGGGCUUUCUUUCGAUGUCCAGACUUCGGGUUUCUGAACCCGGAAUUUAGUGCCAUAUCAUUUCCUUCACCGUCAUUGUGGUGACGUUUACUCUUGGUAUGUCGCGGCUUCCCAUUAGCAUCUCGAACCUUGGAGGUACCGGGUGUGUCGUGGUUGGUGCUUUUACGAGUGAGCCAACUGUUUUCGCCUGUGCAAAAGCGGGUCAUGAGAGAAGUAAGGGCAGCCAUAGUUCUUGGUUUAUCCUAAGCAAGCUGUCUUAUGAGCCAUUCGUCCUUGACGCUAUGCUUGAAAGCAGCCAAGGCUUCGGCAUCUGGGCAAUCGAUAAUCUAGUUCUUCUGGUCAGGAAUCGGUUCCAAAACUGCCGGCAGAUUCUCCGGGCUCUUGCGUGAUGCGGUUUAGGUCGUCCGCGUCCAUAGGCCGGACAUAGGUGCCCUGAAAGUUCGCUCGAAAAGCGUCCUCAAGCUCUUCACAGUAGCCUAUAGAGUCUUCGAGAAGGCUGUUCAACUAGUGCCAAGCUAGUCCUUUAAGCUUUAGUGGUAGAUAUUUGAUGGCGUGGAGGUCAUCUCCUCGCGCCAUGUGAAUGUGGAGGAGGAAAUCAUCUAUCCAUAUGGCCGGGUCUGUGGUUCCUCAUAUGGUUCGAUGUUCACAGGCUUGAUGCCUUCUAGGAACUGGUGUUGCAUUACCCUCUCUAUGAAGCACAGGGGGUGUCGGUGCCUCAAACUCGGGCUACAUCGCAUUGGAGGUCUUCAGACAUCCAAGUCCACUGCUACUCCCGGACUCUAUCGUUUCAGUUUGGACAAUUGUAAUAUCCAUCCCGUUGAGUGGCUCGAUUUUCUUUGGGUCCGUAGAUGGACCUGGUACGGCCUCCUUGAGCAUCUAGGUCAUGGCGGAGGUUGUACUCAUAGGUGGGCCGCACUUGAUCCUUGAUGUAGCAGCAAGGUGAGGCGGCGUGGUGCUCGUCCUUGUCAGCUUCUCUGUCCCACCCUCUAGGGGGUGGUCCGGCUAUUCGGCGCAUGUGUAUGUCAGACGUGUGGGCUCUAUUUUUUGACUGGAAACUGUGAGGCAACAGCCCCACAGUGCUUUAUUGAACUCAACCCACAAAAUAGAAAAAGGUUUUGGUAAGUAAAGUUAGACUACUUACCUAUGGUCCUAUGUACAUAAUUACAUGCUGGAUUACAUAAUUACAAGGAGCCAUCUAGGGCAAAGAAUUAAUCCAAAGUAAUAGCAAAGGCUUUAAACUAGGCUUGAAUCUGUGGGAUAGCAAGGUAAUGUCAUGGAUGAAAUUCCUCCUCCAUGCUACAAAGGUAGGUCUCUCAUUUCUGAAGAUUCUUCCAUUCCUCAACAACCAGACAUUCCAAGCAGCUAGAUAAACAACCUCUUUGAAGAAAGGCUGGCCAAAGCACUUCUUGGCAGCAAUCAGGCACUCUGAAGGAGACAAACCAGCUAGCCACUGAAUUUUUAAAUAAUUCCAGACCCUUGAGUUGAAUUGACGGGUAAAAAAUACAUGAUCUCUGUCCUCAUGUGCUUGAGCAUGACACAAGGGGCAAGUGUUGUCCUCCUGAGGCGAUCUCCAAUGCCUCCUAACUAGAAAAUCUCUACUGUUGAGGCUAUCACUAAGCAUUAACCACGCAAAAACCUUGAUUUUCAUUGUGGAUCUACUUUCCCAAAUCCAUUUGGCCGGCAUAUCAGUAGGAAGGUGGGCAUGCAUUGUUGCAUAGUAACUCUUGGCCGAAAAUUUUCCUUUGCUUGGGGUCCAUGACCAAGAAUCAUUGAUGUUGUCAUCAAUAUUCAUGUCAAGUAGACCAUUCUGAACAGUGCUCAUUUCCUCCAUUGCUUCUGGUGAUAAGAGCAGAUGGAAUAGCUCAGACAUAUCAAGAGUGUUGAGAACAUCUCUUACAGAGACCUUAUCAUCAAUGGCAAAUAGAGAAGAGCCUGGGAAACCUCUCCCUGAGAGGAACAGAUGAUCCCAAGAAAAUCCAAGCAUCAAACCAGAAAAGAACAGAGUCCCCCCAUGUUUAUAGUAAGCUCACAGUGUAGCCUAAAAGCUUAAUUAAGUUUGAUGAUAUCCCUCCACCAAAAGGAGCCACACAACACUGUUCUAUGGGGCACAACUCCAUCAUAAUAGGUGUUCCAAAUGAGAGACACCCAAGGAAUAUCUGCUUUGUUAUAAAACUUAGAUAGAUGUUUGGUAAGGAGGGCUCUGUUCUGGAUGUUCAGGUUAAUAAUACCCAUGCCACCUUUAUCUUUACGCCUACAAACUAGAGGCCAUGUUGCCAAGGAUUGUCUAGGAGUGUCAGAGUUGCCUCUCCAUAAGCAUUGUCUCAUAAUUCUUUCAAUUUGCUUGAUAAUACCAGCUGGUAGACAUAAACUGAAAGAAAAUAUAUGGGCAAGGAAGACAAAACUGAUUGAAGCAAUUGUAAUCUAGCCCCUUGAUUGAGAAGGCAAGAGCUAGCAAAAAGUCUUCUUUCAACCCUAUCCACUACUGGGAUUAAGUCCUGGAUCUUAGGUUUAGUUGUGCCCACAGGGAGCCCAAGAUAGGUAAAAGGUAGGUUCCCAACCUGACAACCAGAAACAGCAGCCAAUCUUGCAGUUUCUGACUCAUCCACAUUUAUAGGCAAAAUACAUGACUUAUGAUACUCAACUUUGAGACCAGUGGGGGCAUGAAAAUCUUGCAGCAUGUCCUUAAGAGCCAGAACUUGUGAGUCCACAGCAGGCACAAUGAGGAGUGUAUCAUCAGCAUACUGAACAAUAGGAAAAUCCUGAUCAUGGGUUUGAAUGGGCAAAGUAAUCUCUCCAUUUCUCAGCAUGUUAUUCACCAAAGUUUGUAGCACAUCAACUGCAAGAACAAACAAAAGGGGUGAAAGAGGGUCUCCCUGUCUCACACCCCUUUUACAGAUAAAUUGUUUUCCCGGCACUCCAUUCAGAAUGACAGAAGAAGUACCAGAUGACAAAAGCUAUCAAAUCCAGCCAAUCCAUUUGCUGUCAAAACCUUCAUGAUGCAGAACCUUGAGGAUAAGGUCAUGUUCCACAGUAUCAAAAGCCAAAAUCUAACUUUAGAAUCAAAAUGGGUUUUUUGGAGUUAUGGCACUAAUGAAUGUACUCCAAUGUCCAAGCAAUGCAGUCCUGGAUAGACCUGGACUUCAAAAACCCAUAUUGAUUCUUGUGAAUGCACCUUAAGAUAACCUUUUGCAAUCUAUUUGUUGGGAUCUUUGUUAGAAAUUUCAAGCAGGUAUUUGUAAAAGAAAUGGGCCUGAAGUCAUUGGGACCCUCAGGUGACUGCUUCUUUGGAAUCAAAGUAAUCAGAGACACACUAAUGUUGCUAAUUGUAAUCUUUCCAUCAUAAAAGUCCUGAAAGAGUUGCAAAAAAUCCUGCUUGAUAAUAUGCCAACAUCUCUUGACAAACAAACCAGUGAAGCCAUCAGGGCCAGGCGCCCGAUCAGUGGGUAAAAAAUUGAGAACCUCAUUUAUUUCAUCCUCGAAAAAAGGAGCAGACAAAUUGUCUUGUCCAUCCACGGGCUCAAUCAAGGAGUCUAGAUCAAACCUCAUAUCAAUCCCUGUAGAAACACCCAUUCUUUCUCUCAAAGUGCCCCAUAACAUACCAGCCGUUUGUUGAUGAUCAGAAACAAUAUUUCCAUCAUCAUCUUAUAGUGAAGAAAUAGUGUUCUUCCUGAAUCUUUCAGUGGGAAUUGCUUGGAAAAACUUUGAGUUUUCCUCCCCAACUUUGAACCGUUGGAUAGUGCAUCUUUGCUUCCAAUAUAUGAACUGCAAAUGAAGAAGGUCUUCAAUAUGGAGCUUUACAAUUUUCCUGAAAUUGAACUCAGGUCUUGUUAGAGGCCUCAAUUCCUCCAAAUUAUCAAGGAAUAAAACCACCUCAUUGCCAGCUUGAAUGGCCUUCUUAAGUUUGGACAAGCUGAUAUACCAUUGCUUUAGAGCAUAUCUCAGCCUUUUGAACUUCUCAGUUAGCUUAGCUGCAGCAUUAGAUUUCUUUGUUGGAGUAUUCCAUGACUAUUCCAGACAUUCAAAGAAACCAGGCAGAUCCACCCAAUAAUUUUUGAACCUAAAGAUUUUGGCCAUUGGUAUGGAUGUAGCAAUGGAGACUACACAAGGUACAUGAUCAGAGGCAGUUCUUACAAGAGGGUGGACCAUUGUGUUGGGGUAAUCAUUAAUCCAAGUGGAGGAAGUAAAAAACCAAUCAAGUCGUUCAAGCAAGGGAUUUUCUUGCAUGUUGGACCAGGUAUAAGAUCUUCCUUUUAGAGGCAGCUCAAGAAGGCCAAGGUGGCCAAUUAUCUCAUUAAAAAGGAAAAUAUCAUUGAUGUCUCCUCCAGGCAAAUUUCUGUUGUCAAGAGAUCUUAUGAAAUUAAAAUCUCCCACAAGAAGCCAAUUAUGAUCCACUGGAAUGUCCAAAUUAUAUAGCCACUGAACAAAAUCAUCUCGAGGAGGCCCUUGACAAGGCCCAUAAACAUUAACCAAAGUCCAUUGACUUGCAUUAUGCACAGAAGUGAAUGAAACUAUGAUUCCACAAGGCUAUGUGUCCACAAGAAUGCCAGAGAAAACAUUGGAGCACCACAACACAAGGAUGCCACCAGAGGCCCCAACAGAGGGUGAGUAGACAAAGUUAUCAAACCUUCUGGGGCAAAAUUUUCUAAUUGCUCGCUGAUAAAAAAAUCACAUUUAGUUUCUUGCAAGCAAAUAACAUAGCACUGAAUUUCCUCAAUUUUAGCUCUAACACUUCUUUGUCUAUCUUCAGAACUUAACCCUCUUACAUUCCAACAAAGCACUCUCCAAUCUCUUGUUUGGUGUGCAUCCAUUAAUAAACAUUAAUGUAGAGGUAGAUAUAAUAGUUCACUGCAUAACAGUGAAACAAAAGCCUAAUAUUUAAAGUAGCAUCCAAGGACAAAGUGCAGGUAGCAAGCAAAAGAGAAACAAGUUUCAGAUAGGUAGCAUGACAAGGGACAUGCCUCCCUAUAUGACAAUAAAAAGGGUCUAAUCAUCAUUAUGGCCUCGUCGUCGAAUUGUGGCAGCAGUCUUCGCUUGGGACAACUUUUGAUUGGUUGUUCGUGGUCAUACCCUUCUUCGAUGGCUAGAAUUUAGUCCAUCGAUCAUUGAGGGUGUCUUGUUCAGCCUUGAUUCUGCAUUUUUGCAUCUUCAGACUGCGGGCGGCGGCUAGAAGCCUCCGUUUAAACAGCUCUUGCUCGAAUGGGUCUUCGGGGACAAUGAAACCGUCAUCCUCGAGACUAGCCUCUUCCUCGGAACAUGGGAGGUAGUUGCUGUCUUCGGAGUCAUCGGGGUUUUCUGGGUUGACGGGUCCUCCUGCCCCGCGGGAUCAUCCUGGUGAUGUUCGUUAGUUACGGCUCGGACGAGGUCAUCCGUAUUAUUCGCGGUGCCGUUCUCCACAAAGUCCAUGUUGCUCGCAUGGCUUCGACGUGGUUUUGAUCCAAGGGGUGUUUCCUCGGCGCUUGGACGGCUCAUCUCCAGGCUUGUCUUCGUCUUGAUUGGGAGUGCCAUCACCUUCCUUGGGGGUGUCCACCAUGUAGAUAUUGUAGGUGGACGUGGCCGACCAGCGGCCGGUGAUAGGGGCGGCAACAUCGGUGUUAGCCGUGGCUCCAUAUCCUCAUCCAUGUAUUCGGCGGUUUCUGAAUUAUAAUCUAUCAUAUCGGUUAGAUCAUCAGUAGUGGCUACCAAGUGGGUGGUGGGUGGGACAUAAAAUUCCCCGUGGUAUGCCUCGAAGGGUUGAUGGCUGUGGGCGGAGGGUAGGUCCUCCAGGAUGGUCAUUUUUUGGAUUCAGUCAAGCACCUCGUUUAACAUAGCAAGGCUCGCCGAAUUUGAGGGCUCUAGGCCAAAUUCGGUUAUAGCAGGAUGGGGGGCAGUCAGUGCCCUGGCCGGUCCUUGGUUUCCACAGUCCGAUCUAGACUCUGGGUAUGGUGACCGAUCCUUGAGGGGAUCCGAUUGUCACUUGGGACUAAGGACAGGCCUUGGUAUUUCCGAGAUCGAGUUGUUUCAUGCCGGGCGGGACCCCUAGCCCUUGAUUGCUGGCUCCUCGUGGGGGCUCAAGGCCUGGGGAGCGUUGUGACAGAAGGUUUGGCCGAGAUUGACCCUUGGCCUCUGCCUCCUGAUUUUGCCUCAAAGGCCGAGGAUAGGCCCUCCGCAGACAUGACGGAUCCGGCCGAAGGUGGAGUCCAGCCCCUGCUUGAAGCGGAGCCCUCCUGGCUCGAAGCUGUUCAAAGGGCGGGGGCCGAACUGUAGAUAGGAUCGGAGGGGGACUCCAGAGCGGGCAUGGCGAGGCUUGCAAGGGUGCAGGAGGGAGCAGUGAAUCGGGCAAAGACCAGAUCGCCCCGCGUGUCUGCAACGUAUUCCAGAUUACCUAAUCGAGUUCGAUGUUCAGGAGCGAAGUUGUUGAUCUGACCCAAACGACUAGUCGGAUCAUUGUGCAGCAUAAUGGUGUCGAACAUGAAGAGUUGACCGGGACAAAGAAGUCCCCGGAUUUGAUACCUUCUCUUACGGUUAGGCAACUAGUGGAGAGAAGCCUAGCUAUGGCGUGCCAAAAACAACGUUGUAGGCUUAGGAGCCCCACGCCAGCAAUAUGGCGCCAGUGACAAAAAAUACUAGUGGCGUUGGAGCCCACGCCAACAGUAUUAUACGUGUUUCUGGCAUACGAUGUUUGCAACACCACCACUAUAUUCACUCACCUAGCGGCGCACAAUGCAAUUUGCACGCCACGAAUAUGUCGUGCACAAAAAAAGGUUUUUCAACACCAUGUAACAUUUAGCAUUUCACAUUAACACUAAGUACAUACUAUAUAACAGUAGAAUAAUUGAAGAUAAUAGAACAUUAGGAAUUGUUAUUUACGUGGCUGCUAGCUAGCUAUAUAAAGAUCUCACAAACAUAACUAGUUAAUAGAAACCUUACGAGCUAAAACAAUACUAGUACAUAGCGCUAAUACAUAAUUAAACAGUUCAUUCAUGUACUACCCCGCCACACACAUAGUUCAAAAUGAGGUCGAUGACCAACAUCAUCCUCAAGCCAUGGCGCCGGGUGUUCCUGAUGGUGUCUAAGAUGGCCUGUCCAAUUUGAAGAUUCUUUCCGGCAAGGAAAUUGUUCCAUCCCACGGCCCUGAACAUAGUGCGACCGUCCGUGUCCAGUGUGUAAGCAUAGUUGGUGAUGGAGCCCCUUGCCGUAAGGCAUUGUCCAGCAAUGCCCGCUUCAUCCGGCUCAAUGCCACAACUCUCACUUAGCCUCUUAGGUAAUUUCUAAAAAAAGAAAUAUGGUAAAUGAGCAUGUCACAUUACUCCACACUAAGCAUAUCCUCAAAUUCUACACUAAUANNNNNNNNNNNNNNNNNNNNNNNNNNNNNNNNNNNNNNNNNNNNNNNNNNNNNNNNNNNNNNNNNNNNNNNNNNNNNNNNNNNNNNNNNNNNNNNNNNNNNNNNNNNNNNNNNNNNNNNNNNNNNNNNNNNNNNNNNNNNNNNNNNNNNNNNNNNNNNNNNNNNNNNNNNNNNNNNNNNNNNNNNNNNNNNNNNNNNNNNNNNNNNNNNNNNNNNNNNNNNNNNNNNNNNNNNNNNNNNNNNNNNNNNNNNNNNNNNNNNNNNNNNNNNNNNNNNNNNNNNNNNNNNNNNNNNNNNNNNNNNNNNNNNNNNNNNNNNNNNNNNNNNNNNNNNNNNNNNNNNNNNNNNNNNNNNNNNNNNNNNNNNNNNNNNNNNNNNNNNNNNNNNNNNNNNNNNNNNNNNNNNNNNNNNNNNNNNNNNNNNNNNNNNNNNNNNNNNNNNNNNNNNNNNNNNNNNNNNNNNNNNNNNNNNNNNNNNNNNNNNNNNNNNNNNNNNNNNNNNNNNNNNNNNNNNNNNNNNNNNNNNNNNNNNNNNNNNNUACAACAAGCAUAUGUCAGAAAUAAGCAUAUAUAUCAUCAACACUAAGCAUACCACAUUACUACAACCAUAUCACAAGUAAGCAUAUAUAUCAUCAAAUUUCAACACUAAGCAUAUCACAUUACUACAAGCAUAUGUCACAAGUAAUCAUAUAUAUCAUCAAAUUUGAACAUUAAGCAUAUCACAUUACUACAAGCAUAUGUCACAAGUAAGCAUAUGUAUCAUCAAAUUUCAACACUAACAAGUAACAUACCAUGACAUGGCGACACACAUUUGUCCUUGUAAGGUGGGUCACGAAUGGCAUCCCGACGAAGUCAUCAUGUGGAGGAAGUAUGUUCUAGAGGUUGGCCGAUUCUUCCUUGCUUAGCUUGAUUCAUUUGGCAUAGAGGGCUUCAUCAAGUGGGUCAUCAUCUUAGUCAUCAUUGAUGUAGAUAACAGCUAGCCUUGGAGUUUGCCUUCUAAAGGAGAAGUUGAUAAAUUCACCCCCAAUGAGAUGCAUGUGGUUGAUGAAACGAUUCUAGUUAUCUCCUCCAAUUUGGGAUGUUUUUCAUCCCUUGUGGACCUCCAUAGUGUACGCCCCCUAGAGCGUCAAAGAUCACACUAUCUUCGGUAAUGAGCUCAUUGAACUCCAGUCUCACAUUGCAAGGGACGAUCUAUGUAAAAAAAACAAAAAACAAACACAUUGCAUUACGGGAAAUAUGUGUUACGGGAAAAACAAAAGAUAAAAACGGUUAUAAAGGUUCAUCUAAUGUGUUACCGCUGCAAGAACAAAGCACGCUUGAAAGUAGAUGCCAAACAACAUGCCACUCGAAAGGUCGGUUGCACACCUUGACUUGCACACUGGACAUGCCCGUGGCGGUUGCUCCAUUCUACAUAUACUACAAUUGAAACUAAGGAUGUGUUUGAUAGCGAAGUAUUGGCAAAUUAAAGUAUUGGAAAACCACAGUAAUUUAACAAGUAGGUACAAGGGGAUGGUGACGGGUUGGGGCCUAAGUAUAUAAACACUUUGUACACUAGUAAUUGCAUACACAAAUAAAAAAAAAUUGUACACAAAGCUACAAUUUCUAUACUAGUAAUUAUCACUAGCUACAAUUUCUAUGACACAAAGAAAUCCAUGCAACAAACUUUGGAUUCUACAUGACACAAAGCAAUCCAUGAUAUAUAUACUAAAAUUUCAACACAAAUUAAAGCUAUCCCCUAAGGGCAUCUACAAUAUCAAAAAUAUAAAAAAGGCAUCUAACUUUGGAUUCUACAUGACACAAAGCAAUCCAUGAUAUAUAUACUCAAAUUUCUACACAAAUUAAAGCNNNNNNNNNNNNNNNNNNNNNNNNNNNNNNNNNNNNNNNNNNNNNNNNNNNNNNNNNNNNNNNNNNNNNNNNNNNNNNNNNNNNNNNNNNNNNNNNNNNNNNNNNNNNNNNNNNNNNNNNNNNNNNNNNNNNNNNNNNNNNNNNNNNNNNNNNNNNNNNNNNNNNNNNNNNNNNNNNNNNNNNNNNNNNNNNNNNNNNNNNNNNNNNNNNNNNNNNNNNNNNNNNNNNNNNNNNNNNNNNNNNNNNNNNNNNNNNNNNNNNNNNNNNNNNNNNNNNNNNNNNNNNNNNNNNNNNNNNNNNNNNNNNNNNNNNNNNNNNNNNNNNNNNNNNNNNNNNNNNNNNNNNNNNNNNNNNNNNNNNNNNNNNNNAUGACACAAAGCAAUCCAUGAUAUAUAUACUAAAAUUUCUACACAAAUUAAAGCAAUCCCCUAAGGGUAUCUACAAUAUCAAAAAUAUAAAAAGGCAUCUAACUUUGGAUUCUACAUCACACAAAGCAAUCCAUGAUAUAUAUACUAAAAUUUCUACACAAAUUAAAGCAGUCCCCUAAGGGCAUAUAGAAUAUCUAAAAUAUAAAAAAGGCAUCUAACUUUGGAUUCUACAUGACACAAAGUAAUCCAUGAUAUAUAUACUAAAAUUUCUACACAAAUUAAAGCAAUCACCUAAGGGCAUCUACAAUAUCUAAAAUAUAAAAAAGGCAUCUAAAAUGUGACACUGGCCUAGAUUCGCUAAAAUGCGAACAAACGACGUAGGAGAGUGAAGAGGAAUGAAAUGCGAUGGGAGGAGUAUAGUGGAUCUAACCUUGGUGCCGGCGAGGGGGCAGCGACGGGCCGGCAACGGGGCGUCAACGGGACAGCGGCAGCGGUGGCUUUGGUCGGGGGGAGGGGGUGUGAAAUGAGCGAGAGAGAGCGGUGACUAGCUAGGUCUUUUCCUAAGUUGACUUUGAUAUAUUAUCGCUGGCGUUGGGAGAAAGUGCAACGCCAAAGAUAAAAAUAGGCCAAAUAAAAACAGACUAAGAUUAAUAAUGAAAGACUUGACAAAAUAAAAGACUCAUAACUUGUACUGGUAGUAAAGAAAUAAAAUUCCUAAGUUGAUAAAAAAAGUAAAAUUAGUUAUCACAAAACACAUAAUAUAAAAUUUCUAUUAAUAAUUAAAUAUAUCAAACACUUGAUCAAAUGGAAAAGUGUUUUGGCGUACAAAGCAAACGCACGCCAGCACUGACAAAUUAACUCUGUCAUACAAAUAAAACCAACGCCACCAGUGCGUUCCAAACGGUGAGUGCAUAUGGGCCAAAAGAUUUGUGGCAUUUCAAUGAAAAGCAACGCCAACACUAAUCAUAUAAAGUUGGCAUCCUGAUUUGUCCUACGCGAGCACUAUUUGGAAAAAAUAGUGGUAGCAUUGAUGGAAAAUGGCGCGCCAUGAACGAUAGUUGUGGCUAGCCAUUUUACCACUAGUGGGCGAGUCAUCAAUCCUUUGGACAACCCCACAGCGGAACUCUCAAUGAAAGCACCAAUGUCGGUGUCAAAAUCCAUAGACCUCGGGGUAGGGGUCCUAAACUGUGGAUCUGAGAUCGAUGGGGAACAAGGGACGAUGAACACGGUGUUUACCUAGGUUAGGGCCCUCUCGAAGAGGUAAUACCCUACGUCAUGCUUGAUUAUAUUAGAUGUAUAGUAAGGUUUACAAUGUAGAUCUACCCCGAGAUCAGCAUGAGCUAAACCCUAAGGUGAUGAGGUGACGAAUAGCUCCAGCCCUAAAGACUACAACCCUCAGUUUAUAUAGACGUCGGCAGGGUUAGGGUUACCGGAGAUAGAUUACAAUAUGGGCAAAAGAUCUCCUGCCUAUCAUUAACUUGGAGGACACACCACGGCUCCAUAGAUCUCCUAUCGCUAUGCGACUUUACCAGUCCUAUCGGACUCGGGGUUCCGCAUACCCUUGAGAGGUUCGAACACUGGGGUGCGUGCGAAUAACUUGUCCUCCUCAACCUGCCUGCUCGCUGAUCCUACGGCCUAGCUCGACGAACCCAAUGAAUAAGAGACACAGCAGUUUACCCAGGUUCGGGCCACCUUGCGGUGUAAAACCCUACUCCUGCUUUGUGGUGGAUUGGCCUUGAGAGGCUUUGGAUGGACUAGUACAAUGGAUGAACAGCCUCAGGAGGUGAGGUGUUCUUGGGCUCGAUCAGUUGGUGAGGUGGUCAAGGUGGAAUGGAUAUGUCCCUUCUAUGGUGGUGGCUAGGUCCUAUUUAUAGUGGCCUUGGUCCUCUUCACAAAUGUAGGUGGGAAGGGAUCCCACAAUGGCCAAAUUCAAAGGGAGACAACUAGUACAAGUUAUCCUGACAAAAGUAGUCUUUGCCAGCAAAAGCUCCUGGUCAUGACGCUGCGGUGGGCUCUGCGAUGACCUCCGUCUUGCCAUCCUAGCCGUCUUGGUCUUGUUGCACCAAAACGGAAACCUUUGCUUGAUUCCUCGGGACUCCGCGCCUGCGCUUGCCUCCUUAGCACCAAAGAGGAAACUGGUACACUGCGCCUGCUGGCGCCUGCCAGGCCUUGGUCGUCAUGGCUCAUGCCAUAUGAACCUCAUGAGGUGCACCUUGCAUUGAUAUCUCCGCUCGUCGGGAGCCAGCCUGAUGAGGCUGCCCCCAGGGAGGUCUUGGUGUCGUCCGCCUUGCGUGGCUUGGCCCCUCACGAGGGUCUUGGUUUGUCGAUGUUGAAUCUAGGCCAUACUGGGCCGUUGCCAGAACCAUGUCGUGGGCCGCAGGAAGGCAAGUCUGGGCACCCCCGUUCCUAGAUUGCCGAUAGUAGCCCUGGGCCCAAGGCGCGCUCGUACUUGACUUCAAGGCGAAGCCAAAGUGAAGUGUGGAGCGUCGUGGGCCCUAACAGCCUGCGGCCUUGGUCGACGCAUGGCGAUUGAUGGGACGUGGGUGCCUCCGCUUCCCACGCUGCCUCGGCAACCGUCCAACUUGAUGAGACUUCAUCGCAUGCAGGGAAAAUCCAUCAUUGCGUGGGAUCGCGGAGGCCGGCGGUUGGCCUCCCGAGGGCUAUAAAUGAGAGGAGGGGCACGGCCCCUCCUGCUCAUCCCCGUCUUCUCGCCGCCCGCUUCUUCUUCCUCUUUCUUGCCUCACCAUCUUGUUGUAGUCCUCAUGGUGCCGACGAGGAAGUUCUCUGUCAUCGAGAAGGGGAAGGCCCCCAAGGAGGGGCCUAACUCACCACCUCCCAAGAGAUGGCUAGGCCGCCCCCGCAAGCACGUCACGACUCCCGUGGUGACUCCUCGGGGGCGCGGGCGCGCCUUGGCCGGCCGUGGCGGUGUUUCUUCUCGUGGCGGGUGCUGCCAAGGGUGAGGAGGCCCCUGCAAUGAGGGGAGGCUCGCCAUGGUUUCCCACCCUCCUUGGUCGCGCUUCCACUCGGCCAAGGUGCUCCCGGAGUUUUUCGUGUGGUCGGAGAGGCCGGCCGGCACCUGGCUCCUGCUCCCCCGCUUCUUCGCGGGUGAGUUGCCGGCCUCGGGGCCUGACGGCCUCUAGUUGCAGGCUGAUGGCUGUUGCAGCAAGGCUUCAUGGGUAGGGGUCGAAGUUUCCGCCACUGGGGACAUGUCCUUGGCCCGCGGCAGGCAGGCGUUUGCCCCCGCGCGCACCCUAAGUGGGAGGUGCUGAAGGAAAUAUGCCCUAGAUGCAAUAAUAAAGUUGUUAUUUAUAUUUCCUUGUAUCAUGAUAAAUGUUCAUUAUUCAUUCUAGAAUUGUAUUAACCGGAAACUCAGUACAUGUGUGAAUACAUAGUCAAACAGUGUGUCCCUAGUAUGCCUCUACUUGACUAGCUCAUUAAUCAAAGAUGGUUAAGUUUCCUAGCCAUGGACAUGUGUUUUCAUUUAAUGAACGUGAUCACAUCAUUCUAUGGACUAGACCCAUAUGUUAGCUUAGCACUAUGAUCGUUUAGUUUAUUGCUAGUGCUUUCUUCAUAACUUAUACUUGUUCCUAUGACUAUGAGAUUAUGCAACUCCCGAAUACCGGAGGAACACCUUGUGUUCUAUCAAACAUCACAAUGUAACUGGGUGAUUAUAAAGAUGCUCUACAUGUGUCUCCGAUGGUGUUUGUUGAGUUGGCAUAGAUCGAGAUUAGGAUUUGUCAAUCCAUAUAUCAGAGAGUUAUCUCUGGGCCCUCUUGGUAAUGCACAUCACUAUGAGCCUUGCAAGCAAUGUGACUAAUGAGUUAGUCAUGGGAUGAUGCAUUACGGAACGAGUAAAGAGACUUGCCGGUAACGAUAUUGAACUAUCUAUGAUAAUACCGACCAUCGAAUCUCGAGCAAGUAACAAACCGAUGACAAAUGGAACAACGUAUGUUGUUAUGCGGUUUGACCGAUAACGAUCUUCAUAGAAUAUGUAGGAAUCAAUAUGAGCAUCCAGGUUCUACUAUUAGUUAUUGACCAGAGAUGAGUCUCAGUCGUGUCUACAUAGUUCUCGAACCCGUAGGGUCCGCAUGCUUAUUGUUCGAUGACGAUAUGUAUUAUGAGUUAUGUGAUUUGAUGUACCAAAGGUUGUUCGGAGUCCCGGAUGAGAUCAUGGACAUGACGAGGAGUCUUGAAAUGGUCGAGACAUAAAGAUUUAUAUAUUGGAAGGUUAUAUUCGGACACCGGAAUGGUUCCGAAGUGUAUCGGGUAUUUUCCGGAGUACCGGGAGGUUACCGGAACCCCUUAGGGGAUUAAUGGGCCACAAUGGGUCUUAGUGGAGCAGAGAGAGGGCCAGCCAGAGGUGGCGCACCCCCCCCCCCCUGCCCAGUCCAAAUUGGACAAGGGAAAGGGGGGCGCCCCCCCUCCUUCCUUCUCUUCUCGCCUCUUUCCUUUCUUCUCCUUCUUGGACUAGGAAAGGGGGAAACCUACUGCUACUAGGAGUAGGAUUACUCCCCCCUUGGCGUGCCCCUUGUGAUCGGUGAGCCUCAUCCUCCCCUCCUUUAUAUACGGGGGGCACCCCAUAGACACACAAGUUGAUCUUUUAGCCAUGUGCGGUCCCCCCCUCCACAGUUACACACCUCAGUCAUAUCGUCGUAGUGCUUAGGCGAAGCCCUACGUCGUUAACUUCAUCAUCACCAUCACCAUGUUGUCAUGCUGACGAAACUCUCCCUCGGCCUCGGCUGGAUCAAGAGUACGAGUGAUAGAGCCGAGGGUCCCGAUCUUUCGAUGAGAUGAUAACUAUUGAUUUGGUGGAGACGACUUUGACGAUCCGACUACAAACGUGCACGACGUUGCGCCUUAGCAAUCGCUAAACCAAUCUCCUGAGGUUACUGACGAUGCUGGAAGCACGGUCAGCCUGACCACGAAGGUCUAUUCCUGCAAGCAAUCGAAGAACGAGCAAGAAUAUGAUAAAGCAAUCUGAAUAUUGCAAAUAUAUACGAAGUAUUGAUAAUGGUGGGGAUCCGGAAGCGGUCUUGGUCUGGUCGUUGGACACAAACGAAGUACACGAAGUUGCAAUGGCUAACUUUUAACUAAACAAAUCCCAAGGAAAAGCUACUAGAUGGAUCUACUUAUAUAGGAGCAAGGGGUGGCGGCCAAGGAGGUGGGAGGACGUCCCAAGGCAGCCUAAAACUAAAUCUAGGUCGUACAAGGCCAAUGGGCCCAAGUGGAGGUGAUGUAACACCUUUGGACUUGUAGUUUGACUCGGAUUCUGCUGCAACAUCAGAUUGUUUCGUCCACAACUCAACGCCCCGGACGAAUUUGAAGGUGAUUCCAAUUGGGUUGGAAAGUGCACGAAAUCUAGUUUCCAACAAAAAAAGAAUCACCCAAUUCGGAGUCCGUAUGAAAAACUUGUGUGCGUUUUGAGUCAGGUAUGUCUGUGCAGUCCGAAUCUGAAUCCAGAACGUGAGAGACUUGGACUCUAUCUUCUCUUGGGCCAAAAGUGACGUGAGAGAACUUUUUGGACAGCAAAUAAACAUCUCUUUCUUCCUUAUCUUCAUAUGUGGAUUGUACAAAUGUCCCAUAGACCUGCAAUUAGACAAAACACAAAAGUGUGUGAAGUAUUUUUGUUCUGGAUAACAUAAAUAGAUUAUUGAAUAGUUUGCACUAGAAAUCACCUGACAAAUAUGCAUAUAUGCAAUAUUUUUGGUCAUAUCCAAGGUAGUCAUGUCCUCAUCAUCCCACGACCACAAGGUAGUCAUGUCCUCAUCAACGAGGGAUGUCACCGAGCUGAAUGUGUGUUGAUCGCGGAGGUGCCGUACGUUCAGUACUUGGAUCAGUUGAAUCGCGAAAACAUUCAACUACAUCAACCGCCUCACUAAACGCUUCCGCUUUCGGUCUACGAGGGUACGUAGACACACUCUCCCCUCUUGUUGCUAUGGAUCUCCUAGAUAGAUCUUGCAUGACCGUAGGUAAACUUAUUGAAAUACGGUGUUCCCCAACAGGUGCACCCUCCACUUCAUGUACGACGGCGUCGCGACCUUCCAUGUGAGGGUGUUUGGGGAGGACUGCUGUCGCACAGGGUGCUGCCCCGAAGACGAUGGUGGUGACGAUGAGCUUGGCCUUGACGACAGCCGCGACGACGCUGAGGGUGAGCUCGCUCUUGCCGACGGCCGCGACUCGUUCAGCGGUGGCGGCUCCUCUAGCGAGAGCACGUGCAGCGACGUCUACGACCAGCCGCCACAUCGCCAGACUCGCUUCGAGGAUGGUGGUGGAUCGUCUCGUCAUCGUGCUCCGGUGAAGCAGGAGGAUGGCUUGGGCUGAGCCCAGAGGACUCUGGAUCCCGGCCCUGGGAGAUGAUGUGGUUGCGUGGGCCACUUUUGUUUAGCCUUUCCUUUUUCCUGCAUUUUGAAAAAAGUAGAGGGCCCUGCUGGGGCGUGUAAUGAACCAUGGUACUUAUGCCACUAUGCUAUGCUUAUUGUUCGGAUGUAUGCCAUGAUGUUCAUGUCUGGGUACGUGCGGUAGGAUAACUUAGCUUGAUACACUCGCGGUAGUCUCGCACCUCGCGAUGGUGCGCCCUCCAGCAUCUCGUGAAGCCCCCUUGCUGCUGGCUCAGGGGUUGCUAGGCUCAGGAUACAUCGUGAAGCUGCAAAAUUGUUAGGAAAUUUUGUUGGGUGUCUUGUUCUUCCUUGCGCGAGUCCUCAAACGUGGGCUAUUCAUGCCUUAGUGCAUCACGUCGUGGUACCCAGGGGGCACGGACUUAAGAAGAUGCGCAAAUCACAAGCUCGUUCGAGGGUGUCUCGCGAGGAUAGAAAAAGCCAUGGCCCUGGGGGACAGGGCUGUGGCGAAGUGUGUUCGCAGCGCGGGGCGGGCCCAACACCGGACACGCACACACCUGCCCAGCCCCCGCGUGCGAGACGCGUGAGGAAGAGCGACGGGCAACUGUCGCUGCUCCUGGGCCAUGACCAAAGGGCAGGAGCGAAGACGAAGGGGAAAUCCAACUUGGCAAUCGAAAAUGCGAGAACUCAAAAUUCCAUUAAAAGGAAGGGGGCAAACCAACUACAGAAAGCAAGCAAAUGACCAGCCGCGUCCGGCACCUAGACUAGUCUUCUCACCAGCGCGGAGCUAAGUGAUGCCACUAGGAAGUGGGAGGGAGCCCCCGAGGCCCGAGGGCGGCUCUUCAGAGACUCCGGGGCGUGUACAGCCCCAAUCAUUAUUACGUGAGAGUGUCACGAGCGGAUACCUUCACAUGCACUAGACCUUGCUUCAUGGGUAGAACUUCUGGAGGUGCUGGAUGUUCCAGGCGUUCUGGAUUGGGAUCCCGUCAUGCGUCUCCAGGCGCGCAGCGCCAGGCCUGGAGAUGCCGACAAUCCUAAACGAGCCCUCCCACAUGGGUGAGAGCCUAUGCGGCCCUUCCCUGGAGAGCACCCACCUUAGCACAAGAUCACCCACCUCGAGCGUCCUGGAGCGGAUGUUGUAGUAGUGGUACUGCUGCAGCGCCUGCUGGUACCUUGCCGCCUGGAGCGAGGCUUGACAGCGGCGUUCCUCCCCUAGCACGAGGUCCAUCCCCCGCGUGGCAUCCUGGCGUGCCUCGUGAAACGCCAAGACCCACGUCGAGCGUUGCUUGACCUCGUGAGGGAGAACCGCUUCGGCUCUAUAGACGAGGAAGAAUGGAGUCUCUCCCAUCGGCUUGGUGGCGGUGGUGCGGAUGGACCACAACACAGACUGGAGCUCGUCGAGCCAGCCCCUGCCACAGGCCUCGAGCUUCUUCUUGAAGGUUCUUGUCUUGAGGCCUCACAGGACCUCCUCGUCGGCGCGCUCAGCUUGGCCGUUGCUCCUGGGGUGUGCCAUUGAGGCAUAGCAUAUCUGUGUUCCAAGGUUAGCACAAUACAUUUUUAAGAGGUUACUUGUGAACUGCGAGCCGUUGUUAGUGUUGAUACGAUUAGGGACCCUGAAGCAGCUCACGAGGCCCUUGAUGAAUGUGACUGCCGAGCCGUCCGGGAUGGUGCGGACGACUUCCACCUCCGCCCACUUGGUGAACUUGUCGAUGGCGACAUCGAGGUAGCGGUAGACCCUGGGCGCUCAUGGGAAUGGUCCCAAGAUGUCUAGACCCCAGACCACGAAUGGCCAUGUGAGAGGAAUGGUCUGGAGGCCCUUAACGGGCUGGUGGCUUUGCUUGGCGUGGAAUUUACACACUUCGCAAGAUCUCACCAGCUCGGUGGCAUCAUUGAGUGAUGUGGGCCAAUAGAACCCGCUACGAAAUGCCUUGCCCACGAGGGUGUCUGAUGACGAGUGAUGCCUGCAGUCCCCACUGUGUAUGUCGGCCAAUAGCUCAUGCCCCUGCUCCUUGGAGAUGCAUCGUAGAGAAACAUCAUUUAGUUGUUUCCUGUAGAGCUCACCAUCCUGGAUGUAGUAGGCAGUGGCAUGUCGAACCACACGCUCCGCGUCCUCCUCCUUCUCCGGCAAGGUCCCCUGAAGCAGAUCGCCUUGAAAUCUUUGGUUCAGUACCCCUCCUGAGGUUCCAGCGCAAGGACAAGGCAAGCUCCUGAGGUCGAGCCACAAGCCGGGGCACCCGAUUGAGGGGCCUGAGGGAGGUCCUCAUGAGGCGGUGCUGGUGCCGCUGCGAGCGGUGCUCUAGAUGGCUUGAAGAGCCGCUCCUCAAAGAUGCCAGGCUCUUGAGGCAGGCGCCGGGACGCCCUCUUGGCGAUGUCGUCUGCUUCCUUGUUUGUGUUGCGCGGCACACGUUGCAGUUCUAGACCCAAGAAUUGUAUUAUGAAUUUUGCAUACCUCCGCAAGGUAUGCCUCCACAUGCUCGUCCUUUGGCUCAUAUACUUUGUUGGAGAAGUUGACGAGGAGCUGAGAGUCGCCCUUGAUGGUGAGGCGCUUCACUCCCAAGGCUGCCGCAGCCUUGAGGCUGGCGAUUAAGCCCUCGUACUCCGCGAUGUUGCUGGAGACCUUCUCGCCCUGCUGGAAGUAGAGCUUCAUGGCGUAGCAGAGCUUGUCCUGGGUCGGUGAGAUGAGCAUGGUUCCAGCCCCCGUGCCCUGAUGCACGAAGGCGCCAUUGAAGUACAUGACCUAGCUAUCUGGCGCUUCGCUUCCUGGUGAGAGUCGGUGGUCCUCGCCUACUUCGGGGCUGGGAACGUCGGUCCAUUCUGCCAUGAAACCAGCGAGUGCCGCCCCCUUGAUGACCCUAGUGGUGCUAAACUCUAAUUGGAACGCCUGUAGCUUGAUGUUCCACUCGGCGACUCUCCCCGCAGCAUCGGUGCUCCGGAGCACCCUUUCCAGGGGGUAAGCUGAGACGACCUUGACGGGGUGGCCAUGGAAGUAGUGGUGCAGCUUGUGGGAGUCGACGAGGAGCGUGAGCAAGAGCUUUUGCAGCAUGGGGUAGCGCGCCCGCGUGUCACGUACUGCCGUGCUGACGAAGUACACCGGGUGCUCGAGGAGGGCGGAAGUGUCGGUGGAGUCUUGCACCUCCUGAGGCUGGGGGACCUCAGGAGCUUGGUCACUUGCUAGGGCAGCCAUGGCCUCAGGAGCGUUGUCCUGAGGAGUCUGAUCAUCUGCUGGUGCCGCCGAGGCCUCAGGCACACCGUCCUGAUGCUGCGUUGCCUUUCCCUGUCGUGAGGCAUUGCCUGGCAGGCCCUUGGCUUGGUGCCCCGCCCGGACCGCUACCAGCGCUGCGCUGGCGGUGUGUGGCGUGGUAGCCAGGUAGAGCACCAGGGGCUCUAGAGGACACCAUGCUAUCAUCACCGGCGGGCUGGUGAGGUAUCUCUUGAGAUCUUGGAAUGCUGCAUCAACCUCCGGAGUCCACUCGAACGGGCCCUUCUUUUUCAUCGACUUGAAGAACGGGAGGGCGUGCUCCCCCAACUUGGAGAUAAAACACCCUAGCGAGGUUACACAGCCUGCCAGCUUUUGCAUCUCCUUGAGACUCUAUGGUGGGCUCGUCUCUUCUAUUGUCUUGACCUCUAGAUUUACCUCAAUUCCCCCGUGUGACACUAGAAAACCCAGCAACUUGCUGGAGGGAACGCCAUACACGCAUUUGUCUGGGUUGACCCGCAGGUCCACCGCGCGCAGACUAGCAAAUGUUUCUUCUAGGUCCUCGACAAGGGUCCUUGCCCCCUGAGACUUCACUACUAUGUCGUCGACGUUUGCCUCAGCGUUCCUCCCGAGCUGCUGGCCCAGGGCGAUGUGCAUCAGCCGCUGAAAGGUCGCCCCGGCAUUGUGUAAGCCAAACGGCAUGCAGGUGUAGCAGUACACACCCAUGGGGCUAGGAAGGCCAUCUUCUCAACACCUUGUACCGCCAUCUUGAUCUGAUGAUAGCACGAGAAGGCGUCCAGGAAGCACAACAGGUCACACUCGGCGGUGGAGUCGACAAUUUGAUCGAUGCGCGGGAGUGGGAAGGGAUCCUAAAGGCAAGCCUUAUUGAGGUUGGUGAAGUCGAUGCACAUGCGUUCCUUCCCGCCUUUCUUGGGGACGACGACUAGGUUCGCCAGCCAAUCCGGGUACAGCACCUCCCGAAUGACACCGGUUUCUUGUAGUUUGCAGGUUUCCUAGACGAUGAAAGACUGCUUCUCCGCGGAUUGCCGCCGCGUCUUUUGCUUCACGGGGCGCACGUUGGGGCACACCCUCAUGUGGUGCUCAAUUAUCCCCCUCGGGAUCCCGACCAGAUCCUUGGGUUCCCAGGCGAACACCUCAUUGUUUGCGCGCAAGAAGUCGACCAACGCCCUUUGCUGAUCUAGAGGAAGGUUGGCGCCUAUGGUGAAGGUGGCGCCGGAUGCUCCAUCUUUGUCAACCAGCACCUGCUUCGUCUCGGCACGAUCUUGAGAGAACAACUGCUUCUUCUUUGCUGGCGCAUCCCCUGGGGCCUCUGGGCCCCUUCCUCGGCCGGGCGCGCUACCGCUACGGCCCUGAAGACGAGCUUGAGGGCCAUCAGGGCUUCCUUGGUGUCACUGACCAUAGUGAGGACGCCGUUGCUCCCCGGCAUCUUCAUGAGGUUGUAGGUGGGGUGAGUUGCCGCCAUGAACUUGGCCAAGGGUGGGUACCUGAGGACGGAGUUGAAUGGGAGGCUGAUGCGGGCGAUGUCGAAGUCGAUGAGCUCGGUGCGGUAGUUGUCGCGGGUGCCGAAGGUGACGGGGUGGUGGAUCUGCCCUAGGGGGCAGGUGGAGCCAUCAACGACACUUGUUCAUACUUUCUCUAGCCUGCGUGUCGUGAUUGGCAGGAUGCCAUGUAUCCCUCGUACUUUCGAGCGCUUUCGUGCGUUCCUGCGUUUGGGUGUUCGCUUUGUUUCAUCCUCGGUGCGGUUGAUCUGUGACUCUGCCUUGUGGCUUUAUUUAUAAAAUCGGGCAUAGGCCUUUUCUCUAAAAUAUGUCAAGCCAACUUAUAAUCUGCUAAAGCCAGUUUAGGCACACGUAACUAGUGUUCCACCACCAUUUCACCACUUUCUUGGUUUGUGGGUAGUGCGAUUCGUCAUAGGUGCUACUCAGGAUGCUGACUUGGUAUGCUUGCGCCAUCAUGGCAUUGUGCACAUCCAGGUGGCGGUUCUGAAAUUAAACAUGUUUUAGAAAGACAAUGGCGCAGAUCUUGCGACCGUCUCGGUUGGAGUUCAUGUUAAUUAACAGGGUACAAUCUUCGGUUUGUGCUUGAGGAGGAGGAUUUCAUACCUGCAGAAGAUUUUAUCCCUCACAUAUGGGAGUAGGAUUACGAUGGUCCAGACCACAGGGCUAACCGAGAUGAUGUUUUGCUUGAUCAAGAUGCGAACAAAAAAGGAAAAAUGCUGAAGGGGGUGCUGCUCCGUCCAAUACGCCAUCUGCUGGGACCAGUCCAAUGGUCACUAAUAAUCGCUUUGUGGAUUCAUCGGAUGCUCCUUCGCAGACUGAUGUAGGAGCUAACCUCAAUGUGGACACCACUGCAAUGGCUGGUACUGGAGUUGACCAGUAGGGAGAUACUACAUCCAUUUACGUCAAAUGAGGCACGCAUGCUACUAGAUGAGGUUGCACACCCAGGUGCGACUGCAUGUGUGCAUGCAUAGAGUGUCCUUCAAGCGGUGCGGCCGGCCGUGUGCAGGGUGCACCGCCAGCCGAUGCUUAAGGUUCCGUGCUCGUGCAGCCGGCGAUGGGUGCGGGUGCAUCGCCAGCAACGCAUGUUGAUGCUCCUGCUCCGGUCCAUGCGCAAGGUUCCAAGAUGUCACCCAUGGAGGCUUCGUCAGCUCCUUCUCUAGUUGUCGUGGUUCCUCUCAGUCCAGUAGUAGAUCGUCUGAGUGGCUAAUCCCCGGCACCCCUGGCGGUCGUGCUGGUGGGACCUGCGACACGUCCAUCUUCACUGACCUAUAGGAUAGUUCAGAGCCCGCCGAUUUUGCAGCGACCAAUACCAACGGCUCGACCAUAGACACCGAUGGGUACUAUGACUAGAGGUCUAGCUUCACCCUUUCGGUGUAGUAACCAUCAUGUCAUCUCGGCGGAUGGUUUCUCUCCAACCUAUGAACAUUCACUAGCUAAGGCAAUGUGUUGACAACCCUCGAGGAAUUUGGACUCCAUGCUAGGUAGCUCGCCCGCUAAAUAUUUUCUUUCAUUUCCGGAUACUGGCAUUUCCUCUAGCCUUAAGAACGUUUGUACAUCUAUGGGAAAUAAUGAUAAUCAAAUUAAUCUUUUGGUUAGGGCACUUAAACAUAUGGAGAUUGACCAUUCAAAGGUUUCUCCAAAGUGUAAUAGCGCCCUACCUAACCCCAAAACCAAGGAGGAUGAAACAUAUGCCAAAUAUGACGGUCCGCUUCUCUCCCACUUGGUUGGUGAGGUCAUCGAGUUUGGUUUGGAUGACGCAAGACCUGGCUCCAUGUUCUGUGACUUCACAACAUCUUCGUGGAAAUCUAAAUCGCAUUCCUCUAAAAGAAACAAAUAUUGCCCAAGAAGGCAAAAUGUUCCACAUCGACCUGAGUUUCCACAUGAGAGGCAUGUUUUGGAAUAGCAGAGGUCUCUCAGACUUGGCUAAACGUAAACACGUUGGUGAUUGUGUGGGCGAACAUGGGUUGGAUUUUGUGGCAAUUUCAGAGGCUGAUAAAUGUGACUUCCACCCGCAUGUCCUUGAUCACCUAUCAGGUGGUUUUGGCUACACAUGGCAUAGUCUACCAGGUCGUGGAAGGUUUGGAGGAAUCCUUCCUGGGAUACAGACCACAACCAUGGACUUGUUGGCUUUUUCGGCCGGGAGUUUCAUAUCAAACUUCACUUACGAAACAGAGCUGAUAAUUUUACAUGGAGCAUGGUUGCAUUCUAUGGGGCUGCCCAAGAUGAGCAUAAAUCGGCUUUCCUUUGUGUACUAGUGAACCUGGCUAAGGAUAACCCAUAUCCCAUACUUAUUGGAGGGGACUUUAAUAUCCUUAGGUGCCAGCAAGAGAAAAAUAAUGACCGCUUAGACACUCAUUGGCCUUUCAUAUUCAAUGUUGUGAUAGACAGUUUGCAUCUUCGGCAGGCCAGUAUGUCGGGGCGGCAGUUCACCUAGGAUAAUAACUGAUCUGUGCCGACAUAAGAGAAACUCGAUAGGGUACUCAUGGACACCUAAUGGGAACUAAAAUUUCCUCUGGCAACCAUGCGAGCCAUAGAGUGUAUCGAGGCAUUAUCGUAUCAUGCACCCGUCAUUCUAGAUUCUAACUCUACGAACCCAGCUACCCGUUGAUGUCUACUACGCAACUUUAUUCUUGUAGACUCGUGUUGGCCUCCAAGCAUAGAGUUUUGUAGGACAGUAGCAAUUUUUCCUCAAGUGGAUGACCUAAGGUUUAUCAAUCCGUGAGAGUGUAUUAUGAAGAUGGUCUCUCUCAAACAACCCUGCAACCAAAUACAAGAAAUCUCUUGUGUCCCCAACACACUAAAUACAAUGGUAAAUUGUAUAGGUGCACUAGUUCAGUGAAGAGAUGGUGAUACAAGUGUAGUAUGUAUAGUAGAUAUUUUUUUUGUAAUCUGAAAUAGACACAACACGGUAGCAAUUGAUAAAAGUGGGCACAAAUGAUAUAGCAAUGCAUAGAAACAAGGCCUAGGGUUCAUACUUUCGCUAGUGCAAUCUCUCAACAGUGCUAACAUAAUUGAACCAUAUGGCAAUCCCUCAACGUGCGAUAAAGAAUCACUCCAAAGUUCUUAUCUAGUGGAGAACGUAAGAAGAAAUGGUUUGUAGGGUACGAAACCACCUCAAAAGUUAUCCUUUCUGAUCAAUCUAUCGAGCUAUUCCUAAAGUGUCACAAGCAGCCCAAGAGUUCGUACUAAAACAACACCAUACGAAAACACAACAAUCAACCCUAAUGUCACCUAGAUACUCCAAUGUCACCACAAGUAUUCGUGUGUCAAUUAUACGAUAUGCAUCAAACAACUUCUGAUUCAUAAUAUUCAAUCCAACACAAAGAACCUCAAAGAGUGCCCCAAGAUUUCUACCAGAGAAACAAAGACAAGAACAUGCAUCAACCGCAUUAAUUACCCCAAUGUCACCUCAGUAAUACGUGAGUUGAGUGCCAAAACAUACAUGAAGUGAAUCAAUAUGAUACCCCAUUGUCACCACGGGUAUUCAUACACAAGACAUACAUCCAGUGUUCUCAAAUCCGUAAAAGUAUUCAAUUCAAUAAUAACGAAAUCUAAAAGGUAAAACUCAAUUCAUCACAAUAGGAUAGAGAGGGGGUGCCAUGUGAUGCUUGUCAACUAGAGAACAAUUGAGGUUGAAAUGAUAAUGCAUACUAUUGACUCUUGCAUAAAAGUAAAUACUGAAAAGUAAAAGAUAGGCCCUUCGUAGAGGGAAGAAGAGGUUGUCAUGCGCAUUUUAUUUUUUGAUGAGCAAGCUCUUAAUGCAAAGGAAUGUCAUGUUAUAUUGGCCCUUAUGAUAGCAACCUUGAUUAUGUAGUCUGUCACUUAUAUUUCUUUGCCAUCAGAAGUUUGUACAACUCUUAUUUUCCCUUGCAAUAAAAUAUCACUUAUAUUUUAGGAGCAAUUUUUAUUUCCUUUUGCACCGAUGACAACUUACUUCAAGGGGCUUAUUCAAUCCAUAGGUAGAUAUGGUGGAAACUCAUGGCAAGAAACUAGGUUUAAGGGUUUUUUGGAUGCACAAGUAGUAUCUCUACUUAGUACGAAUUUUUGGCUAGCAAAAGAUCCUAAGUAAACACCACAUAUUGGAGGAUCCAUAACAAUAUAAUUUGUAUGCAAAUAUACACAACCAUAACUCAUUAUGUUGUCUUCCUUGUCCAACUUCAACUAAUUUGCUCAAGUUUGAAAAUAAUUAAUGGGUAUUCACAAUCAUAAAAGAUGUCCAAGAUAAUAUAUUUGUAUGUGAAAGUCCACUUCCUUGUACUAAUCAUUCAUGAAUUGCUUGUAUGACCAAUAUUGUGAUUGUCAAGCUACAAUAAAUUUCACUUUCUAAACCCAAUGUGAAAUUACUACUAGGAAUGAUAUGAACAUAUAAUUUCAACUUCAUGGUAUUCAAUUCAUUCAACAAUUUACUUAUAGGAUAUAAGUGAAGCAUAAGAGUAAAUGGCAAACUACUCCAAAAGAUGUAAGUGAAGAUCAAAUGAGUAGUUAAGUAAAUAGGUAGCUAUGUGAGGACUCUCUCCCAUUUAAAAAUUUCAGAUCUUAACUAUUUUAUUCAAACAGCAAGGUAAACAAGGCAAAAUGAUAUUCCAAGAAUAUCACAUAUCAUGUGAAGAAGCAAAAACUUAGGCUCAACCGAUACGGGCAUGGCGGGAGGAUGCGGGCUGGCUAGUGGCCGCAGGAUCGACGCGGUGACGGCGAUGGAAGUGCUCGUUGUCGAACAGAAGGGGAGAUCGAGCGAGAGGAGAGCGAGUGCGGCCUAUGGUUUGUCCAAGGGGAGUGCUCUGGGUCAAGUAGGACGCCAGGAGGGAUCGGAUGGCCGCCACGCAAGUGGUCACGACCGGCGGAUGGCUGCCACGGCCAUGCUGCCUCCCCUUUGUACAUUACAGAGGUAGAAAAGAGGCCGGUGGUGGGCUUGGUCUGCACUGAUCAUACGGGCCAAAGUGCACAGAAGCACUUCCUCAUUUUCUUUUCUGUCAAAUUUUUUGUCUCAGAUUUCUAUUUAUGUUGUGCACUAAAUGAUAUUAGUUCUACAAGAUACUACACCUAUAAUUCAAAUACAACAUUUUGGGUGUUACACACAAGGUUCCAUUUUAUUUGGGAAGGUUUAUUCAUUUGUUUAUUUUGAAAAGGCCAUUUAAUUUACUGUUGGUCAGUUUGUUAAUUUACUAGGAAUUUAUUUGUGAGCCAAAUGAAGUUGGUUUCAACAUGACAAUUUAUCAGGGGAAUUUAUAGAAUAAUAUGAACAUUUUCCUACUGAUUAAAGAAUUAAUGAUUUGAAUUGCAAUUUGAUUUUGAAUUUAAGUUUAUUUUUAUCCAGGGGCAAUUACGCUUGGCAAACACGGUGACAUGGCAUCAUUAGGUUGGAAUUACUGUAGCGUGAUUACCAGGGUGUUACAGUGGUUCUCUAGGAUACCCUAGUGUCAUGAUAAUAGUUUCAACAUAUAUGUCAAGGCAAUGGAGUACCUCAACUCAACAAUUAGUGUGGUUAAUCUAGCCCAAAGGAACACCGAGAAUGGAAAGAAGGGAUUUGCAAAUGCAUCAAACUUAAGUCUGAGAACGGGCUAAUAACUGGACCAUAACUAAACUAGACCCAUACAAGUACCUCUCUAAACCAAACCUGAACCAUAACCAGAUAAUACUAUUUUCAGCCAAACCAAAACUGCACCCAAUAAUUAUUCCACCCAAACCGGUUCACACCCAGUACAUAACCAUGGGUUUAAACCCAAUACAUAACCAAAUUCAACUGAAGUUUAACAGUGGCAUGCCAAACAAUAAUUUAGCAGUGACAUAACUGUUUUCCACUACAGUUUUACAGUGACAUGUCCUUUCUGAAUAUGCUACUGCUUAGGCUACAUUCUCUGCCACACUGAAACAGAACAAAGUAGAAAGUCCAUCUAUUUUCUACAGGACUAGCAACUGGACACCGCAUUUGAAAAGAGAGCAAUUUAGACAUAAGUACAAUUAUGCUACUGGCUGCCAAAAGAAUCUUCAGAAUUUUGUUGUUGCUCCCUCGACCAAUAAAUAUGCAUCUUCGUCGCUGGCAUAUGUGAGAUGACUUUGCUGCUUGAUAAGGUCUGUAGCUCACAGACCAAGCCGCAACACUUCUGCACCACCAUGCUAAACCACUGUUGCAUCACAGAGAGAGUUCUAUUAGAUCAUAACUUCUUGAGAAUUGAGAACCAUGAUCAAUCAGACAUGUGGUCUAAAGUAGUAACAUAUACAGAUCACGAUUGCAGUUUCCACAUAAUCCGACAAAAGAUUGGACAAAACCACAAUGUUCUACAGACUAGUGCUGGCAAUGUUUACUUGCUUAGCGACAGUGGUUUUGCUUGUCGAAUGACUAUAACGGAAAAAGGAGCAAGGCAAAAGCAAAUCGAUGAUCAAGAUCAUAUUUUUACCUUUUCUUCGUUUCAAGUUUUUAGCCGUGUGCAUACUGUUCAUCUCCUGCAAAUGAAACAAAGGAUUAAUUUAAAGGCAUCUAUGCUGCAAGUUUUAUAUAUCAGAUUUUACUCAAGUAGUAGAACCAAAAUGUAAUUGGUUAGCUCACCCUCCUUUGGUUUGAACAACCAAUCUUUAGCACAAACAAGCACUUCUAGCAUAUCAGGGUUCAAAGAGCUUCUCUUGUCGCCUAGUAUCCUCUUACCACAACUGAAGGCUGAUUCAGAUGCCACUGUGCUCAAAGGAAUUGCAAGAAAGUCACGUGCCAUAGAUGCCAAUAUAGGAAACUUUUCGGCAUGCCUCUUCCACCAACCCAAGACACCAAAGUCAUCACCGGCCUUCUCAGAUGCUUCUUCCAAAUAUGCGUCAAGCUCAGACUUGUGUACACAUGACCUCCGAUGAGACUUGUGUUGGGCAAACUCUUUUUCCAACUUCCUUUUCCUUGCAAUAGGUGAUCCAAUAGUGGUAUUGCCUUGACUAGAAGGUGUCGAGUGUGUAGUGCUUGUCGCUGCAAGUAGCUCAUAUUCCUUGACAUACUUUCUCACCCAUUCUAAAGCAAUCUCCACUUGUUUUGUAAUCUGCUCCUCGUUGGUGGACAACUUGCAAUAGAAGAAAUCCAAGUAAUCUUCUUUCCUCCUUGGAUCCAGGAAUGUAGCAAUGACAAGUGCAUGGUUAAAUUCAAUGCCCUUGCUUUUUCUAUCUGCAUUCUCCUUCUCCUCAGGAUCCCAAUAUUUAUCGAGCUUCGUUUGCAUCACUUCCGCCAAUUCCUUCAACGCAUCAGAGGUCUGCCAACCCGGAUCUUUCAAUGCAUGGCGAAUAGAAAGCACAACUGGUAGAAACUUAUGUGAAGUUGGCUUCCUGUGAGCUGAAACAAUCAAGGUAAUCUCUUUAAAAGCUUUUAGAAACUCACAAAUAGCUUUUGCCUUCUCCCAUUCUUCCUCACUUGGAGACUCUAUCAUCUUUCUAUUGGCAUAACUAGUGAGGACAGAUUUGUACGUCAAUGCUUCUACAAGCAUUUUCCAGGUUGAGUUCCAUCUGGUUGGUGUAUCAACAGAGAUGCCUUUCUUUGCACGUAGACCCAUCCCACUUGCAAUUGUAUUGAAAUCUUGAAGUCUUGAAGGAGAAGAGUCAAUAUACUUCAGCAGCUCACGUAUCAUGUCAAUAGCUUCAUGGAUUAUUUUCAUUCCAUCCUGAACCAAGAUAUUAAGAAUGUGCGCACAACACCUGACAUGCAAAUGUUGACCUUCAAGGAGUAGCUCAUGUUUGUGAUAUUUUAUUAACUCCUCACAUGCAUUAGUAUUAUUGCUGGCAUUAUCUAGUGUCAAAGUGAAUAAUUUGCCCCUUAUGCCCCAUUCUGUUAAGCAACGAACUAUUUCUACUUCUAUCGCGUAGCCUGUGUGGGGAUACUUCACUUCUGCGAAACUUAUCGUCUUCUUCUUGUAGUUGAAUUCUGCAUUGAUAUAAUGGGCGGUGAUGCACAUGUAGCCCAAGUCCUGUGAUGAUAUCCACAUGUUAGAUGUUAAGAAAAUGCGAGAAUCCAUGUUUUGUAGCUCUACUUCGAUAUCUUUCUUCAUUCCCUUAUACAUCUUCACUACAUCAUCACGAAUUGUGUGAUGACCCUUGAUUUGAAACGCCGGCUGCAUUGAGUCAAUCCAUGGCUGAAGGUGGGGAUCUUCAAACUUAAGAAUGGGGAUCUCAGCAUGGACGCAAUACUUGACCAUGAGUUCACGACAAACUUUUUCAUCAAACACAAACAGACCUUCGGAUGGUUUUUUUUCAUGGUCAACAAAAACUUCUUCCUGCAAGCCUCCUGAAUUGAUCGGCAAGCCUCUAAAAUAUGGGUCCUCAAACUGCUAGUCCCAAACUUGGUGUGAAGUUGUGCUCCACAGUAUUUGCACACAGCCUUGAGAUCACCAUCGACGAGAACCAGAUCUACUUCAUAAUGCUCCCAUACCUUGGACCUUCUAGCAUGUGGUACUUGACUCGUAUUCUCAUCCAUGGAAUCAGCACUCUCCGAACCCUCUGAUGUAGACAUGCCUCAAAUUAGUAGUGAGUAAUUCGAGUGGUCUGGGUUGCUGUGUUUUUCCCGUCCUUGGUGCGUGGCCUGUGAAUGCGGAAACAAGGUGCAAGCAGGUUAAUACUAGUACUAGUAGCAGUAAAAGUUAAUGCAUGUAAAAUAAAAUAAAUGAAAAAAUCAAUGGAAUAAAUGUUUUGGAUUUCAAAUCUCAAAAUAGACCAACCAACAUCAAGGUUCGAUAAUCUACAUGGCAAAAAUUUGACUUAAAUUUUUCAGUCCCAAACUCUGAACAUGCAAAAUAUUUUUUCGUAGUUGAUAAGGUCCACUGACUAAGUACUUCCUUCUUAUCAGAGUUUUUAAAUUAAGAUUAUAGUGAUCUAGCAACUUCCUCUUGCCUUGUCCGUAUUGAAUCUCUUCAUCACAAUUCAUGUUUUUCGGAGCUUAUGACGUACAUUUGAUAAAUACAAACAGGCCUGAAUAAAUAAACACAUGAGAAAAUGACCGGAAAAAAUGAGUCAUGGUUGUGCGCCUAGUGGCGAUAAAUUGAUUUCUGCCUCACAUGGUUGGCUCUCGUCUUCCUACAUCACUUAGCUUCUAGGCCCUGCUGUAAAAAAAGCCCAUGACUUCCCUGCCCAAAAGGACUACAGGCUACAGCCAAAAAGGCCAUCUGAACGGAGGUUGUCGCUGGGGCAAAUUUUCUGCACCCUAUGCAUAACAAUCAUACUAAAUUUAUUUAGCAGUACACAAGAAAGCAUCCAAUUUUUCAGCCUCCAUGGAAUAUCAUGGACCAAACUUCCACUGAAUCAACAACCUUGUAAUUCAUACCGUGAAAUGCUAGAAACUACACCUACACAUAGGUUGGAUAAUAUGAACUGAAUUUUAGAGAAGCUGUAAUAUAAUUAACCUAAUCCAAUACUAGAACUAAAUAAUCUGAACUGAAUAAUGCAAUCAGAUAACCUGAACCUACAGGAAAAAGGAUAUGUGCACAAUAAUUUAAGUUGGACAAGGUUAACUGGUCUACAGCAGUAUCAAGACAUUCGAGUUAACUGAAAGACAAGGAGGGGACCAACAGGGGCACCUUGCCACCGGACGGCCGGAGCACCUUGCGAAGGAGGAGUAAGUGGAGGAGAAGGACCUUGCCGCAGGUGGAGGAACCUGGUCAACAGAGAAGAAACAAGCCGGUCAGAGAGAGAGAGGGAGAGACAGAGAGAGAGAGAGAGAGAGAGAGAGAGAGAGAGAGAGAGGUACCUGCCGUCGGAGGGAAGGUGGCGCAGCGGUGCGGCCCGACGACCUCAACCCUAGCGGACGGGGAGGGGCGGCGGCACUGAUGGGAGGGCCAGCUCGGGAUAGCUCAUGGUAGGGAUCUGCUGUGGUGACGAGGGGCCGGCGCCGAAGGGUGCCGGCGAGGCGGCGGCGCGAUGAAGGGAUGGCGAGGGGGAAGAUACAGGGGGCGUGCGGGCGACGAUGCGGGGGAAAAGACAGGGGGCAGCGCGUGGGUUGGGUUGGCGAGCAGUCGAAGGCAACGAACCGAUACAAAGAACUAGGUUGUACCCAGUUUGUAGCCCAUAAUACAUCAAACGGUUUCAGCCCAUAACCAAAUAACCCAAACUGGUUUCUCUCCAAACCCAAACCAAACCGAACUUAAGAAAGCCUCGGCCCAAUACAACCUAAACCAAUCAAGCCCAUGAUAAAAAACCAAACCAUUUAAAUCAGUUUUUCUAAAACCACUCCUAGAUUUAAACUAUUUAGAAACCUGGGAUGACUCGGACAACAUAACGGGUGUGAAUGCUCGAAAAGAUUUGAGACAUCCUGCAAAAUGGUGGCAUAACCACUUAACAUCAUAAUAUGAAGGUUCCGAGACCAACUGUUAUCACACAGAAGUAGUAGGAAUUGAACUAAGGCUUGAAUCCAUCAAUCCUCACUACAAAAAAAGACACAUCCGUGACAUUUUGGGCCGAACGAAAUUUGUUUCUGUCAUACUUAUGACACAUCUAUGACGAUAAUUUUGACAAAACCCGGUAUCAUCAUAGAUUCAUAGAUGUGGUGGGCUCCUACUUCUAUGACAAAAAAUCAUGACAGAAAAUGGGAUCUUCGUCCUGGGCGGGCCGAAGACGCAGCUGCAUGACAUUCUUUGGGCCGUCCAUGAUGGAAAAAACCAUGGUAGAAGCGAGGGCGAAGAAAAUUUCAGGGAGUUCCCGGUUAUGGUGGGUGGUCGGGGGCCUAGCGAUGCGCGUUUCUCUAGUACACGUACGCGCAUGUGUGCGAGGUGUUGGGCUCUAACUAAACCCGAGUGAGGCAUUAGACUCCAAUUGAACCCGAGCGAUUGCACUAGCUACGUUACUGAACCGGAGUAAUUCCUUCACUAUUGUUGUUAACUGAAGUCGAUCGAUGCUGCCUCAGGAUGAACAGUGAGCGUUGCUAGGGGGUUUGGAUGAACAGUUCCCGGUGGGGGUGGAUGAAUAGGACCCCGUGGUGUUGCCUCUGGAUGAACAGGACCCCGAUCGAUCGAGCCGGUUGGGGCUGGAUGAGCAGGACCCCGUGGAGGGCCGGAUGAACAGUAGAAGGUGGAGGGCUGGAUGAAUAAUAGCCCGUGGAGGGGUGGUUGAACAGGAGCCCGUGGAGAGGGCUGGUUGAACAGUAGCUGGUGGAGUAGCGCACGGUGGAGGCUGGAUGAACAGGAGUCCGUGGAUGAAUAGUCAUAGGUGGAGGUUGGAGGAGGUCGAUGGUGGACGAAUAGUAGCCUGUGGAGGCUGGAGGGGGUCGAUGGUGGAGAGAAACAGUAUCUCGUGGAGUCCCAUCUUGCGGUACGUCACACCCCUCCCGAUGAACAAGACCCCCGUUUUGACCAUAGUACUCCAAGACAAGUCCGUUUCCUUCGUUUUGUGGUACGCCACACCCCUCCCGAUGAACAGGACCCCUAUUUCGACAGUAGGAGGUCCGUUUCCUCCAUUUUCCGGUACGCCAGACCCCUCCCGAUGAACAGGAUCCCGUUUCGACCGUGGCCGGACGAACACAAGGCCGUUUCCUCCGUUCUGCGGUACGCCAGGCCUCGUUUCCAUUGGUUGUUCCGUCCAAGCCCUCCCGAUGAACACGACGAUGCAUUCCGUUCCAACCCAGCCGGUUGGCUCCCCAUGAACACGACGACGAUGUUGUUUCUCUGUUCCGACCCAGCCAUGUACACGAGCCCUGGCCGUUCGUAUGCGCGAGUAGGCGUUCGAGACCCUGCCCGUAUGAACGUAUGUGGUCGUAUUUUCUUUCUUGCACACUGGCCGCUGUACGUACGUGUAGAUGCUACGUGCGCACCUCUACUACGACACGUGCGCGCCUCUACAAGGACCAGUAUGUACGUACAUGUUCGCGACCAGAAUGAGAACGCUAUGUACGCUUCGACCAGGUGUGUCCCGACUAUCAGGCACUUCCUUGUGUGCGAAUAUGUAGCUGGUGGGUCCCAGCAGUCAGGGGGUGAAUCGUCUUUUUUGCCCGGACGCACUUCCUUGCAUGCGAAGAUGUAGCUGGUAGGUCCCUGCAGUCAGGGGGAAACGUUUUUUUCACGAAAUAUGGUUGCCCGUCCGGUGGGUCCUUGCUGUCAGGUGGAGGAAUCAUUAUUUUCUGCAUAAUAAGAAGGCAGUUCCUUGCAGUGGCUAUUGACCCAGCCGUCAACCUCUCCACGUACAGUCCACGUCCGAUAGAAGCCGUUCCUUGACCACGUUGACCAUGCCGCGUCGAGAGCACCAGGGCGGUGGACAACGACAAGGCCUAGGAAGGGGAUGACGCGGAGCCAGGGAAGACGCGGCAGUGGAUGCCCACGCAUAGAGGAGUAUGAGGGUUCACUGGUUCGCUGCGGUGUGAGGAUGUCGUCGCCGCAAAAUAACAAGUGGUGUGGGUGAGUAGAGGGAUGCCCUGGCCAGCGGUGGGAGUAGCAGGGGGCGGUGAGGCCUCCGUGAUGAGGACAUGACUACCUUGGAUAUGACCAAAAAUAUUGCAUAUAUGCAUAUUUGUCAGGUGAUUUCUAGUGCAAACUAUUCAAUAAUCUAUUUAUGUUAUCCAGAACAAAAAUACUUCACACACUUUUGUGUUUUGUCUAAUUGCAGGUGUAUGGGACAUUUGUACAAUCCACAUAUGAAGAUAAGGAAGAAAGAGAUGUUUAUUUGCUGUCCAAAAAGUUCUCUCACGUCACUUUUGGCCCAAGAGAAGAUAGAGUCCAAGUCUCUCACGUUCUGGAUUCAGAUUCGGACUGCACAGACACACCUGACUCAAAACGCACACAAGUUUUUCAUACGGACUCCGAAUUGGGUGAUUCUUUUUUUUGUUGGAAACUAGAUUUCGUGCACUUUCCAACCCGAUUGGAAUCACCUUCAAAUUCGUCCGGAGCGUUGAGUUGUGGACGAAACAAUCUGAUGCUGCAGCAGAAUCCGAGUCAAACUACAAGUCCAAAGGUGUUACAUCACCUCCACUUGGGCCCAUUGGCCUUGUACGACCUAGAUUUAGUUUUAGGCUGCCUUGGGACGUCCUCCCACCUCCUUGGCCGCCACCCCUUGCUCCUAUAUAAGUAGAUCCAUCUAGUAGCUUUUCCUUGGGAUUUGUUUAGUUAAAAGUUAGCCAUUGCAACUUCGUGUACUUCGUUUGUGUCCAACGACCAGACCAAGACCGCUUACGGAUCCCCACCAUUAUCAAUACCUCAUAUAUAUUUGCAAUAUUCAGAUUGCUUUAUCAUAUUCUUGCUCGUUCUUCGAUUGCUUGCAGGAAUAGACCUUCGUGGUCAGGCUGACCGUGCUUCCGGCAUCGUCAGUAACCUCAGGAGAUUGGUUUAGCGAUUGCUAAGGCGCAACGUCGUGCACGUUUGUAGUCGGAUCGUGAAAGUCGUCUCCACCAAAUCGAUAGUUAUCAUCUCAUCGAAAGAUCGGGACACCCUCGCCUCUAUCAAGUGGUAUCAGAUUUCCAGGUUGCUCGGUGAGAUUUUACAGUUUUUCGUAGUUUAGAUCGAGUCUGUUCUUCAUACCUAUAGUCCACGAAAAAGCCAAAAAAAAAAUUAGGGUUAGUUCAUCCCAUCCGAACCAAUCUGAGCCUUGCAUAAUCUUUUCUGUAUUUGCUUUGUUGAAUUUGCGGUUGCAUCGUCGUGU
RNAcentral lists this long non-coding RNA (124739 nucleotides) under Triticum aestivum (bread wheat). RNAcentral's name for it is "long non-coding RNA (TAES_LNC010304)". The record is from RNAcentral. Lineage: Eukaryota; Viridiplantae; Streptophyta; Magnoliopsida; Poales; Poaceae.